Molecule: long non-coding RNA, 97079 nt
Filed under: Prunus persica (peach)
Lineage: Eukaryota; Viridiplantae; Streptophyta; Magnoliopsida; Rosales; Rosaceae
Description: long non-coding RNA (PPER_LNC004948)
Source: RNAcentral
UGCCACUAAGUUGUCAAAAACUGCAUCACCCGUUGUUCCCUUUUCUUUAUUCCCUUUCGAAAUAACAUAGUCUUGUGCCAUCCAAAGUUUAAUCAAAUCAUCUCGUUCAAACUUGUGAUCUUUUGGAAAAGUAGCACAAUAUAAAAGACAACAUUUAAUUGUUGGGGCCAAAUCAUUAUAACUUAGGAAUAGGGGUUGGAAAACUUCUUGCUCGACCUUCUCUAGAUCCCAUAUCUUACUAUGCAAAACUUCUUUCCAUUCUCCCAUUUUUGUCUUAUUCUGCAUGAGACUACCCAAAGUCUUUGCAGCAAGAGGCAAACCUUUACACUUCUUUACAAUUUCCUUACUAAUAUCUCCAAACUCAUGUACAUCCCUAUCCCAAAAGGCCAUGUGAUUGAAGAUUGACAAACAACAUUCAUCAUUCAACUCUCCCAGAUUGAUCUUGUUUCUUGUUGCUCUCAUCAUGUCAGCAACCUCAUGUUUUCUUGUGGUCACCAAUAUUCUGUUGCCUUUAGCACCAUUUUGGAUUAAUGGUACCUUUAAUUGUUCCCACUUUUUAGGAUCAUCGGUCCAUACAUCAUCCAGGACAAGAAGAAACCUUUUGCCCUGGAUGGAUGUAGACAUACAUUGCAAGACCUCAUCCAACUCAUUUGAAUUUGGGGCGUUUUUACCAAUAAUGGCUUUGGCAAUCUUAAUCUCAUCAAAAGGGUCUGAAACACAAACCCAUUUCCUCAACUCAAAAUGGGUUUUGACUCGGUCAUCAUUAUAGGCUAGUUGGGUUAAAGUUGUUUUGCCCAUGCCUCCCAUCCCGACAAUAGGGAUGAUAAGGAACCCCUUCCCUUCCGCACUACUAUCACUCAACAAGUGUGUUAUCAAAUCCUUUUUUUCAUUUUCUCGACCAAAUAUCUCAGAUAUAUCGACAAAAGAUGCAGUUUGAGGUCGUUGAGGUUGUUGAGGUUGUUGAAUGCCUAAUUCUUUGCUUAGAAACUGGUACUUUUUUCUUUCCUCAUAAAUCUCAGUUAACUUAUCAUUCAGAUCUUUUAUUUUCAGAGCAAUGUCAUGGAGAAGGUGAUCUUUUAUUUUGCCAAGACAAAAGUAAGGGGAGAAACUAGAGAAACGUACCUUCUUCCUUGUAACAAGAGCAUUUGGAUCACCUUCUCUUUCUUGCUUCUCAACUUGUUGUUUGAGAAUGUUUGUGUUCCACUCAUCCAGCACAUCCACCAUCUGGUAGGAUAUAUCUUUCAGCUCAUCCAACCAGAUUUUGACAGCUUGAUCCGUCACUUGGCGUUGCUCUGCAUCCUCAAGCACAGCUUGAAUAACUCGGAGAGUCCGAGUGAAUUUCUCAACAUCUUCCUUAACGUUCAAAACACGUUUCACAUCUCCUUCCAUGUAUUCAUAGGUUGUCGAGGCCAACCGUUCUAGCAGCAGGGAAAUGAGCGCACCAGCCAUUAUUUUGAGCUUCAGAAAAUGGUUGACAGCAGUGUUUAUGAAGAAGAACUGAUUUGGGGAUAAUUGUUUGUGUUGCGGUGUUCCCUUUCUUCUGCCCAGUUUAUAUGCUGAGUAAGUCUUCAAGGCAAACUCCAAGUCAAUUUUUAAGAAAUAUCUAAUCUGGGGCUGGUGAGUGCGCCAGACUGUCUUUCUUGACCUUACCAUACAAGACAAGAUUAGUGCGCCAGCUGGCUUAAUAAGCAUUACCAAGAUGUAGUGCAUAAAUCGCCAGACUGUCAUUCACAUUCUAUAUUUUUUACCUGAACUCUACCUACUUGAAUAAAGAAAUGUAUCAAAGAUUGGUUGGACAAUUGAUUUAUUUGUCACACACACCUCGUGACAUAUACUUUGAGUGUAGUUUAGUCAGUUCGUGCAUGUUUUCAGUAAAGAUUAUGUAAAUGAUGUAAGUCAUAUAUUUAGAUAUUUAAAGUUAGCAACAAGAAAAUGACUUAUGUUCUCUAAGCAUAAGUCAUUGGGCAGGUAGUAUCAUUGUCAUGAGCUCUACAUCAAGUAGAUUGGUUGGAGGUAAUUUCUCACUUGGCAUAGCAAUAAGCAAAAGAUGGUGGAGUACAGAAUAAUGGUACAAGGAAUCUAUGAACUAUUGUGAUUGAUAAUGUAUAAAAUAAUGAUCGUAGAUGUUUAAGUGGAUAGACAUUUCAUUAAAAAAUAAAGACAAUUAAUAUUCCAUUUGUGAAGACUAAAGACCAAUUAGUCCAUAUUCUCUCCAAGACAAUUAAAAAAUAAGGUGUGUUACAACUCAUUGGUCAAGUUGAGGAUUGGAGGCAUGUGUUCACCAAUUUGAGCGUGAGUGUUAGUGUGAAUUCUAAAUAUAACCUAAUUUGUAGUCUCCUAUUUGGACUUUAUUAGGUUUAGUUACUUUACUUAAGGUCCACUUCUCGUAACUAGGAGAAGAAUACACAUUUGAGAGUUUUAGGUGUAGCUGCUACUUGUUCCCCAAGAAACACCACAGUCACUAUCACAUCACACACUCUCAUGAUUAUCAAUGGAGCAUAAAUAUAUUGCAGUUAAGUUUCUUUAGCCCAAAUUAAGUACCGCUUGUAACACUCUCAUUCACCCAAUGUUAGACAAGGUCCCAGCCCAAAUCUAUGCAAAUAUUCUAUGUAUCUAAAGUCGCCUGGGAUUUUUGGAGCAUGCCAUGCCUGACAAUCUUCUUUCUAGCAUCUCCAUUCAGUCCUGCCAAUUUGUGGUCUUGUGACUUCCCCCUCAUGGUAUUAUCCCCAGCCUAGAGAAAAGGUUCCAUUGACCCAUAAUUUCUACUACUAGUUCGUAAAAUUGAAUAGUGGCAUGCUCACCAACUAAAAGGGGUAGACAUCCUUUUCUAACAAUCCCAUGAAGGAUUAUAUAAAUCUUCAGAGAAAGGCAGAGAAAACUUGAGAAAUGAACUAAUUAUGUAGGAGACUAUAAAUCUUACAUGAUCAAGCAGAAGAACAUCCUCCUCUUCUUCAAGCCGAGCAAAAUCUAUAGCACGCUGACCAGUGACAAGUUCGAGAAGUGUGAUACCAUAUCCAAAAACAUCAGUCUUUUCUGACGAUUUUCCAGUGGACAAAUAUUCUGGGGCAAUAUGACUCAUGGUACCACGCACUUGAGUGGUAACGUGAGUUGAUUUUGUAUCAACCAGCUUUGCUAGCCCAAAAUCUCCAAGAACGGGCUCAAAAUUAUCAUCUAGAAGAAUGUUUGCAGCCUUUAAGUCACGGUGUAUAAUCUUAGGAUUACAAUGCUCAUGUAAAUACUCUAAGCCAUGGGCUGCACCAAAAGCAAUGCGUUUCCUUGUUGACCAGUCCAAGCCUUUCUCACCAGGUUUUAAAUCUAACACAUAUAUCAGGAAGAAAAUGUUAUGAAUUAAAAAUAUUGAACAGUAGAUAUAUGAGAAUCGUGAUAUGCCAUUCCAAAGAAUUAAGUGAUGAUUAACCUCCAAAUGAACAAGCAUAAAAUACAAAUGAUGUAAAUCCUAUCUCCCCCCUUAAGAAGUAGGGAGGGGGGUGUUCAGGAUGUCCUUACUUGAAUAUUGAGUUGGUUGAAGAAAACAGAAAUUUGUAUUUGGGAAUUUGAAUCACAAAAUGGUGGUUAUAUAUCAAUACGUGCGAUGAAAGACCUCCUCCAUAAGUAUGGGCUGGAAGGUGAGGUUGACCGUACGAUACCUAAUGGGUGUAAGUAAAAUUACCAAGAAAAACAACAAAGGAAGUAAGGAUUAGGGAGCACCUCAGAAAAAAUUUCAAGGAUGGUACCUCAUGUCAUAAUAUGUUGCAGAAUUCUAUUGCUAAAUUAAACCACGAAAACAGAAGUAAAAUUACAGGCUCUCAAAUGGAACAGAACAUGGCAACAGCAAUGAUUUUUUCUUCUUUCUUUUGGGACUGAACACUGAAUUAGGGCUUCUAAUCACUUACCAAGCACAAAAAGAAGUUCAAACCAUGGUUGUAAAUUCAGAGCCACUCACACUGAAAAAUGCAGAGGGGAAAUAGAAAAGUAAACUCAAGCAAUGCUCUUUUAGGACAUACCUCUCAAGCGAUACGCAACACUAAGAUUUUUCAUGAAUGGAUAAACAAGGAUUCUCUCAGAUGAAGUUGUACAAAAUCCAAUCAAACGUAAAAGAUUCUUGUGAACUGCAACGCUAAUUAGUUGUACUUCUCUCAAGAAUGCAGCCUCUCCACCAGGACUGUUAUAAUCUGUAAGGCGUUUCACUGCAACCUUUACAUUGUCUGAGAGGACACCUUUGUAAACUCUUCCAAAGCCCCCUUGUCCAAUUAUGUUGCUUUCAUCGAAGUUAUCUGUAGCAAGCUGAAUUUCACGCCAAGAAAAUCUUCUUAACUGGCCAAAGGAAAUUUUGCACUCAUCUUCACCUAAAAUUACAUUAAAAUAAGAAAAGGGGGUGGAGUAGAUGUUAGUUUGACAAGAUUGUGUAGCUCGUGAUGCGACUUCAGGCAUUUGGACUUUUGAAUACAGAUUAAAUGAAUACAUAAAUCAAACUUGGUAAGUGAUUAUUUACACAUCUGACUUACAAAGGGUGGGGAUCGAUUCUAACUUAACUAGGUUGAGAUGAUUUCAAAUUUAAAUUUCCAUAAUGAUGCUUAGUACAAACUGAAAGUCAUCUCAAAAGUAAAAGGUAAGGAAAAUUUACCUGUAACAUCAACAACGACAUCAUGUGUUAGUUUGUGCAUGCGAUAAUAUCGAUAAGCGAAAAGAGCCCCAAUCAAAAGAAUUACUGUUACACCACAACUUGCCGAAGUUAUAACCGUUCCAAGUUUUGAUUUCUUGGUUGAAACUGCCAAAUUUUAAAAUCUUAGGUUAUUCCACUACUACAUUUUACACUUUGCGCGACGAAGAAAAAAACGUCGCGCAAAGUAUGAUUUAGUCGCCCCAAUUUCAGCGCGACAAAAAAGUCGUCGCGCACAUUCCGUCGCGCGAAGAUCGUGAAGAAAGCCUUUGCGCGACGAGGUAAAACCCUUUGUCGCGCAAAAUUGUGCGACGGGUAAACCAUCGUUGCACCAACGGUGUGGAGACGAAAUAACUGUUGGUGGCAAAAGUAUUUGCGCGACGAUAAAGUAUGCGGUGCACGUACAUUAGCGCGACGAAAUAUUAUUCGUCGCGCAAAAUGUGUUCGCGAGACGUAUAUGUUCGUCGCAGAACAAUUCGCGCGAAUACAACUGUUCGUCGCAAAAGUAUUUGCGCGACGAUCAAGUAUGCGGCGUACGUACAUUUGCGCGACGAUGGGAAUUGCGCGACGAAAUAUUAUUCGUCGCGCAAAAUGUGUUCGCGAGACGUAUAUGUUCGUCGCAGAACAAUUCGCGCGAUGAGAAAGUUUUCGUCGCACAUAUAAUUGCGCGACGAACAUAUAUGUCGUCGCCAAAUAUCUUGCGCGACGAAAUGUUUCGUCGCGCAAAACGUGUUUGCGAGACGUAUGUGUUCGUCGCGCAUGAAUUUAAAAAGAUAAAAAAAAUUUGAUUUUUUUUUUUUGUUACAUGUUGGUUUGCGCGACGAAAUAUUUUCCGUCGCGCAAAAAUAAUAUUACAAAUUUUUUUUUUUUUUUUUUUUAAAAUAAAAUUGGUUUCUUUUUAUUGAUUAAACAAUGAAAUUGCAAUAAAAAUAAAUUAGAAUAAAAUUUUGUUAUAAAAUAAAAUAAAAUAAAUGUAUUACAAAUAAAAUAAAUACACUAAUCAAAUAAUGAAUCAAAAUCAACCGAGUCGUCGCCAGUAUGCGGCUCGGAGGGCGGGGCGUUCACCGGGGCAGUGGUCUGGUGGGGAUGCCCGGGAUGGACGGGCUCAGAGGUCGGCGCAUCAAAACGCGGGACUGGAAUGCCAGCUGUACGAGAGACUGCAGAAUGACCGACAUCGGGCUCUGAAGAGUGGCCACCUGUGCUGUCAAAGCAGUGACCUGACUGUUUGACUGCGCCGAUGAACGAGGUCGAGGUUCCCUCCGCCGGGCAUUCCCCAUCCCUCGACAAUAUGUCCCCGGCCUCCUCCCGAGAGUCUGAUCCAACGUCUCCGUCAAGAUCUGAAAUCCAGCAUCCUGUGGAGGAGCCACAGACUCGAUCGGAGUCUCGGGAGGAAGCUGGGAGGCGGACUCCUGAAGAACAAGCUGGCUCCUCUCCACCAUCGUCGUCUGUUGAACAUAACAUAAAAUAUAAAUUAAAACAUGCAUAUAAAUUGAAUGCGUAACAUAAGAAUUAAAAUUAAAUAAUACUUACAUGAAGGGACUCGGCCAACUCAUUCCCGGGUCGAACAUAAACGUCACCAAAGACGUCGAUCUCUGGGAACUUGGACCCCUCCUAAAUUGAACAAGAGAAGAAAAAUAUUAGUAUGAAAAAAAUAAAUUAAUAAAAAUGACAUUAAAAAUGAAAUAAAAAUUUUGUGAUUAUUACCCGACGCCGUGCAUCCAUCCUAUACGAAAAGGGUCUGGAGCCGGAAUGGUGGAGAAGGGUCUUCUUCUUCCUAUUACCCUUAUUCACUUGGGCUUUAUUCUGUUAUACAAAAAAUGAAACGUAUUAGUUAAAAUAUAAAAAAUUAAAUAAUAAUGAAAUAAAAAAAUAAAAUAAACAUUAAUAAGUAAUAAGUAAUAAUUAAACAAAUAUAAUUAAAAAAAUACCGCAAAUUCGGGCGCUUGAAAAUGAGCGCAGAGCCACUCCCAACUAUCCUCCCGCCCCUCAAGCUCCUUCGGGCAACCCUCCUGAAGAGCGACUUGCGGAUCAUCAUAGGCCUGAAAAUGGUGGUGCAAGUCGCUCUUCCACUGCUUGUACCUCUCAGCGAAGAGUCUGUUGACGUACGUCAACGACUCUUCGUCGAGAUCCUCCAAGUUAUAGUUCGUCUGCAAUCAAUUAAUUAGAUACGUUAAGUAAUAGAAAUAUACACAAUUUUAAAGAAAAAUAAUGAAAAUGUAAGGUACAUACCGACAACUGGCCGCGAACCUCCGCCUGGAUCUCGUCAGGCAUGACCCUCCAAGACUUCCAUUGCAUCGGGCAAUGGGUCCGCACGACGUGGCCAAUGUCGUGGGCCAAGGAGCUAUGCAACUCCGCCGUCGGUGCAGCCCGAUGUCGCUCGUCGUAUCCGAUGUUGAUACGACUGUUGGUCACCUGGGUGACCUUCGCCGUCUUCAACUGCCGACACGGCCCUCGGGUGUUCCUCUUGGCUGCAAAGAAAGAUGACAUGAAUGUUAAACAAAUAACAAAGUUAACAAUCAAAUACACACACACACACACACACACACACACACACACACACAAAACAAGAAAUAAAAAAUAAAAUUAACUGGAGAAAAAGGAAAGCUAUACCUGGCUGUGACCCCGACGCAUCAGUGGAUGUGGUCUCGGUGGUGCUGCCGAGCCGAUGACGCCGCCUGGCACUAACAGGCUGCGCCACUGAUGACGCGGAUGAGGCAGGCCCCUGGGACCUCGCAGGUGCAACUGCCAAGUGGUCCAUCAGUGCCGGCGCAGUGGCAGGAGAUGCUGGAGCAGUGGCAGCAGAUGUCGGCUGAGUCGGGGGCGCCGUACUCUGCGGGGUCGUCACCGCCCUACGACGUGUAAUCAGGUCUGACAUCUGCACAUUUUCAUUAAUACACAUACAAAUUAAUAAAAUAUACGAAUAUUUGAAAACACAUACAAUUUCAUUCACAUUAUUGACCUAGGGUUUGCGAGUUCGGAGUAUCCGGGACUCCGAUCCACGAUCCGUCGAAUCGUAGACGAUCCAAGAAAUACAAGGUACAACAUACGUGAGUUUGAGUUCGAUCCAACGGUCCGAACAUAACAACCCCGGAAAUCGCACAAUAGGCAAAAUCCAUUCGAGGCGCAAACGGUAACCAAAUUCUAAUCCGAAAACACCUAUGCGCUCGUGACAACUACAGGAAUGCACUAGGACCGAAAUCGGGUUGCUACAGGAACCCACGCGCCGCCCCACGCGCCGGCAGCGCGCGGGUGUCCAAAGCGAUACCAAUCGCCGGAAAAUACUUAAAACUAAGGGGCAAGGUUCCUAUCCUAGGUUCAAAACAUCAAUUGGAGCCACUUUUGUUCUCGGACAUACCCCGAAAAAUGGCCGGAAGUGGCCGGAAUUGAAAAUCAAAAUCCGGCCGAAACUUAGGGUUUCAAAUUAAGUGCCCUAGUGCAACAAAUUCAGAAAUCCUACCCAACCAUCAGCUAAAGCAUUAAAAAUAGGAUAGAAACCAUACCUCAGGUGUCGGAAUUGGUCGCCGGAGGAGGGAGAACACGGCGGAGCCGAUUCGGUGAAAACCGAAGAAUUCGCAGCGGCUGGCUUGACGGCGACGGCGGGGGAGCUCCGGGGUACCACCAACGUAGCGGGCGCGGUCCAAAUCCACCGGGGUAGGAGGCUGAGCUGACGGCGGGGAGAGAGACGGCGGGGAGGAAUUUCAGAAGUCUGGGGAUGAAGGAGGCCAUCGCGUGGUUUCCGAAAUUUUAUUCGUUUUUGCGCGACGAAGCAAAAGUAGCGUCGCGCAAGAAUUUUUAAAUGGCUAUUGCGCGACGAAUAAAAUUAAUGUUCGUCGCGCAAAGUCAUUCAUCCGCCAAAAUUUGGUGAAAGUGUCGUUUUUGCGCUACGAAUAUUCGUAUAUGUCCGUCGCGCAAUGUUGGCAGUCCGCCAAAAUUUGGGAUUUAGGGUUUAGCGGGCGAAUUUUUAUUUUUGCGCGACGCACAAACACAUGUUUCGUCGCGCAAUGUUGGCAGUCCGCCAAAAUUUGGGAUUUAGGGUUUAGCGGGCGAAUUUUUAUUUUUGCGCGACGCACAAACACAUAUUUCGUCGCGCAAUGAUGGCGUCCGCCAAAAUUUGGGAUUUAGGGUUUAGCGGGCGAGUUGGAAUUCUUGCGCGACGUACAAACAGAGCGUCGCGCCUGAAUUUGGUACUAGGGUUUGCGCGACGCAUACAGAGCGUCGCGCAAAACCUCGCAAAAAAAAAAUGACAUGUCUGUCUGUCCAAUGAGACAGGGCUGGCUGAGAUUGCGCGAUGUAAAACUAGCGUCGCGCAAACUCUCCAAAAUGUCAAAGUAUGAAUGAUAUUGCGCGACGACGGAGACAGAUUUCGUCGCGCAAUACCUCGCAAGGAAAUUUCCGCCAAGUGUCCAGGGGGGAAGACAGGCAAAUGUGAAAUGUGAAAUAUUGGCUGAUAUGGCGCGACGAAGGGAGUCUAAUGCGUCGCGCAAGAACCCUAAAAAAAUUUCCACUAAGUGUCCAAGGAGGGACAGAGUAAAAUGUGAAAGUUAUGGUAUGGCGCGACGAACUGAAUUGUAUUCGUCGCGCAAUUCAGGCCUUGUGCGACCAAAUACGUUGUUUCGUCGCGCAAACCCUUUACCCUAAACCCUAAACCCUAAACCGCAGAAACCCUCAACCCGAAACUAGUUUUCAUGAUCCAACCGGCAAACUUUUUUUUUUACACUUCUAGAUCGUAUAUGCCAAAAAUCGACAAAAACAAACUUUAAGAGAUCGAGUCACAUGACGAAACUGAUCGACGGUUGUAAAUGAAAAGUCAUGAUUUAACGGUUAUUUUAGCUCUGAUUUGUAUAAUUUUUUGCAGCUACUUUUCUUUACCCUAUUUGAAUACAAUUAGUGAAUUUGAUCUUCAAUUUCAGAUGUUUACACUAGGGUGAUAUGACAUAAGGUGAUGUUAUAUUUAACGAACGUAUAAGUAAACUAUUUAUUGUUUGUGAAUAUAUGGUUGAUAUGGCAAACGCAUUCUACAAAAGUAGUUUCAGCAAUCCAGCCGUCAAACUCGUUUAUUUGUACUUCGAGAUCUUACACCCCAAAAAUCGAAAAAAUAAAACAUUCAGAGAUCAAGUAACGGGACAAAACUUGUGAACGGUUAUAAAUGAAAACUGAUGAUUUAACGGUUAUUUUAACUCUGAUUUUGAUGAAUUUUUACACCUACACUCCAUGACCCUAUAUGAAUACAAUACUCCAACUCGAUCGUCAAUUUCAAAUAUAUAUGUGUAUAUGUAAUAUAUAUUAUAAAAUGAUAUAUAUUUGCGCGACGAACACAGUUUUAUCGUCGUGCAAACUUUUGCGCGUGACGGAAGACACUUUGUCGCGCAAUGUUUUAACUUCACGCGACUAGUGUAUUUUUGGACGCGCUAACUUUGCACGACGCGGGUUGCUUCGUCGCGCAAAAAUAGCACGACGAGGUCCUUUUCGUCGCGCAAGGGUUUUCUGUUUUGCAAAAUGUUUAUUGUCAAUAGUUUUCAAACUCUAUAUAAAAAUGUUUAUUGAUCAAUGUUUUAUAACAAAUUUUGUAUCAUUUUCAUUUUAAAAAUUUGUUUUGUCAAAAAUAAAAAUAAAAAAUGAUUAUUAAAAGGGUUUGGAUAUAUUGAUUUACCAAUGUUUUAUAACUAAAUUUAUUUGAAUAAAGUGUCAGUUUUCCACAUAUAUAAGGUUUGGAUAUUUGUACUAUAUAUAUUCAAACAUUUGUAUUACACAAAGUCUGUACAGUAACGUAAUAAAAUUACAUCAAAUUUAAUUAUUCAUCAUCUGAACUAUAAUAACUUUCGUUAUCGUCGCUAUCAUCACUUUCGGUCUCCCAAUCCUCCUCCUCCUCGUCUACUAUAAUUACAUCAUCUUCGCUGCUCAUGCCCACUGCAACAUCGAAUCUUGGAAGAUCCCCGAGGUCAAUUGUAAUUGACUGAAUCGGUAUUUCGAUUGAAGACACUCCUUGGAUUUGAAACGGUUCUUGUAUAACAUGUGUAUCUCGAAGUGUUUCCGCAUCAUUUUCCAUUGAUGAUUCUAAACGUUGGUCAGCCACAUUGUCGACGUCGUUGUCAGUUAGGUCUAGUUCUGGUAUAGCAUACACGUUCCUAUGAUCCAUCUUCUGAACAACUUUCCAACUGCUGCCGGCUUUAGGGUCAUCUAGAUACACAAUUUGUGUUGCCAUGUUCGCCAAAAUAUAAGGGUCGUCAUCAUACCAAGUUCUGUUAAUGUUCAUAGAUAGUAAGCCAUGGUCGAUUUUAACACUUCCCGGCCUAUUUGGGUUGCUAUCAAACCAUCGACACUUAAACAUGAUCACUUGGUAUCGAUCUUUGUAAAGCAAAUGAACGACAUUUGUGAGUUUGCCAUAGAAAUCAAUGUUCGUACUUUCGCCUCCACCUGGGACAUGGACACCGCUAUUUUGCGUACACAACUUGUCAUCUCGUGCAGCCCCCAAAAAUUUAACGCCGUUAAUAUAACAACCCGAAAACAAUUCAGCGCGAAUCGGGCCGAAGGCCAAGUUAUAUAACUCAUCACUGUAAGUGGGGGAAUUCGAUGAUUUCAACUUAUUCACCUAAUAUAAUAGAAAAUCAUUCACAUGUUAGUCUGAUAAAAUUAAAUACUACAAUUUAUAUUUGUCAAAUACAAAACACUUAUAACUUACAGAUUCCAAAAACCAUUGUGGAAAUAAUUCACGUUGUUUCUGGGCAACUAAAUGUGAUGGAUAUUCUCGCUUCAUCAUCUCUUCAUGCUCAUCUAAGUAUGCCAUUAUCUCAUCACAAUUGUUCAGUACGAACCAAUGCGCUACUUCCAUGUCAUUUCUAGAAAACGACUCCCCUCGUCCAGGAUCUCCAAAGGGCCGUGCGCUUUGGGCAAAAACAGAAAGUUUUUCCUUUCUCAUACCUCCGUCGUUAUUACGCUGAGGACGAUUGAAAGCCGUCUCCACAUCUUUUAAAUACAUUCCACAGAAAGUAAGCGACUCAUAUUGAACCCAAGCCUCUAUAAUUGAUCCUUCGGGCUUGGCCCUGUUGCGUACACUUUUUUUCAACUCUCCGAGAAGCCUGUCAAAAUAAAAAGAUAUGAUACAAAUUAGCAAGCCUGUGAUAAUGAUGCAUGCACAAAGGAAAAUGAUUAUAUACCUUUCUAUUGGAUACAUCCAGCGAUAGUUGACAGGACCAGCAAGCAAUGCCUCUUCUGGCAAGUGAACCAUCACAUGCAUCAUACUUGUGAAGAAAGCUGGAGGAAAUAUCAUCUCAAACUUGCAUAGGACUUGGACAAUGUCAUGGCGCAACUGAAACAUGUCCGUCCUUCGCAAUGUUUUUGCCGUCAGUUGGGAAAAAAAUCUGGAUAACAAGAUGAUUGGCUUCACCACAUCUUCCGGCAGUAGGUGUCGAAUACCCACAGGAAGUAGGCGUUGCAUAAACACAUGGCAGUCAUGGCUCUUAAGUCCAGUAAAUUUACCCCCAUCGACAUUCACGCAACGUGCGAUAUUAGAAGCAUACCCAUCGGGAAAUUUGACAGACAAUACAAACUUUAGAAACUCUUUUUUGUCAUUCGGUUUCAUAGAGAAGAAUGCAAGAUCCCUUCUAGCUUUAUCACUGUCCCUAUUCAUCCAUAAACCCCUUCGUAUGCCCAUUCUUUCCAAAUCAAGACGAGCUUUGAUCGUGUCCUUCGUCUUUCCCUCGAUAUCUAGAAUCGUGCCCACCAAUGUGUCGAAUACAUUUUCUCAACAUGCAUCACAUCUAGAUUGUGCCUCAAUUUCAGUUUCGACCAAUAUGGGAGCUCAAAAAACAUAGGCUUGUGCGUCCAGUUCAAAUGUGUAGAAGGUCUGGUCCGACUAACUGUUUUUUCCCGAACAGAGCAAAAUCCAAACGGUUCAGCUGUUCCAAGAUCUCAUCACCGGACCAUUCUCUAGGUCUGAGGCGACGCUCUGUGUUCCCGUCGAACUCUUUAUCUUUUUCUCGCCACUCGUGGUCCCAUGGCAACCAUCUCCGAUGACCAAGGUAACAAACUUUUCCCGCGUGCCAACCAGAAGUUACAUCUUCCUUGCAUACAGGACAUGCCAUAUAACCCUUUGUGCUCCACCCAGAAACCAUUGCAUAUGCUGGAAAAUCAUUCACAGUCCACAUAACUGCUGCUCGCAAAGUGAACAUCCUCCCAGUUGCUUUAUCGUACGUGCGAACACCGUUUGUCCAUAAAUCCUUCAGCUCAUCAACCAGAGGCCUUAAGUACACAUCAAUUGACCUGCCAGGAUCCUCAGUUAUCAAAACAGUCAUCAUCAUGUAUUCUUUUUUCAUGCAUUUCCAAGGCGGCAAAUUAUAUGGGAAUGCGAAAAUCGGCCAAGUGCUGUGGUGUUGGUUUAGAACCCCAUACGGAUUGAAUCCGUCAAUGGCAAGUCCCAAUCUAACAUUUCGGGGAUCAGUAGCAAACUCGGGGAACGUUCGAUCGAACUCUUUCCAUGCCUCCCCAUCUGCAGGAUGCCGCAUCACAUCAUCGUCUACCCGUUUUUCCUUAUGCCAUCUCAUGUCUGUGGCAGUAUGCGUCGACAUAUACAAUCGCUGCAACCUAGGUUUAAGGGGCAGAUAACGCAUGACUUUUUGUGGUAUCUUAGUCGUUCUAUUCUGGGAUGUCAUUUUGAACCUCGACUCAUUACAUAUAGGGCAUGUAUCCAACGUUUCAUGCUCUUUGUAGAAUAACAUGCAAUUGUUUUUGCAAGCGUGGAUUUUUUCAUAACCCAAUCCAAGACCGUGCAACACCUUCUGUGCAUGUUUAUGAUCUUUCGGCAAACAAUUGUCCGUCGGAAGCAUUCUCUUGAAAACCCCCAAAAAGUAAUCGAAACACAAGUUCGACAUACGAUACUUUAUUUUUCCGUGCAUUAGCUCCACAAUGGCAGUGAGAACGGAAAAGCUCUCGCACCCCGGGUAUAACUCUUGGUUGGCAUUUUUUAACAGUUUUUCAUACUGUUCAAACUCCGCACUGUCUAUUGGUGUAGGCACGUCAUCUUCCCCUUCCUGAUUGAUGUUGGUCGAUGCGAAUGAAAAAGCAUCCUGUAUAAUACCCAUGACUUGAUCAUUAUGAUCCAUAAUAGGUUCAACAUUGUCCACUCUUGGGGCAUUUGAAGACGAAGCAUGGUCUACUUGUUCGCCGUGAAGAUUCCAAAUGAUAUAUGUUUCAAUCAUUCCAUUCCUUACUAAAUGAAAUCCAACAUUUUCAAUUGUCUCCCACAACGUGUUGUUACACCUCCUACAAGGGCAACGGAUUCUAGUUGCACCCGGAUUGUGUCUACGUGCAAACUCAAUAAAAUCCUCGAUUCCAUCCAAGUAUUCGUCUGCGCAUCUAUUUGGGUUCUGUAUCCACCUUCUGCUCAUAAUUCCUGAAACCACAAUCAUGACACAACAAUCACAACAACUUCAUACGAAGUUAUAAUGUCACCUUAUGCCUCCGGUAAGGGCCCUAUCCCAUUCGGGAAUGCAUAGUCCUGUCACGUAACCUACGGCUACAUGAGAUUAGAUUUCGACGUGGAUUAAUUUCGGCAGCAUCUCGGCACAGUUCUUGAAGUGGGCAUAGGUAUAAAUACCUACGUACCACCCGAAGAACGUACCGAGAUGACACCGAAAUCUCCACAAUCGAAACCUAAUCCUGUAGCCGAAGAUUAUGUGACAACACUAUGCAUUACCAAACUGUCCAAAUAAUGGGACAAUUCAAGAAUUAAUUGGACCGCAGUCAUGCCUUACGCAUCCAUGCACGAAAUCCAACUAAUCUCGAACGGGAAACUACGUGUUACUAAACAUAAAAAUAAAAGUACGAAGUUAAUUUCAAUUAACUUCGUACAUCACAAAUACAUUGUGCUACGUCACGCACAAUUUCACAACAUUAUACACAUAAAACUUGACAAAAAAAUUACAAACUUAACAAACAAACUUUUACAAUAACAUACCUUCUCAAUCGUUCUCCACUAAUCACAGAUAUCCCUAACGAGAACAAAAUUAAUAGCGUUAGUACGAAUUUACAUUAAUACAUUUAAACUAAUGACAAAAAAUACAUAUCCAAUUAACGUACUGAAUUCACAGCAGAGCAGCGGCAGGAGGAGUGAGAGAGAGGAGAGAGAGGCAGAAUGCAAUUUCUGCAUUCUGCCUCUGCAAUGGCAAAUACUAAUAUGAAGAAGAAGGACUUUGCGCGACGAAGAGUAAAUUUCGUCGCGCAAACAGCCGUCGCAAAAGGACACUUUUCCGUCGCACAAAACAACAUUUCCGUCGCGCAAAUACGUGCCGACAUCUGCUUUUUUGCGCGACGAAGAACACUGUUCGUCGCACAAACAUUCGUCGCGCAAAUUAUAUUUUUCGUCGCACAUGGUUUACAUUUCGUCGCGCCUAAUAUUAAUUUCGUCGCGCAAGAGCUCACCGGCAUUCAACUUUUUGCGACGACGAAAAUCCGUCGCGCAAAAAAAAUUUUACCCGCCCUUCAUUUUGGCGCCAAAAAAAAAUAUCCCUCGUUUUCUUACGCGACGGUACAAUUGUUCGUCGCGCUAAGUUGUCUUUCGAGACGACAACUUCUGUCGCGCAAAUUUUUUACCCGCGAAAAAAAAGGGGUCCCUUUUCUGUCCAUCUUUACGCGACGAAUCAUUUAUUCGUUGCGCAAUAUUGGCAUGCGCGACGAUUUUUGUCGUCGCGCAAGAUUUUGGCGCCAAAAAAAAAACCGGGUUUUUUUCUAUUUCCUUUGCGCGACGAAAUUAAUAUAGGUCGCGCAUACACUUUUUGCGCGACGAUUAUUUUUGUCCCGCUAUUUUUCUGUCUUUUUCGUCGCAAUAGUGUUGUUUGCGCGACGAAAACGUCUUCGUCGCGCAAAUAGUAAAUCGUACUAGUGUUCAAACAUAGUUGGUAAACUGAAAUAGUAGAGUUGUACAAAGAAUAAACCUCGGAGAACAGAGCCAGAAGCACAAGGCUGCUUCAAGCUAGAACCACAAGCAAGACGUGCUCCUGUAAAACUGUAAGGAUAAAACAAUUAAUAGCAAACCAUUAAGGAUAUAUAAUAUAACUACUGGACAAGUAUACAGUAAGUUGCAAAUUAUAGAAUGUAGACGCAAUGCUGAAGGAAAAUAUCAUAAUAACGGAAAGGUCAAUUUUUACACAACAUUGGAACCAAAGGAGUUUACGCCAUUUUUUAUUAUAAUAAGUAGGAAUUUAAGCAUUUGAAAAAUAAUAUAUAUACAUCCAAAAUGAUACUCGUGCUUGAUGAAACUAUUAUAAGUGGCAGUCCAGAAGUCAGCCCAGUCCUACACCAACAGUAGGGGUGGGCGAAACCAGACUGAACCAGACCGAACCAGCUAGUUUGGUUAGGAUUUUGACAAAAAUUAAGGUCAUACGGUUCAAAAUCCAGCUCAGUUCAGCUGGUGGUUUCAAUUCCCUCAGGAACGAGAGAACAUAACCGAAUAAUUUCCCACUCUUUUUAUUAAUUCCAUCCGUAUCCCUCCUAUAUAAUCAUCUUUUUCCCCUAGCUCUAGCCACAUAAACCUAUCUCUCCAGUGAAGGAAUUAAACAAAGACAUCCUUCGCAUAACUCCUUUAGCAUGCAGACAAACACAAAACAAGGAUGUAUUUAAAAAUAAUAUAUAUUAUAUGAGUAUGAUAUAUAUAUAUAUAUCCAAUUUUCUAUAACAGGGUUAACCGUAUUUGCGGAUAACCAAGGUCGCCCGGCUAGUGCAUUUUGGUAAACUGGCCGUGCAAAAUCUGGUUAUCCACUAGUGUGGUUAACCAUAUUAUAGAAACACGGAUAUAUAUAAGUAAUCCCCAUUAACUCUCUUACAAUAAGAAUUCGUAAUUAUUGCUGAUGCCAAUACAUCAAUACAAGGGAAUAUAAAAGGAAAUGAGAAUCAGAGUUUAAUGGGAUUUACUUGAAUUUUGGAAUUGUAAAGAAUUGCAUUGGAACUCUUCCGGUUAACUCAUUCGAUGAAAGAUCCCUGCCCAAAAAAAAAAGGAAUUAAUAAAUGGUAAAGAAUUUCACACAGUGUGCAAGCUCAGAUGGGCAUGCAAUUAUAUUUAGGCAAUAAGUCAAACAGCAGGAUUGCGAAAAAAAGGAAUUGCUUACAGUUCAGUCAACCCGCUAAUAUUUGAAAGUGAAUCCGGAAUAUGUCCAGAUAUGUGGUUACCCCUCAAUACCCUGAAGCACAGGUGAGAUGAUUAAAUUUUCUUUUCUGGAGAACAGGAAAGUGUUCACAAGAUAGUACUUUCCAAUAUAAACAGUUGUAGAACACUCAGAUAAGACAACAGCAUAAGUAACUGCUACAGAUCAAGGCAAAUCCCCAAUAAAUACAAGAACAUUUUACAUAUAUAGACGAAUAAGAAAGUUGGAAUAUUUUAGGAAGGGAAAUGCAGCCUUACAAAUGCUUUAAAUUGGACAGUUGACCCCAGGUAUUGGGUAUAGGACCUCUGAAAUUAUUGUUUGCAAGAUUUAGAUUCUGUAGAUGUGUCAUGUUGGCAAGAUAAAUGGGUAACAGGCCUGUUAGACUAUUAUCCUGGAAGUCCCUGCAUAAAUAAAGUUAUUUUAUCAAAAUUCAUGACUGGAUGCAAAAAAAUAUAUUCUUCAGAAUUAAACAAACAAGAACUACAAUAAUGAAGGCAUUGGUAUUAUAUUCCACUUUUUUCUAUGACUCAGGUUGACAGUAUGUAAAGUUACAAUGAUAAAGGGAAAACUUAAAUUCUCCCUCUCUCUCUCCCUCUCUCUCUCUCUCUCUCUCUCUCUCUCUCUCUCUCUCUCUCUCUCGGUACCAGAGCACAUACUAGUGAUCCAAAAUCAGGUUUCAGCCAAUGUUACAUUUUCUGACACCAUCAGCCCAGAAUACUAAUGCAUCAAGAAGUUGACUUACAGGCUAGCCAAAAAUUUCAGUUUAGUAAUCGAAGGAGAAAGCGUUCCAGAAAAUCCAUUAGAUGCCAGGCUCCUGCAAAGUAGUACAUUCACAAACUAAAUGUACUGCAAUGAUAAAUGAUUUUCAAAGAUGGCGAUAUUAAUAAAAUAUAUAUUUUUCAUGAUCAUAAAAUUUAGUUUAACUUACAGGGAUAUGACAUUUCCAUUUCUACAAGAAACAGGGGCUAACGAGAUUAUAAUUCCAAUCUGUUAUUCGGCCACUGGAAUCAUUCAGUGCCCUAAGCAAAUCGAUCAAUGCUUCACCUGCACAUUAUCGUAAGUGAAGAACGAAAUUGUAUGUAGAACCAUAAAUGGCUGGUGAAAAGAACUUUUGUUUAUAUUACAAUUCUAAUAAAUGAAAAAUGAAAAAUUCUUGGACUUAGGUAAGGCAUAACACAGAAACCAUGUGAGUACGGCAGUAGAUAAGGUAGAACACAGAAACCCUGUGAGCACAACAGUAGAUAAGGCAGAAGCAAAGACAAAGGGCAAGGCCACAACAACAACAACGACAAUGACCACAUCAACGGAAAGCAAAGCAAACAAAGACAACAUCAACGGCGGCAACAUCGACCACAACAGAAACACACCAGCAAAGGCAUGAGCAACAAUACUGACACCAUAACAUGCAUGAGCAACAAUACUGGUACCGAACAACAGCAAUACAAGGCACUGGCACCAGCAAGAGUAUUAAGGCAGGGACAUAACAGACAUCAUCAAUAGUAAUCAACAUUGCCCCCAACAAGAGUUAUAAUAGGCAGGAGCAAUAAUACUGUCCCCAACAAAAGACAUAAUAGGGAUAAGCAACGGUACUGGCACUAGCAAAGGACAUAAUAGUCAGCAGCAAUAACAAUGGCAAAUACUUCCAUUAUCGCACAAACAACUUAUCUUCAUUCCCCCUCUCCCCUUGAAGAGAACGAGUCAUCAGAACCAUAAGAGAAGUGGCACUUAAGAAACAGAAGCUGAUUGACGCUCAAAUGUAGAACAAUCAGUCAUGGCAGAUAGGUAGCUAAAUUGCAGUGGAAUAGAUAAGCAGCGAUGUCACUCCCCCUCAAAUCCGACGAUGUAUGAGAGUCGAGAUUUGGAGAAAGCAACACCGAAAAAUAAAGUUGCAUCUAUUUCCCCAUCAAAUCUGACACUGGUAAAGGGUCGAGAUUUGGAAGAAGAUAAAUUGAAAUAAUAGUAAAGAGACUCAAACAUGCCAGUCUCGUGGCAGAAACAAAUGCAAGAGGGGAAGGUGGUAGCAUACGGCUGUCCCAUGUAGAAAAAACUUUAGAAAAAGAGAAUAGUAAGGGAGGAAACCCAACAAAUCAUGAACAGAGACAAAGACAAAGAUAAGGUGCUCAAACAGGAAUUAGAGCAAAGGGCACCGAAAAAAGGAAACCUUUCAUGUGUGGAAUAGGAAUAGAUAGAGUGCCCAUCAAAAGGAAGCAAUAUUAUAUAAGGGAGUUGUGAAAGCGAGAGAUAAUGCAGCGAGAAAACAACAAAAUGGAAAAGGUUGGUAAAAGAAAGAUGAGAAAUAGAGAGGACCUGAAAAGAGUUUGGUUGCAUAGCAGGGGAAACCACAUCCAUAGAUCAAAGAGGAAGAAACUAAAGAUAUUUAAAAAGUAAAGCAUGGGAAAUUGCAUGUGACAAUUUUUAAAAAGAAACUAGUGGAAGAAAGUGAGGUGCUAGAACCGAAAAAAGGAUAGAAUAAUGCUGUGAUUGAAGGAAAAUAAUGACAAAGGAAGGUAUCUGUGAGGAAAUAGACAGACAGAGAAAGGGAUGAAUAUUGGAAAGAGGCCAAAGGUAGAAAGAAAUAAGCAUAAGGGUAAAAAGGAAGGAGAUAGAAAAAUAAAUAAUAAAUACCCAACGGGAAAGGCUAGAGUGACAAAGCUAGAGAGAUGGCAUGGGGAAAGAACACAACAAACACCAGCCAUUGGGCAUAGACAAACAAAAGAGAUAAACAUAAAUAAAAGAGAGCUAAAUAGAGCAAAGAGAGAAACAAAGAAAGGGUGCUCAAAACUGAGAAGCGGAAAGGCAACUCAAGAGAACAGCCGAAGAAGGCAGAGAUCGGCAGAACAGUCAAAGGAAAGGCUCGGUCAUGAGUGGUGACAAGGCUCGCGGAGGAAAGCAACGGCACGGUAAACGGUGACAAGGCUCACGGAGUAAAAAGACCUGUUAUGAAGUUUCAAAGAUAAAGAAGCUGGGACAUCAAGAAAGACCAUCUGGCAUACAAAGAUUAAAAAUAAAAAAAUUUGGAACAAUAGCAAAAAAGCAUGUGAAGGCUAGGUGUGGUGAAAACACAUAUGAGAGGAUUGAUCAAAAGAAGAUGACUAUACAAGAUGAAGACCCAUGAUGGGUUAGGAAUGAGGAGUGUCAACGACUCUCAAUUUGACAGAGGUUAUCACAUGUUAGAAACUAGGCUCUGAUACCAUGUCAAACAAAGUAUGGUAAAUAUUCAAUUAUGCUCAGAUAUGCUCAUAUUUUUAUUCUUCUCCAAUAUGGAGGUAUUUAUACAAGUACAAAGCUGUGUUAACCCUAAAUAAAAUAGGAAAUAUAUCUAAAUUACAAUAGGAAGUAAAUCUCUAUUACAAUAGGACUAAAUAAUAAUUGGUAAGUAACCAAAAUUCUAAUAAAAUAAGGAACCAAAAUCCUAACUAAAUAAGGACUUGCCAACAGCACGACCUUGAUGCACUAUGAGAAUCGAGGCGCUGGCCACAAUGUUGGACGAUGCCAAUGCAUCUCCCAAGGGUCCGAGCUCCGGGCAGUCACCCCACUCGGAUAGCCCGAACGUGAGUGGUGAGGAACCUGUUUGCCCUCUUCCCACGAUAUAAAGAUCAUAGUCAUUUCCCAUGGCGCUUAUCAAUUUGAGAGUUUCUUCUCCAUUGUUCAACACCUCGUGAAUUAAUUUUAUGGAAGGUUGGUUCCUAGUAUUGAGCACAAAGCUCUCUAUAUAUUGGUCGUCUAGUUGUUUCUCCUUCUCAUUUUCCUCUAUCACCUCUAAAAUAUUCUUCUUUUCGUCCUCAUCAUGAUCGUGAUCAUUAUUAUUAGGAUUGUUGGGAGGGAGAUCUGAAUGAACUGCCGCAUCUUUACUGACGAUGAAACGAACCACAGUUAAGCUGAUAUUAGGUUUAGGGUUAGGAUUGCUGGCUAUCCUCCAUGCAUAUGCCAAUGCCUCGCGGUCAUCUGACCCACUAAUGAAGAGCAUGGCACAGCGGCAGCAGCCAUGGCCAUCUUCAUUUUUAAUGUUAGAUGAAUCGGUGAGUCCACGAUCCACGAAGAUGGCCACCGAACAAGAAGCGUUCUCUAGAAGAUUCUUGUUAAUGCCUCUAAAAGAGGGGUUUUCGUUGUCCAUUCCCCCGUAAAUGGUGGAUUGCUUGUGGAAAGGAAUGAUUAUGAGGUCUGCACUCUUGUCGUCCGCAAGGUUGCAAAUGUCCUCAUGCAUGGAGGCGUAAGAGGACACAACAGUUAGUGCCUCCACGAACAAGCUGCUUUCUUCACUUUCGUUCUCAAGUUUUUCAAAGGCAGCGACAAUUUGGUCAGAAGGCGAAGAGUGCUUUUGAUUUUUGGCUGUAAUUUUACUUGUCUUACGAAUAUUGCUGCAUGUGUCGUGGACUAUGAGCAUGGCAGAAGCAUGGCCACUGAGCUCCACCAGAUGGACCGCAAAGACGAACAUCGGGGAUUGUUUGGUGGGAUUGGAAAUCUCCAACAGAUUGAUGACGCUUGAAACAUUGCUUGUUGAAUGGAAGCAAGUAAGGAUUCGAAUCUCUGAGUUGGGUUGUAUGCUUCUUAUGCUUCUGUGCGUGUGCUGCUUAGAUGGCACAUUCGACUUGUAAAUCAAAGCCAAAAUGGGUCCAACCGCGGCCGUCAUUAUCAAAAUUGCAAGCAUCAUUACUGAAAAAGUAUUAUGGUCCAAAACCUGCAUUUAUAUAUAUAUAUAUUUGCCAAUUAAAACAAUAUAAAAUCAGGAAUUUAACACAUGGUUUUAAGAUAUAUAUUUCUUAGAUGUAAUCUAUGUGUACUAUUAUUUAGGAGAACACUUGGUACCAUUGUGUUAAAUUUCGGAGAGACGGGCCAGCGGUCCAUUACCAGCAACACCAAUAUUAUCCCCAACUUGAUUAAUUAAUCAUGGAAUAUUGUGUGUAUGUGGGUGUGGAAGAGGCAGCUGCACAUGCAAUAAUGAAAUAGUUGUACAUAAUGUUGGCGUGGCUUGUGGAUAUUGACUUACUUUCCUUACACACCAAGAAUUCCUAUUAUAAUUGUAAUUGAUUUAUUUUAAUUCCUGAUUUCCUACUGUAAAUGGAUUUAGGAAUUUAUUAUUUACUUGCCCAUUCAGGUUUCGUUGUAUUAUAAAUAUGACAUCCUACAAGGAGAAGAAUACACAGAAAAUUCCCACAAACAAAUAUUCUCUCAUAGUUUUCAUAUUUUAGCAUGGUAUCAGAUUGGCGAUCUUGGAAUUGCUGACUCUAGUUUCAAACCCCCGCCGCCGCUAUGGGGGUUGAUGAUUUUUUCAACCCUCAUGGAGGUAGCACCACCGACUCCUUCUCUCAUUCUCAACCAACCAUCGUUGAGUUGAGUGCCCAGAUGGCUCAGCUCCUACAGAUGCAGACUUUGACCCCGAACCCGAUCCAGAAUCAGGAUCCUCUUUUGACGACCCUGACCCCGACCCCGACUAUGAUGAUGACGACCCCGACCCCGACUCCGAAGACGACCCCGACCCCCACUCUGAUGACAACCCCGACCUCGAAUUUGUCUCUGAUUCAGACCCCGAUACUGAUUUCGACUCCGACUCCGGCCCCGACUUAGGCUCAAAUUCCGAUCCAAAUUCCUACUCAACCUGUAUCCUAUGCAUCUUCCGUUGCACAGAUUAUGACUUCUCGACUAACGACCCCGACACAUGGACCAGAUUGCGCAUAUUGUGGUGAUCCGAGACACACUUGUGAGACUUGUUUUAAAUUGCAUGGCUACCCCGAUUGGUGGGCUGCUUUUACAGAUCGAGGACAAUGCAAUAUGACCAGUAAUGGUACUGGUUAUGGAUUCCAUACUUCCGAUAAGAUUGAUUCCAGGAGCUGGAUAAUUGAUUCUGGUGCAACUGAUCAUAUGACGUUUGAUCCUGAUGAUUUUCUGAAUACUACACAACCUCGACGAACCUGUAUUGCAAAUGCCAAUGGUGUUACUUAUCCUGUGACAGGGGCUGGCACUGUUGCACUUUCAUCCUCUCUCACACUGUCUAAUACUUUACUUAUUCCAUCUUUAUCCACUAAAUUGUUGUCAGUUAGUCAGCUUACUGAACAAUUGAAUUGUUGUGUACUCAUUUACCCGAGUUUUUUGUUUGCUUCAGGAUAUUCACACUAAGGAGAUUCUUGGUCGUGGUACUAAGAGAGGGGGGCUAUAUUAUGUCGAUGACUUCAGUCCCGGCGUGGCUAACAGUGUGACACAUCCCUUUGAUAGCAAACAAAAGCAAAUCUGGUUGUGGCACCGUCGAUUGGGACAUCCGUCUUUUCGAUAUAUGAAGCAUCUUAUACCAGAUUUAUUCUCAGGUUUCAAGGACUUCGACUUCACAUGUGAUACUUGUAUUUUGGCCAUGAGUCACCGUGUGCCCUACCCGUUGAGUACGAACAAGUGUACUACUUCAUUUACCUUAAUUCACUCUGAUGUCUGGGGACCUUCGCCUAUCACUGCUCCUUCUGGUGUUCGAUGGUUUGUCACAUUCAUCGAUGAUUGUACACGGAUGACAUGGCUUUAUUUGUUGAAGAAUAAAAAUGAAGUGUUUUUCCAUUUUCAGUCUUUCCAUAAACAGAUGAAAACUCAGUUUAAUGCUCAAAUCCAGAUUCUUCGCUCAGACAAUGGUGGAGAAUUUGUCAAUCAUGACUUUCAGACUUACUUCCAACAACAUGGAAUUAUCCAUGAGACGACUUGUCCUCAGACACCGCAGCAAAAUGGCAUUGCUGAACGAAAGAAUCGACAUCUUCUUGAAACCGCCCGAGCACUUCUGAUUGGCGCUCAUGUUCCUCGUCAUCACUGGGAUGAUGCUAUUGUCACCGCAGUUCACCUGAUCAACCGCAUGCCUUCUGGUGUAUUGAUCUUUAAAACUCCCUUAUAGGUGCUUGCAGAACACAGACCUCUGCCCUCUGUUUUGGUACUCACACCUCGAAUCUUUGGAUGUGUGGCUUUCGUUCAUCUCCACAAAAAUCAACGUAGCAAACUUGAUCCCUGUGCGCUUCGUUGUGUUUUUGUGGGUUAUGCCACUCAUCAGAAAGGUUACCGCUGUUAUCACCCUCCUACCCAACGAACCUAUGUCACUUUGGAUGUGACCUUUAUGGAAUCUGAGAUGUUCUUCCAUGACCAUCAUCCAAUUCUACGCUUCAGGGGGAGAUACAAAGUGAAGAGCAGAAUUGAAGCAACUUGGAAAACAAAGAAAUUAUUCUCUGUACAGAAAUGAUUGAUCAUCCCGAGUCUGGAGCACGAGAUUACUCUCUGUCGAAAAGCGACCAAUCGCCCAUUCAUAGCGAUCAAUUGCCUAACCCACCUGAUCCAUGCGAAGAUAUUUCUGAUCUAAGUUUCACACCUACAGGCAAUACAAAACAACAAGAUGAAGACCCCCUCUCUAACUCAAUAGUACCAACACACCAAUCUCCUGAGAAUAUCCUUGAGGUAACUACUCCUACUAGACUUGUACAUUUAGAUGAUAAAACUAUUCGAUAUCAAUUACCUUUCAGGCAAAAUCGUGGGAAGCCACCAAACCGUUAUUCACCUGAUAUUGGCAAGACAUCCAAGUAUCCAAUUGCAAAUCAUGUAUCCACUGAGAAGCUGUCUGAACCACUCAAGGCUUUUGUGCAUCAGUUGUCUGCUAUCUAUAUUCCAACAAAGGUCUCUGAAGCAUUGAAAGAUCCUAAGUGGGUCCAAGCUAUAAAAGAGGAGAUGAAAGCUCUUGAGAAAAAUCAAACUUGGACAUUGGAGACUAUACCACGAGGAAAAAAAACUAUCGGAUGUAGAUGGGUGUUUACUAUAAAACACAAUGCAGAUGGAUCUAUCGAGCGAUACAAGGCAAGACUUGUGGCAAAAGGGUACACACAGACCUAUGGUAUAGACUAUGAAGAAACCUUUGCUCCAGUUGCAAAGUUAAACACCGUCAGAGUCUUAUUGUCCUUUGCAGCUAAUUUGGAUUGGCCACUACACCAAUUUGAUGUAAAGAAUGCUUUUCUACAUGGUGAACUCACGGAGGAGGUGUACAUGGACAUUCCUCCUGGAUAUAAUACUUCUCAGAUUGGAACAGUUUGCAGGUUACGAAAAGCAUUGUAUGGAUUGAAACAAUCACCACGUGCAUGGUUUGGACGGUUCACCAUGGCAAUGAAGAACAAUGGUUUCAAACAGUGUAACUCAGAUCAUACUCUGUUCUUGAAACAUCGAAAAGGGAAGGUAACAGCAUUAAUAAUCUAUGUUGAUGAUAUGAUUAUUACUGGGAAUGAUAAACAGGAAAUAUCACAGCUACAAGACUAUCUGGCUACGGAGUUUGAGAUGAAGGAUCUAGGUGGACUCAAGUAUUUCUUGGGAAUUGAGGUGGCUCGAUCACAGCAAGGCAUAUUUCUCUCUCAAAGGAAAUAUGUCUUGGACUUGUUGACAGACACAGGAAUGCUAUAUUGCAAACCUGCGGACACUCCUAUUGUUCAGAAUCAUCAUCUUGGAGAAUAUCCGGAUCAAGUUCCAACUAACAAAGAAAGAUACCAAAGGUUAGUGAGAAGAUUGAUCUAUUUGUCACAUACUCGACCAGACAUUGCUUAUGCAGUGAGCGUUGUUAGUCAAUUUAUGCACUCUCCAAGUGAAGAUCACAUGAAUGCAGUUCUUCGGAUACUUAGAUAUUUGAAGUCUGCACCUGGAAAAGGACAUAUGUUCUCAAAGCAUGGUCAUCUAAAUAUUGAUGGUUAUUCAGAUGCAGAUUGGGCAGGUAAUGUAACAGAUAGAAAAUCCACAUCGGGUUACUUCACAUUCGUGGGAGGUAAUUUGGUGACAUGGAGGAGCAAGAAACAGAAUGUAGUAGCUUUAUCCAGUGCAGAAGCCGAGUUCAGAGGCAUGACUAAAGGCAUUUGUGAACUUCUUUGGUUAAGAAAGUUGCUUACUAAACUUGGGUAUAAACCUACAUCCACAAUGAAUCUCUUUUGUGACAACAAGGCUGCUAUAGCCAUUGCACAGAAUCCGGUUCAGCAUGAACGUACUAAACAUGUUGAGGUGGAUCGACACUUCAUCAAACAGAAGCUUAAGGCUAAAGUGUUUCAGUUUCCUUUUGUGAAAUCCGAGGAUCAAUUGGCGGAUAUUUUGACAAAGGCAAUUUCCAGUAAAGCAUUCCACAAUUCACUAGAUCAGUUGGGUAUUGACGACAUCUAUGCACCAACGUGAGGGGGAGUGUUGGCAUGACUUGUGGAUAUUGACUUACUUUCCUUACACACCAAGAAUUCCUAUUAUAAUUGUAAUUGAUUUAUUUUAAUUCCUGAUUUCCUACUGUAAAUGGAUUUAGGAAUUUAUUAUUUACUUGCCCAUUUAGGUUUCGUUGUAUUAUAAAUAUGACUUCCUACAAUGAGAAGAAUACACAGAAAAUUCCCACAAACAAAUAUUCUCUCAUAAUAUUCAUAUUUUAGCACAUAAUAGUAUAUACAUACAUGUAAGUCCCGCCCAGAAUUGAGGAUUAUUAUAGCGAGCAGGCCUUUGGUGUUCAUGACUAGUCCGAAAGCCAAACUGUCCCUCACCGACAUUUUGUUGAUGAUGGCAGCGACGAAAGUCACAACAAAUUUAGCGAGGAAAGCCAGGGCAACAAUUGACAUGACAAUUAGAAGGCUUGUACUGCGAAAGACAACAACGACAUGCGUUCUCAUCCAAGAAUCAAAAAGAAGAGUGGCAACAAGAUUUUUGACACAAAGUCCUCAACCUUUUCGGUGAUUGCAGUUUUGAGCUCUCCCUUGGGCAAAAUGGCUCCCAACAUGAAGGCCCCAAGAAUGGAGUGUGACCCGAACGCAUCACUAAUGAACCCAAACAGUAGAACCCCGGCCAUGAUAAAGCAUAUUUGGCUGUCCAGGUCGUACUUUUCUUCAAAAAAGCUCGUGUUGCUAACCAUCCACGACAGCGCUGGACGAAGCCCGUAUACACAGAAUAUGAUCAAUGUGAAAGUGGACAACACUGUGUAAAGUUUGCCAUCGCUGAUUGUGGCCACCGUGAUGACAAGAAGAACUGAAGACAUAAGGUCGUUGAUGACGCUUACGGAGAGGGCGGUCCGGCCAACGUCACUGUGCAGUAGCUUGGCAUUGGCAAGUACUCGGGCAAGUUCGGCGAAGUUGGUGGUGGUAAGGGUGAUGCCCCAGAAGAAAGGACCAUAAGUGGUAGCCUUUAGUGGGCGGGAGUUGGGUGUUAGGGUUUUAUGCAGGAGAUAGCCAAGAGGGAGGGGAACCAGAAUUCCAGCAGCGGCAAUGCUCCAAACUUUUUUCUGGCCUGCAAAAUUGGCUUGAAAUCGACCUCUAAGCCCUGGAGGAACAUGUAGUAUAUCAACCCCAAGUUGGCCAUUGUCUCUAUGGUCAAUGUGCUUUUGACUGGAAAUAGGUAUUUGCGAGAGAACUGGGUUUUCUGGACAUAAGAUGGACCCAAAAUUAUGCCACCCUGCAAUGUGCGUGCCAAUGUAUUAUUAUUUGUCUUUGUCAUUAAAAUAUCAAUAUUAUAUUUAUAGAUGUGAUAUUCUCAAUGAAAAUUCGUGUUUCACCAGGUAAUCGUUUGUCUCUCGCUAUAAAAUUCUGAUCAUAAAGCAUAGAGCAUAGAGCAUAGAGAUAUAGAAUAGAAUUACAGCUUACUUACAAUAAUGUAAGCAAUGAUGCGAGGUUGGUGCAAAGGUGCAAGGAGAAGCUUGAGAAGGUGGCAUAUAAACAUAAUGAGACCUAGUUGGGUGAAGAAGAGAGGAAGAGUUGAAAGCAAGGCAUUCUCAGCCUUCCACACCCCAGUCACGUGUGUUAUCGUUUUAUUAUAACAUACCCUCGUAACAUCUGCUUCUACUACCCCGCCAUUGUCUCGUAGCGCAUCAUCCAUUACGUACGAUACUUAUAUUUACAAUUUUCUUUUUAUAAAAGCGUUGUUAAAGAAUUGGAGGAUUCAAACAAAAGACCUCAAAUGCAAAAGAAACUGUCCUUACCUACUUGAGCUACAAACUCUAUUUACAAAUUAGAUAAUAGGAAUUCAAGGUUUCUGUCAGCCCUCCCAAGCUACAUCAGGACGUCUUUCUUUUGCCUUGGAUGAAGUCCAAAUCGCUAGAAACACCACUUCCAUCAAAGACAAAGACAAAGACUAUGACAAUGAAACUAGAAAAGAAAAGUGAUUGUUAUCAGACAACAAAAAUUAAAGAGGAAUGAAUAGAAAUCAAAGUUUCAAUACUGAGGGAUUAAUUAGUUAAUUAGUUGCGCCUAAACUAGCUGUAAACUCUUCUUAAUUUGUUGGCUGUUAGUUCAGUUUGGUUGGCAUCCACGCAUUAUUAGACUUUUAUUUUUAUUUUUGGUGGCAUCCAUAUAUGCAUUAGAAUCUUCUUAUUGAAUUGAAUUGGAUUGGUUGGCUUUUCGAUCUCUUCCAAUUUUCCAUAAAUAAAGUUCUGAUGAAUCUCUACAUGUUUUGUUCUAUCAUAUUGAAUUGGAUUUUCAGCAAUCUUAAUUGCUAACUAAUUAUCACAAUACAACUACAUAGUAUCCUCAGUAGGAAAACGCAGCUCCCCCAUAAGCCUUUUCAACCAUAUAUAGCAGUUCACGAACACCUUUCACCAUAGCCUGAUAUUUGGAAAAUAGUAAGUAAACGCAGGGAGAAGUAAGAAAUUGGAAUCAUUCUAAUAACCAUGUGUAAGUAAACGCAAGAAAAGAAGGAAUUGGAAUGAUUCUGAUGCCUCUUUCUCUGUGUUAAAGUAAGUUUUCUUAAUGUUUUAUUAUUACUAAAAAUAAUUGAAAGAAUGAAAUUUUGAAUAAGAGAUGUGGAUGUCCGACUCAAGCUACCAUAUAAAUUAGUUUACAAAUUAAUGUAUAUAGAAUUGUGGUAUGAGUUAAAGAAAGAGAUAUAAAAUUAUGGUAUAUGAGUUGUAUUAUUGUUGGUGCUUGAUAUGAUAUAAGAACAUGGUAGGCAAGCUUAGUUUGCGCUAGGCACGCCCUCAGUGAGUGAGAAUGAAGGUAUUGAAGAAAGAUUCUGCUACUUUUGAGGAAAGAUUUACGGGACAGGUGUGGUUUCAGUGCGUGUUUGCAGCCAUUACGCUGAUACUGCUGGCGGGGUCGGUGCUUGGGAGGAUGAACUUCAAGGCGUGGAUGAUGUUCGUGCCGCUUUGGCUUACAUUUUCGUACACUGUCGGAGCUUUCAGCUUGUGGGGUGGAGGGUUCUUGUUCCAUUGGGGUGUCAUGGACUAUUCCGGUGGUUAUGUCAUUCAUCUUUCUUCCGGGAUUGCUGUCUUCACUACUGCUUACUGGGUAAAUUAAUUAAAUAAUUAACUACGCUAUUGCUAGUUUUCUUUCUCUCCAUUAGUCAACGUCUACAGGCCUGGUAAUUAUUGAUUAAAUAGUGCAUUAAUUCCUUGUAAUUAUAAAAUAGUGGCUUUAAUUUCUUUCGUUUUCUUCUUGAAUUUAAUAGUGACUAAACUCACACAUACUAUACGGAUGCUAAGACUCGAACUCAGAACCUUUCCAAACCACUGUUACACUAGAAUCAAUAGGAUCGAAUAUAUACAUAUUCCAUAAAGAAUUAAUAGGAUCAAAUUGAUGAGAUUCAAUUACAAGAUUCCCUGAAAAGGUGGAAGAAGAAACAAAAAGUCCUCCCUUAGGUUACUUAAAUUAAAACUGGCUUCUUAAUUAUUCAAAAGUAUCUGUGGAUGAAUCAUGGAUCAUCAGAAUCCUUAGACUUCGCAUCUCAUGCCUUAGACUUCGUGCAUAGUGAUCACAUAUUUUCUAUUCGCAAACUAUCUUUUAGGGUAAAGUCUACUAGGUUGGAAUAUUAUUAUUUUAAUUGGGUUACAAAGUUAUAAUAUUAACGAUGAUGACCUACAAAUAGUUUUAUUUUAUAUGUUGCCCCAUUUUUAAAUACUAUUUUGCCCUAUGUAUAUGGAUCACAAUAUUUAUCAAUAUGUAUAGUUCGGGUUAGGAAACGACAAAAAGUUGAUAUGACUAGGAGCUUAAAGAAUUAAUGAAGCGUGGAUGCAUUAACAGGGGUGGACCAUAUAUAGAUGUGGACAUCAAAAAUAAAAACAAAAACAAAAUUGAAUAUACGAAAUGUGACGGACGUGGUGUUUCAUUUUCAGUUUUUCUAAUAACAUCUUACGGAAAUCAUAUUCUAAAUUACUUCAAGUUAUUCUAACAUACGAAAAGUUAAUAGGUCUAAUUUAGUGGAAAAGAAUAUUAACUUAUAGAUCAGUAGUCUCAUAUUCAAAUCCUCAUAACACCUUGAUAGUGUGUGUGUGUGAAAAACUCCCUCUCUUUUGAAGUUUACAUUACGCUUAUAUUGCAAAAUUAUAUAUAUACAAAAGAGAGUAUUAAUGAGUUAUUAUUGUUUGUUAAUUCAUGAAAAUGAAAUGGUGAUGAUGAAUAGGUAGGACCAAGGGUGAAGAAGGACAGGGAGAGAUUUCCACCAAACAACGUACUUCUGGUGUUAGCAGGAGCCGGGUUGCUGUGGAUGGGAUGGGCAGGUUUCAACGGGGGAGACCCGUACGCGGCAAACACGGACUCAUCCAUGGCCGUCCUCAACACCAACAUCUGCGCCGCCACGAGCUUCUUGGUUUGGACUUGGCUCGAUGUCAUCUUCUUUGAGAAGCCUUCCGUCAUUGGAGCUGUCCAAGGAAUGAUCACUGGCCUCGUCUGCAUUACUCCUGCUGCAGGUACGUAUUACGUAAGUUCUCAAGUUGACUUUUUUCCAGAGUUGAGUAAAGUUGAAUUAUAUGCCUAUGGGUUUAAUCUAGUGAAAAAGGAACUUGAUUUGCAAAACAAUAAGAGUAUAUGUGAGAAAACUCCCCUCCUUUUCAAACCUUGACCCAAAAAAAAACAAAGCAAAGUUGACUUAUAUUUAUCAUCCCAAUUAAUAAAAACAAAAUUAAUAUACUUACUUACUCGUCACAAAACGCAUUGCCUUCCAUUAAUUAAUCCAGAAAAAAUAAGUUUAUUUGACUUUUGACUAUUCAUAUUUACGUUCCCUCACAGACCACGUUCUAGUUCUAUUUGGUAUCCUACUUGGAUUCAAUUUUAUAAACUCAAAAACAAAUUUUGAAGUUUAAAACCACAAAAACUCGUUUGAUAUGCCCCUUUUUAAAAACUCAAACUCAAGAAAAAUUCAAAAGCACCCCUUUAUUAAAAAAAAAAAGAAGAAGAGGUUUUAUAGUUUUUUUCUCUCUCCUCCCUCUCCCUGUCUCUUUCUCUCUCCUUCCACUUCUCUCUCUCUCUCUCUCUCUCUCUCUCUCUCUCUCUCUCCUUUUAUUUUGGAGGUUUCAAUUUGAGAAUUUAGGGUUUCUGAUUUUAAUUUCAAUUUUUUUAGAUCUUAAAAAUAGUUUGGAGUUCAAUACCAAAAAAGUUUUUGAAUCUUAAAAUCACCAUUUGAAAACUCAUAUUUUAAAAAAGAAUCAUAGUUUUUGAAUUUUUUUUUUUUUUUUUUUUUUUGAGUAGGAUACCAAACAAGGCCAAUUUCCUUUAAAAAAAUUCUCAUAUGGUUCUCUAACGUUUUCUCUAAAUAUAUUUGCAUCUCUUUAUAUAUAUUAUUUAGCCAGUUUUUAACAGGAGAGGUGACUCAUGGCAUGUUGUGUUGACCAUGCACAGUCAUUUAAUUAACCAUAUUAACUAGCUAGCUUUUAUUUUACUUUUGUUUGUUCAUAGACUGAUACAAUAUUAUUGUUUAAAUAUGUAAAUUAUUUAGGUCUGGUUCAAGGAUGGGCCGCUAUAGUGAUGGGAGUUAUGUCAGGCAGUGUGCCAUGGUUCACCAUGAUGAUAGUGGACAAGAGGUGGAAACUGCUAUCUGCAGUUGACGACACCCUUGGUGUAGUUCACACCCACGCCGUGGCCGGGUUUCUUGGCGGCGUUUUAACGGGGCUUUUCGCUGAGCCUGAACUAUGUGCACCUAUUUAUCAUUGGAUGGAAUAUUGUGGUCACCUACAUUAUUUGCCUAGUCUUACGGUGUAUAGUUCCGUUGCGCAUGCCGGAGGAACAGUUACUGAUUGGGGAUGACGCAGUGCAUGGAGAAGAGGCAUAUGCAUUGUGGGGUGAUGGGGAGAAGUAUGAUGUUACUAGGCAUGAGCUUUACUCCGACGAUACGUCACACGCUCAAAAAUAUCCAUCCAGUGGUGCCACUCAGGUGGUCUAACUCAAAGUUAUAUAUUAUUUAUGUUAAUAAUCUGUUCCAAAAAGAAAAAAGAAAAAAAAGGCCAAAAAUGAAAAGAGGAAAAAACGAAGUACGAAAAAUAGGUGUUAUUGUCAAUUAUUAUCUUAUUUUCUGGUGAUCUUUUCAAUGUUUUAUGUAAACUGCCUAUUGCCUCCGGUAAUUAUUCAGGGAAAUUUGGAACACCAAACCAUUUUUAACAUGUUUAAGAUUAUUAGCCCCUUUUUUUAAUUUACAAAAUAUAAUCACUAGAGCCCUCUCGAAUAGUGUUACCUUUACUUGAACCCUAGCAUUAGUAUUUGGAUCUUUAUUAGUAACUACAAAGGCUCCAUUUGGUGGAGAGAGACUUUCAUGCAACAGAAAUAACACUUUUUGUUAUCUUCGAUCAAUAGAGCAAUAACAUGCGGGAUAAUUCUUCCACGUGUCAUUGCAUUAUUGACCGAGAAUAGCUAAACAAUGAUAUCCUCGUUACAAGAAAUUUGUUUUUUGCAUUUGGUGGAUGGAUAAAAACACUGGAUUGGAUCCAUAAUCAUACUCCUGUGUUUAGUGGCCCAAGUCCACUUGGAUUGGAUUACUUCUAAAUUCUAUUCCUGUCAAACUCAAUUUUAGUAGGAUUAGGAAUCCCCCCAAAACUAGGGGUGGACAUUCAAACUGGAAAAUUGAAAAACUGAGCCGACAAAAAACUGCAAUUUUGUACAAUUUUAGUUCUGAUUCUUGUUGUGAAAAAGCUUGACUGGGUCAAACCAGACUGACCACGUAUUUUUAAUAUAUAUUUAACCCCAUUACUAAAUUUGUAAGCCUAUAACUAAUCUUUCUCUAAAUCACCUAUAUUUUUUAGGCCCAAUCACCUCCCUUUGCAUUAAAUUAGGUCACUUGUGAAUUUUUAAAAUUCAAAAAAAAAAUAAUUUAAACAAGGGUAUACUAGUGAUUUGCCCCUGAACUUGUACCUAAUUUUCGAUUAAGCCUCUAUCCUUUUUUUUUCGAAAAUUAAGGAUAUGAACUUUUUUUUUCAGCCAAUUUCCCCCCUAUCGUCUAAAUUCUCAACAUUUCAUCCAAUUUUCAGUUAAAUUAUUUUAAAAAAUUACUUUUUUUGAAAAAAUUGAAGAAAAAGAGUAAACCUAAUGCCAACCCCUUCCAUCUCCUCCCUUCCUCCUCCCAUUCUCCCAUGACCACCAUCCUUUACUCCCAGACCAAUCCCCCACCCCCACACCCUUCAAUCCACAGACCCCUCCCUCCUCCUCUCCCUGUUCACCCGUUUUGAUUUCUACUCCUGUGAUGGAAGGGCAAAGUUCCCCAUUGCCUUGAAAACCAUUGACUGGUCAACAAGCCAACUUUCUUUGGUGUGCGAGCGUGCCACUAAUAGCAAUGAAAAAUCCUAGCAGACUUCUUUGAAACAGAUAACUUGCGCCCCAAGUUACUAAUUUGUAAACAAACGAUUAUGAAUUUGGGGGAAGAAUAUCUCCCAAGUAAGUUCUUUUCCUGCCUCAGGCUGGUGAGGACUUCAUAAUUUAUCACAGUAUAAAAUUGGUAGUUCUGGCCAGAAUAGAUGAUAAUAAAGUGGACUGUUUUAGGCAGAACUGCCUUUUACAAAUUUAAGAAGGAAAAACCAACUCUAAAAAGACAAAAAGAUGGCUGGAAUCCCAUUUCUGCCUGGGUAGAAACUUCUAAUCCAGGACGGACUGAGCUGUUAACAACUUCUACUGCUUAGCUUUAGCUGUAAAUCGAUACCAAGGUUCAAUUUUGGCAGAGCUUUAAUAUACUUCAAGCCUUGGGAGGCUUUUGAACAGGCAGAACUGCGGUUUCUUUAGUCUGAAGGGGUAGAAAUGGCUGGACUUGAGGAUUUAAUGAGCUGGAACUGCACUGUAAAAUUUGUUGAGGUUUUCAUAUUUGUGAAAACUUAAACUCUGCUUGGGCUUUUGCUGAACCAAAUUUGUAACGAGAGGAGUCUCGUAUUGGAUGACUUAUUUCUCUGAGUUUGAACUUGGAAGUUCUGAUCUACGGCUGGCUUCUUUUGUGGUUCAAAUGAGCCUUUGGUUGCCCCAAUUUGUUUUGAAGGUUCUCAGUGAUCAAGUGAUCAUUUUGAGUUUUUUUUUUGCCUUUGGUUGAUGUUUUUUUUAUUUUUUAUUUUGAUCGUCUUUUGAUUGUCUAACUUUUCCUAUAUUUAUAAGAAAUGCUUUGAAGUAGGGUUUCUUUCUUUUAAUAAUGGGUGGCAAAAAUUCUCAAAAAGAUCUUUCAUUUUUCUAUACAAAGAAGAAGAAGUUUUUAUCAAUUGCUGGCAGAUAGGCUUUCGAUAGUCAGUUCUUUUUAAGACCAAUCACUUCUCUGUUUUUUUGAAAGAGAACCUAACCCCUCUUUAAUUCCAACUGCCCCUUUGUGAGAGCUCAAACCGUGAUGUUCAGUUUGCUUUUCCAGUUUGAACAACUCCUUGUUUUCCUGCUUAUCUUUUUUUGGGAAAUUUAGCCUGCGUAUCCCUUGAAAGAUGGUGCUUUCUUUGGAGUAGAAACAAUAUCUCUGAAUAUAUAAAAGGGUUUUGAUCUUUGUGGUGGUAGAGAUUUCAGAGACAUCCUUUCUUUCUGCCUCCCUCUGUCAACUCUCUUAUCAACCUAGUUGAUUUUGUUUGACUUUUCUAAGUCAGAGAAAAACAAUCACGUGGGUCUGUUUUCUUUUGAGUUUCUACUUUUUACUUUGAUCAUGCCAAGCCCAAUUUAGUUUCUUCGAAACCCAAGCUUGAGAUAGGUUCUAGGCCGGGCUUUUGUUGGAUUUUGGACCUUUGGUUCAUGUUUAUUCUCAGAGUCCAGACUUCUCGGGUCCAGCAUUGUUGUCUUUGUUAUUCUGGGCUUUGUAGCGUUUGGGCUGGGUGCGCAAGAUUUUGGCCCAAACAAUCCCUUUUUGUUCUUUCAACCACACACUCAUCACCACCAUCCCCAACAGACCUUCCGCCGUCGCCGCCUCUCUCUCUCUCUCUCUCUCUCUCUCUCUCCACACACACACUCCCUCAAUUUCCCACCCCAUCUGUUAAUUUCAAUAUCUCCACACUCGAAAAGCUCACAGUCGAUCCAAGCCUUUCAAUGCCUCCCAUCUCAAGCUUUUUCCAAAUUCACACAAAACCCAUCAACCAAAACAUCAAAAAAUUCAAUCUUAAACACUUGGAUUUGGAAAAAAGAUCAAAAUCAAAUAAAAUCUAAUAGAAUUUAAAUCCAUGCCACCGGAUAGCAUUUGGGGUGGGAGGUUGUGGGGAAGGAGAAAAAAGAGAAGGGACGGUUGGGGUGGGGUGGAAGGGCCAUUGGAAGUUAUAUGGAGAGAGGGAGCGUAGAGGGGCCAGAAAAAAUAGAUGGAGAGGGUAGGGGUGAGGGAGAGAGUGAUUGGUUGGAUGGGCCUCUCUCUUAUUAAAAUAUUUUUUCUUUCAUUUUAUAUUUCAUAUUAUUGUAUUUGUGUAUUUAAUUAUUUUAACAUAUAAAAUGACCAUUUUGCCCUCAUAUUUAAUGGCAAAUUGGAUGAAAAGAAGUUCAUAUCCUUAAUUUUCUAUAUAAAAAAAAUAAAAAAAUAAAAAAAAAACAAGACAGGGGGUCAAUUGAAACCAAAGUACAAGUUCUGGGGGCAAAUCACUAGUAUACCCCAAAAACAAAAAUUUCAAUCCCAAUUAUGGGCAAAUUAGACCGCAUUGGAAUGAAUGAAUUUUUUUUUUUUUAUCAAAACCAAACCAAAUCAGACAAAUAAAUAGUGCUAGUUCCGGUUUGGGGUAAGAACCAGAUCGUGCUUACCCCUAACGAAAACUAAGGGAUAAACUCGGAUAUGCUACGAUCGAGUGCAACCCAACCCCGACAGAUUAGGUUGCAGUCGUCUCCUCCAAUCUUCAUCCCCAACAUUGAGCCUCCAUCACCUCGACGAUAACUCAGCCAUCUCCGACAAACUUGAGCAAUUUCUGGCAAAACCCAACCAUCUCCUGCCCAAACCAUUUCAUCACUGAUCAUAUUUCUCCUAUGAACUUCUUCAUCAUAAGUGAUCAUUUCAUCACUGAGAUUCUCAACAUCUUGUGUUUUUGUUAGAUUGUAUGUGAGUUUUGAUUAUUAAAUUCUUUGACAAUAUUUGAGUAGUUUAUAGGUUAGGAUAAAGCUUGAAUUCACCGGAAAAUUUUCAUUUUUUCUAUAAAUAUUUGACAUACAAUAUGGGAUUUUUUUUCAUUUUCUCUUUUACAUUUCCUGGGUUUUUGUAAUGUUUGAAAUCUAUGUGUGUCUGGGACUGCAAUUGGGUAUAUUCUUUGAAGGCCCAAUUUUGUCUUUUACAAAUUUACAACUGCUAUUAAAUUUCUAAUAUCCAUUUAAGCAAUUAACGGAGCGGAGAUGAUAAAAUUUGUUUAAAUUUAUAUUGAUUAUGAUUAUUUAUAAAUUUAUAUAGAUUAUGGUUAUUUAUAGUUUAUUUUUUGGAUUUAUAAUUGGGAUAUUUGUAGAAAUGUCACCUGAAAUUCUACCUUAGUUUCAAUUUGUUAACUGAAAUUUUUUUUUAAGAGAAAUGUCACCUGAAUUUUUCAAAAUCUAUCAUUUGUCACUUGACUUUAACAUCAUCCAAUUUUCCAUCUAUUUUGAAGGGUAAUUUAGUCUUUUUAUUUUCAAUGGUAUUUUAAAAAUAGAAAAUUCAUUAUAAAAAAAAAAUUAUAUAUCUUUUAAAUAAUUAAAAAUAAAAAGAAAAAAUUGUGAAAAAAAACUUCUCUCUUCUCCCUCUUUAUCUUCCACACCCACCAUCACUACUCUAUUUAAAUACAAUUUAAAAUAAAUAAAUAAAUAAGAGUUAACUUAAUAAAUAAAUAAUUUUUUUUAGAACAUAAAAAUCAAAAAUCAAAAGAAUGAAUGACACCACCUCCAAUCCUCCAAUCCCAACCGCCAGCCACCAUUGUUCUCUCUUCUCUUUCUCCCCAACAACAACCCACCACCCCAACUCUGAUCCAUCUCACCCCUUAAUAUAUAUCUCUCUCUUCCUCUCACAAGAACAAACCCUGCCCCACCAUCCCUAGUUGCUCACCCUAGAUUUUCCAACCCAUCUCCACCCCAAUCUCUGCCCAUUCGAGGGUCACCCUACUUCUCUGUCUCCAUCUCUCCCAUUUGGCCAUGCCCAUCCUUCCCACCUCUCCGUUGCUGGGUCCUUCCUUCCCCCGACAACCCCCUUCCUUUUUUCAAGUUUUUUUCCUUUCACUAAUUAUUUAUUUAUUUAUUUAUUUUUUGUCUGAUCAGUUUUUAAAAUUUGCCAAUAUGUUAAAAAUGGAAAACUUAGGUUUUUACAUUUAACCCCCCAUCCAUUUUUACAUUUAAGCUUUUUUUUUUUUAAAUAACAAUUUUUUUCAUUUUAAAAAUACCCUUGAAAAUGCAAAAACUAAAAUACACUUCAAAAUAGAUGGAAAAUUGGAUGAUGUUAGAGUCAGAUGACAAAUUUUAGAUUUUGAAAAAUUAAGGUGACAUUUCUCUUAAAUUUAUUUCUCAUGUGACAAAUUGAAACUAAGGUAUAAGUUCAGGUGACAUUUCUACAAAUAUCUCUUUAUAAUUUUUAUGAUUUUUAUUUUAUGAGAAUUUGACUUUUUAUCUCCAGGUAUUGGAAAAUUACUGUUUUUAUUUAUUUUAUUACAAAAUUGUUAUUUUUUAUGUAGAAAAGUUCAAAAUUAAAAUGGCAUGUUUAACUUAAUCCAGUUUGACACCAAACAUAGGAUUUGAUUGGUGUUAUCCACUCCAAUCCAAUGCAAUUCAAUCCUACUUCAUAAUCCAAUUCAAUUCCGGUCCCCAAACAGACUAAAAGAUUCAAAAGAACUACACAAUUAAACCUUAUUAAUUCCCUUCAAGUAGUGCUUGAACCUUACUUGAAUCUCUUAAUUAGUACCAAUGUUUACAAAGAGGGAUUCAAUUAAUCUGUAAAUAGACAUCAGUUGAAUCCAAAGUCAAAUUCAAAAGAUAUUUAACCCCAAUUUAUAGACCUUAACUAUGUACAAAUGGUUCAGCCCUAAGGAAAGAGAGAAAAUCCUAAGGAACCCCUUGGGGUCAGUGGCCUCCCUCCCUCCCCUCUCCACUAGUUCUUCCCUACUCUCCUAUCCUCCCCUCCCCUCCCCUCUCCUCUCAUCUCCUUACAUCCCUAUUCCCCUCGAUACUUCUUUGUUUUUGUUUUUGUUUUUUUUUUUUUGGUGGUGUGAAAUCAACUGUUGUGAAAUGAUGUAGUCGUCAUGAUAGUUGUCAUCUUUCAACCCACGUACAUGAGAAUUUGGCUCCAUUUGUCAUCCUUCAACAUGGUUUAGAGCCACAAGAUGGGAAAAAUGUCGGGCUGCAUCGCGUUUGGGUUUAACCGGUGAAGCUGUGGCUUUCUGUCGGCUGUUGAGGAUGUGGAGCGAUGGCCUUGCUUCUUAAUUUGUUUUUGUCUAAUAAUUUCCAUGAAUCCAUGAACUGUAUAGCAAUUUGGUGUGUGUGUGUGUGUGUGUGUGUGUUUAUUUAUUUAUGUUUAGGAGGUUUUAUUUCUUUUUAGCUUUUACGGAUCUCUCAUUUUUGCUGAUGCGCAGCGAAUUUGUAUUAGAGGUUCGAGUAGGUGUGCUUUUGGUUGCUGAGUCAGGGAUUAUAGUAAUUUUGUGGAGAAGAUUCGUGUUGUUGUUGCAUUUAGUCACUGGAGAAGAUUUACCAAUAUUCAGAACCAUAAUUGCUUUGUACUUUUUUCAUAAAAAAAAUUAUUAUCGAAUAUUCAGAAGGCAUUUAAUUCCCUUUUUCUUGAACCGUUGGUCAUCUAUGUUGCACGGGUAUGUUGAUAUGAUACGAUAAGAUUCAUCGAUAAGGCAAAAUUCCAAAAAACUAGGAUAGGGGUACAACAUCGAUACGGUGAUUAAAAUAAUAUAUAUUUAAAAAUAAUAUAAAUAGAAAAAAUUAAUAUUACAUCCAUCAUGUCAUAAUCAUCCAUCAGAAGUGCAAAACAUAAAACUAAACACAAAAUACAAGUCUCCAUAAACAAAACACAAAAUACAAGUCUUCAUAGGAUUGUUCAAAUCAUAAAAAAAUAUAUAUAUAAAAAGCAAUACAAAAACAAAAUUUCUAACUUCAUUCAUCAUUGUCAUCAUAGGUAAAUAUGAUUGCUUCUAAUUCCUUCUUCCUAUUUCUUCUUCUUUUAUAGUUAUUCUCUCCCAAAUAAAAUGAAGACCUAGCUUCUAGCUUAAGAACACACACCAAAUCAAAGUUACUCAAGGCAAACAAAACUCACCUUCUAGAGGAACAGAAAAACUGGGAACUGAUACACAAUAAAAUAAGAGAAAGCCAAAUUCACCGGUUCCUCAAGAGUACAUUUUACAAAUUAAUGACACAAAGGGAGUUUUGCAAAUGAUCAAUACACCAGUAGAUUAGUUAAAUAUAAGGUGCUUACAAAACAAAAAAAUCAGGAAUCGAUUAAAUACAUAGUUGGUCAUUAAGGUCUACAAGAAUCGAUUAAAUGUCUUUCCAAUGAUAAAGUUUUUUUCUAGUUUUUGGAAAUACUUAAUAGUGUUGUUUUUGCAGCCAAGUUAUUUUAGUUAUGUGAGACAAAUUGUAUAGAAAAGUGAGAAGUAGAGAAAGACAAUAGAAAUUGUUCUUAAAAGUAUCUUUUGUGCUUCAUAAAGCACCUGUACUGCUAAUUACCAUAAUAAGUGUAUAGGUUACAAAACAUAGAAAUUGUGGAGAUUAUAAACUUCUGUAAAAGAAAACGACACGAUUUUAAUUAGCGUGUUUAUGUUUUUUUUUUUUCUUUAAAGAAACUAUUUUCUAACCUUAAAAAGAUCCAAAUAUACCACUAAAAGUAGGUUUUUUAUUUGGGGAGAAUAGAUGCUUUAUUAAAAAUAGAGUAAUGCUACACUUAUCACAUUUUUAUCCCACAUUUCUAUACCGCAUGAUGUGGCAUACCCAUAUUAUAUGCCACAUCAAUUAAAUCAAUGAAGUGUAUUUUAAUUAAGACAAUUAGAAAAACAAAUACUAGAAUAAAUCAUAAAAGAAAAGAAAAUAUUAAAUAAUUUUAAUUGAUGUGGUUGUGUACCUCAGCUGUUACAUAAGAUGGUAUAAAGAUGUGAUAUACAAAUGUGGUAAGAGUAGCAAUAUUCUUAAAGAUAAUAAGCACCAUAAGAGUUUAUAAAAGAUAGCACUAAAAGUAACCAAUACUAUUCAAAACCCGAACAUUAAAGACAUAAACAAAUGCAUAAAAAAUUAAUACUAGCUUACUAAUAUUACUAUUAUUACUAUAGCCCCUUCACUCACGCCAGAGGAUGAGGAGAUGGAAAUCCUGAAUCAUUAGGAACUCAAAGAAGCCAAUAAUUUAUUGGGCAAUUUCCAAGACCAUGGCCAAGCACAAAAAAUGAGACCAAUGCUGCAGGAAAGAAACAAAUGGAUAUUGGACCAAAGGCUUGUUGCACUAAUAAGUUCCAUAUCCAAGAGACCAAUGGGCCUCGUGAAGUAUAUUUAGAGCAAAGUUACAUGGGAGCUUCUAUAGUGAGUGGGAAGUUAUAAGGGGUGUUUUUGAGGGGUAUGUAAGAGCCGUUGGAUUUCAUCCAACGGUGAGUUUUUAAAAGAGGGUGCAUGUAGAAUCGGGUUGAAAUCUAACCCGUUAGAAACCCAACUUCAGUUGUUCCCCUCUUUCCCUCUCUGUGAAAAACUAAAGAACACAAUCCUUUCUUUUUGAAUGUAAAGCAAACCCACAAUUAGAAGGAUCCAAAUCUCCCAAACCUUAUAGUCACUCCACUGUCAUUAGCUCGUUGGGAGGCCUGCGAUCUAUGGUAUCCUGGGUAUUACGAAGAAUGGCUCUUACCUAGCUGUUGCCCUGUUUUGAUUCUAUGGCUCAAGUGAAAACCCCUUCUCUUUUUCAUUCAGCUGACAAGAUUCCAGAUGAAAGCAAAGUAGCAUAUCUGUUUUUGUAGCUAGAAGCCGCAGCAGCAGUUGUUCCUUGAUUUUGGUAGAGAUGGAGUCUCAAAUACCAAAGAGUCUUCUGUAAUGUCCACCACAUUGUUUCAAGCUGACUGACUUCAGAGCUCCCGAUUGAUUUUGAGAGGUAAGUUCACUUGCUGGAUUGAUUUUAUUGGGUUAGGUUUAUUUUUUGUGAGGGUGGGAAAUUCGUCAUUUGUGGCAUCAAUAAUGUGUCAUUUCCUUAUGAAUAUUCAAUAUACUUAGUUCAUUGUUGUUGGUCGGGGUGGAAAAUUAUGAAAUGUAGGUAAAAGAACCUAAACUUAGGCUUAAUGACAUUAGGAGUAAGCAGUUGGAGAGGAUAUUGGGUGAAGUUCUGUAAUUGGUGGUUUGAAUUACAUUUGUGUUCUUAGUUGAACAUGUUGGUUCUAAUGUUAUUUUGACCAGAUUAUUUCCCAAGAGAUGACGUAACUUGUAUGAAAUUUUGCUUGUGUUUUGUGUAAUCGGAAGUUAGGCUAUGCGUAUUUUGUGUCAAUUUGGGCAAUGUUUUGUGUAAGUGGAAUGCAUUGAUAUGUUGUGAUGCAGUAAUGACUGAUUAAUGAAUGAAUAAUUGCUAUGCAGUAAUAUAGAAGUGGAUCAAUAAUAUACGUAGAUAAAAUGUCUGGGGGCUCAGAGAGUGAUGAAUGUGCAACAGCUAAUGGGAGGGUUUAUAUUCCUGAAGUAAGAAAUGAGGAAACACCAGCAGUUGGGAUGAAGUUUGACUCGCUUGACCUCGUUUACAAUUUCUAUAAUAGAUAUGCAUUCUUGGCUGGUUUUGGUAUUCGACUUCAUUCUAGCUUUUGGGGGAAAAAUAAGAAAGAGAUUUUGAGGAAAGAAUUUGUAUGUUGCAAACAAGGUGCAUACAGGAAGGAUGAAACUCGGGAGAGAAAAAGACAACGGGGAAUAAGUAGAUGCAAUUGCAAAGCAAAGAUUGUGGUUGUGAAGAGAAAUGGGAGCAAGAAGUAUACCAUUUCUCUUUUUGCAGAGGGACACAAUCAUAAGAUGACACCCUCAGAAAGAAUGCAUUUAUUGAGAUCACACCGUCAUAUUUCAGAUUCUACAAAAGUACUCACAAAACAGUUGGGUUCAGUUAAUAUUCCCAUUCAUCAGAAGGUAAGUAUUUUCGAGGUGCAAUCCGGAGGAAUGGAUAAAAUCGGUUUUAUCAAAAAAGAUAUCUACAAUCUUGAAUGUAGUGUGAAUGGGAAGCUGAGGAACCACGAUGUUGAACUAGUGACCGAGUAUUUUAUGGCUGAACAGAAAAAAAAUGAGGCUUUUUAUUUCAAGAUUGAGGGAGAUGGGCACGACAGGUUUAGUCGAUGUUUUUGGGCAGAUGCAACUUCUAGACGGGCGUAUGGGUUUUUUGGAGAUGUUGUUGUAUUCGAUACCACAUUCAACACGAAUCGAUACGACUUGACAUUUGCACCAAUGUUGGGAGUUAAUAACCAUGGUCAGACAAUUGUGUUAGCAUGCGCAUUUUUGAGCAAGGAAACGACUGAGUCGUUUGUUUGGAUGUUUGAGGAGUUUAAGAAAGCCAUGCCAGGUGGGGAACCUAAAACGAUCAUUACAGAUCAAGAUGCGGCAAUGGCCAUAGCGAUUUCAAUAGCCUUCCCGAGUACAUUUCAUCGACUUUGCAUAUGGCACAUCACAUCAAAGUUCUCUGUUAAGUUACCACGUGACGCUUAUAAGGAGUAUUGGCCUGAAUUUCAGAAAACCAUAUGGGAUACUGACAAUAAGGAUGAGUUUGAUGCAAAAUGGAAUAUUGUGGUUACAAAGGCUGGUUUGACUGACCAUCCAUGGCUAAGUUCAAUGUUUGAUUUAAGGGAAUCUUGGGUUCCAGCCUACGCACGACAAUUUUUUGCCGCUGGAAUGUCAAGCAGCCAAAGAGCGGAAGGUUCUCAUGGUUUUUUCAAGCAAUACAUAUCAAGGAGAAAUUCGUUGAUGGAUUUCAUAAUACGAUUUGAGAGGGCACUUUCUCAUCAACGUGAAAAAGAGUUAGUUGCUGAUCACGUAGAUGCAUUUGAAGUGGCUCAAUGUCUUCUACCGAUGCCAAUGAACAAACAAAUGGCUACCUUGUACACAAGGACAAUGUUUCAAAAGUUUGAGCAAGAACUAAUACAAAGUACAGCAUGUUUCCUAGAGCUCAAAACAGAGGAUGCUUGUAAAGUUGUGUUCAACGUGAGCGAAAGGAAAAAUUGGGAAACAAGGGUGGCAGAAGUCGUAUAUGUCAAAGAUUCUGACCACGCAUCGUGUAGCUGCAAAAGAUUUGAAUUUGUUGGAAUUAUUUGCAAGCACAUCCUAGCAUUGUUCAGAAGGGACCAGAUUGAAUAUAUGCCCGAUAAAUAUAUUUUGAAGAGGUGGAAGAAAACUGCGAAAUGUGGAUUGGUGUCAGAUGCAAAUGGCAACGAAAUUAAAGACUGUGCAGAUCCUGGCCUUCUAAUAAAGCGGAGUACAAUGUCUCGACUUGCUUCAGAUGUGGUUGAGGAUGCAUUAAUGAGUGAAGAAGGAUGUGAGCUACUGUCAGAGACUCUAAAAAGUUUGCAGGUGAAGUUGAAGUUGCUGAAGGAUGGACCAAGUAAUAACGAAGUUGGAGGGUCCAGCUCUCAAACACAAUAUAUGAAAGACCCUAAGAGAGUGAGGUGCAAAGGAAGGUCGAAAGGAGUAACGGGAGCAAAGGAAAAGGCAAUGAAGCGAGGGAUUAGACACUGUCGGGAGUGUGGACACAUUGGUCAUGAUAGAAGACAAUGCCCAGCCUUGAACACACCGUAAGAUGCUAACACUAUUUGUAAUAACAUCUAAAAUAUGAAAAGGUAAAAUUUUUAUGUGCUUGUGUUUGAUGUUUAUGCAGGACAUCACCGUCGAACAAUGACGAAUCAACUCCAAUACAUCGUAGUGACCCAUUAUUCGACGAUUUUGACAGGAUGCACAGACCAACUGAAUGAUUGAUAUUUGUAUUAGACGAAAUGUGGUUGUUAUCAAGAUUAAUGAUCAAGCGAAGUUUUAUAGAUUCAGUUUUUGAAUGUUAUUGUGUUUUUGUUCAUGUCCACCGAUGAGCUCUUACUAUGUCCACUGGUAAUUGAAAUGAAAAUUUGCUUGGUUUCAUUCUUCCAAGACAUUUGGAGACAUGUUCAUUUUACGUCUUCUCCCUAUUUAUAAAUUUUCAUAGACAUUUGAUCAAGUAUGAAAUUUGUAGUUAUGUGAAGAAGCAAUGACUCUUACCAUGUUAAAUGGGCAGUUUAGGGUGAAAUUUGUUUUAACAGAGAUUCAUUUUUCAAAUCCUCAGGGUAAUGCAGCAAUUACAGCAGCCAGCUGUUGUUUCCAUUACCAGUAAUCAUUUCCAGCAGCAGCCACUUUUUCCGACUGGUUAUUAGGGGCACGAUUUUGUACACUUUUGUAAGUGAAGGAUACUCGAAGCACUUUGUUGGAACAGAGCAAAUAGAAACCAGCGGGUAAAAAAAAAACAUAACAUUGCAGCUAAUUACAUUUCGAUACAUAGGUGAAAAAUAUUAAAGGGUACACUAACUUACAUAAAUACUCAUAAUUCCACACACAAAAGAACAUUUGAUUGCAAAACAUAUUAUGUGCUUCCUCAUAGCAAUACCACGAUCUCCCCAACCAACUGAACAACGGUAGCCACAAUCACUGGGUCGUACUCGUCAGCUUCUUCUUAGCAGGUCUCACAUGCUUAUGGCCACUCAUAUCCCUAGUGAUAUACACGAAAUAAAUCUUCAGCAAUAUUUGGAAUUUUAUUAUAUAUAAAUAAACCAUAAACCAUUCAGUAAACAAUGUAUAGCACAUGUUAUGUAACUUAUGACUCACGUGUCAGUUUUUUUUUUAACACAUUAGUACUCCAGCUCUUUAAUGUAAAUGGACAUGAUAAGGAGCAUUUACUGAUUCCCGGCUUUCUGUGAUAUUGACUGCUUCUUGAAUAAUAUUUCCAUAUUUGCAAAAUAUAAUGUUAGACAUUAUAACACAUGAUGACUUGCAAUACAUAGUCCCAAUAAUUAUAUAUGAAGCAAAUGAAACUGAUAUUUGUGUUAUUUUAAGUUAGAUAAUGACAUUAAGGGAGUAUAUGUGCAAUACCACGGUCACCCUCAACCAACUGAACAGCGGUAGCCGCAAUCACUUAGUCGUAUCGGUCGGCUUCUUCCGAGCAGCUUUGACGUGCUUAUGCUCAUUCAUGUCACCCCCAUCGUCUAGUAUCUCUCUCACAGCAUCAGGGGACACAUAGUUCCAAUCAUAACUUGUAUGAGUAGUUGCCGCAAAUGCUCGGAAUUUGUCGAAUCCUUCGUUGAAUGCCAACUCCAGUUCAGUAUGGUGCUCUUCGCAUCGCAUAUGGUUCAUCAAACAACCUUUGAUUUCAUCAUUCAUUACUGUAUCCAACUCCUCAGCUUUCAGCUUCUUGCUAUGACUCAGCUUCAAGUACUUGUUCUUUUGGGAUAACGCUUUGUUCACCCUAAUGUUAAGAUCAGCCAAAAUUGCCUCGUCUUCAACACAUUUCUCGUGCCAUGAAUUGAUCAGUCUGGAAUUAUAAUCCAGCUUGCCACUGACUGCAUGUAUUGCCUGUAAUGGAUCAUCGGAGUCCCCCUCACUCCCAAAUGAUGUUGAAAAAGGAAGGGGUCGGCGAGUACAAUGUGGAAAUAGAACCUACGACUCCAAUUUCUCAUGUUCGAUUGUGUUGUUGGCGCCUGAAGAGGUUGACAUGCUUGAAUAAUCCUCUUUGUUUUGGGAGGAUGAGGAUUGCAUAUGCAAUUUCGUUUGAGAAAGGGAACAUAGGUUUAUAGACCAACAUACCAAAGCUUGUGUGUAGUCAACAUAUGUACUUUUUGGCGGGAAUUUUUUAAAAAUAGGUGUCAGGUUUUGCUUUUCAAGCAUGUCAACCUCACACUCUCCUGACACCACUGAUAGUGGUUGAAACAAAGUCAAUGGAAGUGACAUCUACUUAGUUAACUCAACCAAACUAGUUAGGAUUAAACUUAGAUUGUAUCAGACCAAAAAAUAAUUUCUACUUUGUCAACCAAAUAUUUUUUGGCGGGAACCCUUUUCUUGGUAUUACUAUCACCCCUUUCAUAUAAAGGGAACCCUUUUCUUGGUAUUACUAUCACCGAAUCUGUCUCCAUCUACCGAUACUCUCUCAAGCAAACAAACUCAUUCCCCCCAAAGAAUGAGCAUAAGCACAACCAAGUUUGAUGUGAGCAUAAUAAACACCCCUCCAAACAAAGACCGGCUUCGACACGCAAGUGAGUCACCAGACAAGCAAUGUCACAUUGCUAGACAGAAUGACCAUUUUGUUGGAAGUUUUGAGUCUGAAAGAGUUGUUGCUUUUUGGAAGGACAGGCAUCUUCAACUUGGUGAUGAAAUCCAAAGGGCAAGGGCACGGUUGGAAUUUGUGGAAGGCCAAAUUGAAGAUGACAAAAGGCAGGCCAAUCUGGAUAGGGCGAAGUUGCAGCGCAUGAAGCGUAGACACAAACGACUUCGGAGUGUAGCUCUUCAAAAAUACAAGAACUCAUCUAAUGCAGUGGAGUCAAAGAAGCGUGUGAUGCAAGCUGGAUUCGACUACUUCCGAUCCUAUGCAAAACUCGUCGUACCCGGGUUUGAUUGGUCAUCUAUUACCGUUUCCGACGUCACCAAAUAUACUCAGCAAGGGAAGUAACCAUUUUGGUUCUCGUGUUUGAGCAGAGGCAAAUAAGUGGAAUUGGAAUUUUCGUUACACUCUGCUUCAAAGCUAUUUUGAUGCUAACUACUAUGGAAGAUUUAAACCUUAAUAUUUUGAUGUCUUUAAUUACGAAAACAGAAGAUGCAAAGAGCCCAUCUACUUAAGUCAUAUGUUGCUGCCAUGUCCAUUUGUUUUUUAUCACGUAUCAGAUUUGGACAUGGUUGCAUCAUAUGCAAUGUUGCCUUUAUUUAUUAUAUGUUAGGACAAGGUUUAUGGAAAAGCUUUUGUGAGUGCGUUUGUGACAAGGUUAUGGAAUUAUUAUGUACACUUUAUAUAUUGUUUUUUGUACUGGUUCAUUUCCUACUAUUUCUUGCUUUCUUUAUAUUUUAUGUUUGUGGAAUCCCUCUCAAAGUUAACAUAUACUGUGAAAAAAAUAUUAUGCAACUGAUUAUAUAAUCACUCAUAUAGACUAGGACAAAUAUUCACUAAGGGUUUUAAAAUUGCUUCACUUGUGUGAGGUUAUUGAGAAAAAGUAUGGCAUUAUUUAUGUGAUUGACAUGAUUGAAAAUAUAUUACUGAUUCCCAAUGAGGCGUCAUAUGGACAACUUAUUGAAUACCUGUAACGUGUUAAUAACUCUAGGUGCAGUUGCAUGUGGAUAACUUAUUGAAUACCUCUGACGUGUUGAAAACUGUAGGUGCAGUUGCAUGUGGACAACUUAUUGAAUACGAACUGACGUCUUGAAAGCUAUAGGCGUAGUUGCAAUGAUGGCUUCAAAGCAUGUGCAAUUAUUAUUUAUGUACAUUAUUAUAACAAAACAUAUUAUUGUAUAUAGUGAAACUAAAUAUUGUAUUAUUAGAAAUUAUAUUUCGAAUAUUAUCCGAAAUAUACGUGUUAACGUGAAUUUGGGUUAAGAGGAAAGUGAGUUAUGUAUAAAUAAUUUUCAUUUUCUCAUUUUCUGGGCAUUUUUUGGAUUUUCGUACAAUUUAUUACCUAUGUCCACAGAUUGUUGCACUAAAAAAGCCAAAAUAAUAGCAAGAGGACACCUGGCGCGAUCUCAGCCCGUCACUGAUGACUACUUGCACAAGUGUACGUCAGUCAACAUGGCCACACCCUCCCAUUUUACCCUAAAUUAUUAUUUUAUUACUUUUCCUUACAAAAAUCAGAACUAAUUACACACAAAAAAAAAAAAUUAUCCGAAAAUUGCUACGAACUCAUUGACACUCCAUCUCCGUUGCUGAAUUCUCCGAUUCAUUGUUACGCAUUUUUAAAAUUAAUUCCGAACAUUAACGGGGGAUGCUUGUUGAAGUAGGUUAUUCAAGUUGAAGUUAACAAACAUCAAUACUUAGGGUUAAGAGGAAAGUGAGUUAUGUAACACAAUUUGGAUUAUUUCAUUGCGAGACGAAUGAUUUAUAGGUUCUCCUAGUUUUAUGACGUCACAAGUAGGCCGGAGUAAUUUUGGGGGCAUUUUUACGAUUUUCCUACUAUUUUUUACCUAGUUUCAAAGAUUUUUGAACAAAAGAAUCCAAAAUGUAAAAGAAGAUGACACCUGGCGCGAUCUCAGCCCGUCACUUUUCACUACUUGCACAAGUGUACGUCAGUCAACAUGGCCACAUCCUCCCAUUUUACCCUAAAUGAUUAUUUUAUUACCUUUUUUCUUGAAAAAUUCAUAACUAAAUACACAAAAAUUCAAAAUUAUUUCCGAAAAUUGCUACGAACUCAUUGACACUCCAUCUCCGUUGCUGAAUUCUCCGAUUCAUUGUUACGCAUUUGUAAAAUUAAUUCCCAACAUUAACGGGAGAUGCUUGUUGAAGUAGGUUAUUCAAGUUGAAGUUAACAAACAUCAAUACUUAGGGUUAAGAGGAAAGUGAGUUAUGUAACACAAUUUGGAUUAUUUCAUUGCGAGACGAAUGAUUUAUAGGUUCUCCUACUUUUAUGACGUCACAAGUAGGCCGGAGUAAUUUUUGGGGCAUUUUUACGAUUUUCCUACUAUUUCUUACCUAGUUUCAAAGAUUUUUGAACAAAAGAAUCCAAAAUUAACAAGAAUAUGACACCUGGCGCGAUCUCAGCCAGUCACUUUUGACUACUUGCACAAGUGUACGUUACCGAACAUGGCCACAUCCUCCCAUUUUACCCUAAAUUAUUAUUUUAUUACCUUUUUUCUUGGAAAAUUCAUAACUAAAUACACAAAAAUUAGAAAAACGAUCUGAAAAUUUCUACGAACUUAUUGCGAUUUCAUCUUCCUACUGCAUUCCCUGUUUAAUGGUUAUGCUACAUUAGUAUUUUAUUAUUAUUUAUCCACAAUUAUUAUAAUUAUUAUGAUAUUACUUUUUAGGCUGUCCAUUUGUUAAUUAUAUUUAGUCCAACUUGUUGAAAACAAUUUUAUUUUCCGUGCGAAUAGGCCAUUUGUAGUGCUCAUCGGUUUCUCUGUUCUUCAAUUUGUUAAUUUUUUUAUUUUUUAGGUUGAAGGGAUGUUUUGAAACAUAAUAUGGAAAUAUACAAGUCAUCCAUUGUACUCCUUCCACACAAAACAAUAGUCUACGUCAUUCACUGUUCAACCCCCUAGGUUAAGAAACGUGUAACCAAAUCCUUUUGGAUAUGCUAAGUGGGAAAAUGUCAUUCCCAAGCACUGGUGAAAAGACACCUAUUUACUCCAUGCAUGACUUUUCGUUUACCAAAUAUGAAGAUUGGGGUCGGUGAGCAAAAUAUCUGUGUCAGUAAAAUGUCAUUCCUAGCCGUCUAUGAUGUAAGUAAUCAUUCCGCUAUAUAAUAAAUAUUAUACAUUUAUAUAUAAAACGGUUUAUGACAAAAUACCAACAUUUGAACAACAUUUAAACUGAGCUAGGUAUAACGUAGCCAGCCAACCUAGAAGUGAAGAGAAGCAAGUCCACAAUGCAUCAAAACCGUAAAUUCGUACUAAAACUAAUGCAAAAAUACGUGAUUCCCUCGCACAACAUACUCACGCAGGAUUUUGCACCAAAAAAUACUCUCACGGUGCCAUUUGCAUCGGUUGCAACAAGUCCACAACGCAGGAUUUAUCUUGUCUUCACUAGGCCAGCCUGGAAUAACAAAAUACCAUUCAUUGUUGUUACAAGCGCUGCACCAAUUGAACUGAAUCUUCCCAUAGUCAAACAUAUCUACGAUAUGUCUUGCAACAAAUGCUCCGCGACAUCUUCCUGUCAAAGCAUCCCUGGUUCCUUUCAUAUCAAUGUUGUUACGUUGAUUCAAAGAACACAAGAAUUGUAAUGCAUCCUCUUUUGACUGACCAAUUCCGGACAUACCAAGUAGUCCAACUACAUAUGCCGCUUCCAUAUGGCCUGCCGUGGCUGCAAUGCGCAUCCCAUACAACGCUUCCACCUUACCGUGCCUGAAAAAACCUUGGAAUGCUUCUCUAAAUAUGGACUCAGGGUUAUCGCAAGCCCUGCAUUGUUGCAAGAAAUGCUGGACCGCAGGUCUGGCACGGUACCAGAUAGGAUGGUAUGGGUACUUUGCCAUUGAAAUGGUGUUCCACACUUGUGGACUGUUUGCCAAAGUUUGGAACAAUGGGCACACAGAUGCCAUACGGAAGAGAUCUUCCGAUGAUUCGGUUGCCACGUAUAACAUCACUUGAAACCAAGCGGACUCCGGGAUGAAGGCUUGGGGCAUAUCGAAAUGGAGAUGCUUCCUUCUCUUUCCUCCAACUGUAGUGAAGUGUUUCGAAUUCAUUGAAAAGUUUUUGGAAUGGAACGAUUUGAGGAGUGGCAGAGGGGAUAAAUGAGAAUAUUUUGGGUACACGUUUUGUUUUAGCCUCUGUUUAUAGUGUUUUGAAAAGGUGUUUGCAGUUGGGGUUUUUCCAAGUUGACCCUUUUUCAAGAAACUGAACCCAAGUGAAUUAAAACUGAACACAAAAGAAGGGAAAACGUCAUAACGGUGCAUACAGAGUCAGACAGUCAAAAAGUUCAUUAAAUGGCUAUUUGCAUAGCCAUUUGUGGGAUUAUCCCAGUAUCAAAUUCAUUGAUACAAAUGUGAUGGAUUACUGAGUAGUGACAGAAGGUCCCAUCAUAUACUUUUUCAUUUUCCCACACCCAACUACCCCUAGUAAUGUUAUUGAAAUGGAACCAAUAAUGACGGAUUCUUAUCCAACUAGUUGCCUUAAUGAAAUAUAUAUAAAAUAAUAAAUUUGAAGCAGUGUCCCCUCAUUUUUCCAAAAAUAUAUUUGGUAGUGAAGUAGUUUAUAUUGCUUUUCGGGCUAAAAGAUGUCGCAAUGCCGACGGUACAGGUGUCGACAUCGUGACCAACCCACCAAAUGAUCCCAAGAAAAAGAAAUAUAACUCGAUUUGGGCAGAGAUGAGAGAGAGCUGAGUGACAAGUUUAGGGUUAUGAGUGAAGGGGUAUGAAUGACAACUAUGAGUGAGAAGGUAUGAGUCCGAAGAGGUUUCAGUGAGAAGAUCUGAGUGAGAAGAGGUACAACUGAGAAGAUUCAACAUGUCUUCGUCUUCAUCUCCCGCUCAAACAAAGAGGUGUCAGUAUUGUGGAGCUACAAUGGUGCUUCGGGUUUCAAAAUCUGACAAAAAUCGAGGGAAGCCAUUCUGGAAGUGUCUAACCUCCUAUGUAAGUUUUAAUUUCAAUAAUAUGUAUGUGGGUCAAAAUAAACCCAUGUCUAACUCUGACAGAAUUAUAUUCCAUAUAUGAUGCCUGCAAUUAGGGAGCCACCAGUUGCAAUGGAUUCGAAUGGGUUGAUGUAACCUCCGCUGAAGCAGAACAUCAAGAUGACACGUAUGAUGCUAGAGUGCUGAACAUGCUGAAGUCCAUAAAGGACUUGGUAUUAGUUUUAUUAGUGUAUCAAUGUCAUUUAUUUGUUCUUUUAAUGAUCAUUUAACUGCACGGUUUAAAAGAUUGUGAAAGUUCUCCCGCACAACACAUGUUGCACGCACCACCAAUGAGACCAUUUUACCCAUUUUGUAAUAUUUGGUAACUGCAUGUAUUUCGCAUGUUAUAGAAACGAUAUUGAAUGUUUCUUGAAGGUUUAUUGAAGGUUUAUUGAUAGUUUGCUGCAUGUAUAUGGAAUAUCAUUGCCCCGAAAUUGGAUGUUUAUUGGGGCCACAGGUAUCACUCAAGUAAGAAUGAAGGGGGGAAACGGACCUUAUUCUUUCUUUUAGUAGGAAGAACAACUGUUAAGUUUAAUAUCCUAUUCAAUACGACUUCCCUAUGGUUGGUAUACUUGGGGACUGAAGUAGAUUGCAUCAUUAUUGUGGGCAAGGGCAUGUCUAUUGUGUGUGUUAAGGGAGUAUUGUGUGUAUAUUGCAUGUCUAUUGUGUGUAUAUUGCAUGUUUACUGUGUGUAUAUUGCAUGUCUAUUCUCUGUAUAUGGCAGGCCAAUUUUGUGUAUAUUGUAUGUCUGUUGUGUGUGUAUUGCUUGUCGGUGCGUUUGUGAAUUCUUGUUCAUUUUGUGUAUAUUGUCUAUGUUUCUACUUUUAUACUACUGAGCUGCCGAAAACCUUUCGCAUGUUUAGACACCUAUUAUGAUGCAACACAUUGCGAUUAAUGGUGGCUUGCAUCAACAAUGACAUAUCACUUUGCAAUGAUGUAAUACACUUAAAAAGCCAUCUUCAAAUCCCAAUUUACAUAUGCAGUCUUAAAAUUCCAAUUCAAUGCAGUUUGGUUAACAAACAUGUAAACGUCAUGAAGGAGUUAGCGGUAGAAUUCGAUAAGGACCCGUACGUCUCUAUUGUGUAUUUACAUUAGUUUGAGAAUGGACAUUCCCAAAACCUUCUCAUGUACCAUUUGUCAUCUUCAACCAAUAUCAUGGGAAGUAAGCAUCUCCCCUUGUUAUCUCCGCAGCCAAUUUCAACCGAAAAAAAGGCAUGUUGUGCGAGGUGCAAGUAGCUAACGGAAGCUUAGCGCUGAAAAGCUCAAUGUACUUUAACACAAACAUGCCACAAUCGCCUCUGAAGCAAAACAAGAACUCGAUCAAUUAAACUAAUGACAUUCUAACGUAAUUGACAAUUGAAAGUAAUAAAAUUAAAUUGCAAGUUGUGCUUACUCAUUAGACUGUUGUGGAACAUCCACACGCUCUAUUGGCCACGGACACCACCAAUCUCGGCUGCAAUUGUUUGCAUAAACACCUUCUUCAUAAAAGUCGAUGGUGUUGAGAAGAUUUGGAAGCGUAAUUGAUAGCGGGCCGAGUUCUUCCUUUACGAUGUCAUCUGGAAUUAGUGAAACCUUUGAAUCGUACACUUUGAUUUCACACAAUACCAGAUCAAUCAUUACAGCCACCCAAUGCUUGUACUUCGUCAACAUAAAUGGGGUAUACACCUUAUAGACGGUCUGCCAAUCCAACCCACACGGAGGAACCUUCCCAUUUACAACGUUUAGUAAACUUUUUCUGAUUUUCCACCCAAGCUGCUGUUUUUUUCUUUUAUUAUCCGCAAAGCAAGUACGAAUGUGAUUCUGUGAAAUACAAAACAAUCAAUGGUUAAACACCUCCACUAGUGUGUGUAUGGAAAAUGUGUAAUUAUUAACGGCACUUGGUCAAGGCCGAUGACAUACCAUAAAAAAAACAUCGGUCGUUGUCCAGUCCGCUACUUCUAUCGAAUCUGUCUCCAAUUGUUGUUGUCGUUUCCGGAUGAGAUACAACCCCAAAUCAAUGUGCUGCAACAUGUUUUUCUUGUCAAUCUCAUAAUGUAUGUACAUUAAAACAAAUGCAUAAUCAAUUACACUUACAUCUCCUUUCAGCCAACCAUCAGCUUUCACGAGGGAAGCGAAGAAUUCAAUCUCAGCUUCCACGUUGCCAAAUUGCAUCACCAAACUAUGAAUAUAAAACAGUUUUAGAACACUGUAUAUAAAAAAUUAUAUACAGUCAUGCUUCUAUCUUAUAAUUGCAAGGGACUUACUUUGGGUCAUGGCGCCAUUCCCAACAAAGUUUCAGCAAUUUCACCAGAUCAUCAUGCGGAAUCGCCUUCAUUGGGUCUAACAUCUUCAGUCCGGUUGUCUGUGCCCCAGUUUUUGGAACCAAUUCACUGCCUUCAACGAUCUUCCACAAAGGAAUGAUCCUCUUCCUUUUCCGUAAUUGGACCCCUUGUGCCAGAGCUUUACCUUUAUCAUUCAACCACACGUUCAACUGAGAUAGCACAGCUGUAGGUUCAUCCAAAUCAAUGUCCCCGACAGUAAACUCAAGCAGUGUCCCCUCCGUGCUCUCGCCAGUGUCACCCCCAAGCAACAUAACUUCAUUAUCUUCUUUCUCACAUUCGUUUCUUUGCACUUCCUUUUCCUCACUUCUUUGUGUUUUCACUUCCUUGCCCUCCCUUUUUUUCCUUUGCAAUUUCUCUCCCUUACUGCUUUUUCUUUUCACUUCCUCUCCCUCACUCCCCCGUCUUUGGGCUUCCUCUCCUUUGCUACUUUUUACUUGCACUUGCUCUCCUUCACUUCUUUUCCUUUGCCCUUCAUCUACCUCACUUGGUUUUCCUUGCACUUCACCCCCUUCAAUCCCCUCCUCUUCCUUUUCCUCUCCCUCAUUCCCUCCUCUUCCUUUUCCUCUCCCUCAUUUCUAUUACUUGGCCCUUCACCCCCUUCAAUCCCCUCCUCUUCCUUUUCAUCUCCCUCAUUUCUAUUACUUGGCCCUUCACCCCCUUUAAUCCCUUCAUCUUCCUUUUCCUCUCCCUCAUUUCUGUUACUUGGCCCUUCAUCCCAUUGAAUGUCAUCCAAUUCCCGAUAUCCCCUAAAUAGAUGUGAGACGACACAACGCUUCGUCCUCUGUUUCAGUAAAGCUAGGUCCCUCCUUACUUCCUGCUCAAACUGAGGACCUAAACAUUGGUCCAACAGUUUUUCCAUCCGUAUGACCUUUAAGUGAAGGACGUCUUUUUCCCGCUUUACUUGAAACAACUCGGACCUCAACAAGCUUACCACCUUGUUCAACUGAUCAAGAUCACCACAUGAAGAAGGAAUUGACUCUGCCGAGACAACAGCAGGGCGAUCCUGUGGCCAACUCCAAUAUGGCUGUCUCAUUUCCUCUUCACUCGGACAUAGCGCCCGCAACUGAACUGACUGUUUCAGAAUACAAACCACAGUCAUAUUAAAUCAUUCAACUUCAAAAUUUCAUUCAAUCUUAUCAAUAGUUCUAAGGGCUGCAAAACAAACCUGUUUGCUCUGGAAAAAAUAAUUGUUCAACUUUCUCAUCUCUGGAACAGACGUAGUAGUUCUCCAUCGCAAAAUACGCGGGACAGCGGUCGGAUCAACAACCUUGCAGUAAUUCAGGUCCACCAUUCUAGGAAUUAAUUCAUAUACCCAAAUCUACACAAUUCACAGGACAAAAGUCAUUAUUUAUGUUUUAAAUAAAAACAAAACAUAACUCACAUGAACAUUAUUACCAUGUACCUGGAAAGCAUACGUGAAACCUUUAAAACUCCAGCCACUCCUUUGCGCUUCACCACGCUUAUCCUUCCUGCCCUUCUCAUUUAUCCGGCUUGUUCCCGUUACCUUACUUUUCCCCUUCCCUCUUCCCUCUUCAUUUUGCAAGCUUUUCACAUACUUUGUUGGUGCAGAAAAUAGACUGUCUUGGGUUUUGUCAAAGGACACCGAACCCCACGGAUACCUGUUGAACGCAUCCAAGUCCUCUACAAGGGUCAGGUAAUUUAGAUUGAUGUUCAAAUGUUUGUCCCUUCCCAAAACCACUAACUCAGCAAAGUAAACAAGAGCUAGCUUGUAGAUGUCAUCUUCCUCUGUGCACCUCAUAAAUGCUUCUUCUAAAGCAUUGCAUGUAAUUCCUUCGUCUAUAAAAUAUCUUUUCUGAAGUCUGCUUACAUCACUCCCUCCACUGGAAACUUCAGGCACUUCCCCAAAACGAAGCCCUGUGAUCAAACAGAAAUCCUGACGACUGAACUGAGCAACGUCACACCCUAAUAAGAAACUCAGUCCAUCCAAGUCUUUCACACCCUGCCCCGCUACUCUACGCAACACAGCCCCAUGCACAAUCUGCCCGCUAAACUGAAUCUUAUCUAUAUUCAGAAGAUGGCCAAAGCAUGAUGUCUUGAAUUGUUCUAAUUGUUCCGCACUCAACUUCACUCGAAUUGCAGCUAGAGAUGAAUUUGCAUGUGAGCAGUUGUUCACCCGUGACGAAUAUGCCUCUGCCUCUGGCCAUACCAGCUCCACGUUGGAUCCCAUUUCCUGAAAUACAAUGUGAAAUAACGUGAACACAUAUACUACCACGUAUUUGCACAAUCACAACUAGUCAACCAGGCACAUUACAAAUUUUACAAAGUACAUGAGCAUACGGAUUACUGAUCACAAGCUUUAACAUCAUCAAAGCAAUAUGACAAAAUUUGUGCAAAUACCUGUUAAUGCAAUGAUUAUGUGAAUUACAAACAAUUUCACGUGUUUUAUUUAUGGAUCCAUACUCGUGUGAGUGCAAUGUAGGCACGUUCUGCACUUCACACACAUGACAAUUAUUGUCAUCUCAUACACAACACAAAAUAAAUAAAUAAGAAAUAUAGUGGAAGGAAGCAAAGCAAAGCAUCUACUCUGCUAUCUGCUUGCUAAGCAAUUGCCACAUCCUUCUUUCUUUCUAGCUUUUUCUUCAGUCACCCACAAUCGUCAUAGAUCAACCUUCAUUUCAAAUGCUUUGCACUUUUAUUCAUGAGUUUAUUAUUAUCUGUUCUCAUUUCUCAUAGGCAAAUUUAGUAACAAAUGAAAUCAUAUUUAUUUCACAAAAUAUAUAAAUUCUAGUGCCAGAGCGGUACUGUUCACUCUGCACUGCUUCAAAUGUGGAAGGUUUUGAGCGCCUCCUCCAAUUUAACACCAUUAUCUUAUUCAUAUCAUUACUGACAUGUUAUUGACAUGUUAUUGAGAUGUUAUUGACAUGUGAUUGACUCUAUUUUCAUUCGUUUUUUAACAUAUACCCAAGCAAAAAUUAACAUGCAAUUGAAGCACAAAUAAGAGAUGCCAAAUCCAACAACAUUGAUGGUACAAAUUGGGGAAAACAUUACUCUAACCCUAAACUCAAAUUCCUUAAAUUACUCAUCAAUUGCUUUGCACUUCUAUUCGUGAGUUUAUUAUUAUCUGUUCAAAUGUUUGUCAGGCAAAUUUAGUAACAAACGAAAUCAUAUUUACUUCAUAAAAUAUAUAUAUAUAUAUAUUCUACCGCCUCUUCUUCAUCUGCACUAUGCACUGCUUCAAAUGUGGAAGGUUUUGAAGGCCUCCUCCAAUUCAACACCAUUAUCUUAUUCAUAUCAUUAUUGACAUGUUAUUCACUUGUUAUUGACUUGAUUUUCAUUCUUUUUUUAACAUAUACCUAAGCAAAAAUUAACAUGCAACUCAAGCACAACGAAGAGAUGCCAAAUCCAACAAAAUUUAUGCUACAAAUUGGGGAAAACCAUUACUCUAACCCUAAACUCAAAUUUCAUAAAUUACUCACCAAAUGCUGGUUAUUGCAAGGGGUCUGUGUCGGGUCUUUCUGUUUCUUUGCUCCACAAAUGGAACUUACCACUUCCAACGAUUACAGCUUCUCCCCUUCCCCUUCCACUGCUUCACCCCUUCACUGAUUUGGAAUCCACACCUUUGCCCCUUCUACUCCAAAUAAAUACUUUUUCAGGGUCUGGAGAACGGAAUGGCGAAUCGUUGCCUUCAACUGUCGUUAGCCGUUGCCUUCAUUGGGUAUCUCAGACCUCUGGGUUUUAGAGAGAUGAGUUCUUUCUGUUCAAACUUCGAACUUGCCUCUUCUUCUUCUUUUUCGGACGUGUUUCCCUCUUCUUCUUCUUUUUGGACGUGCUGGAUAUUCAAUUCGGGUUUCGGUUCCUCACCUACCCAACUGUGAAACUUUAUCUCAAUUCUCCCCAGCCCUUGGAUUGAUCUGAUGGCUAUAAAGUGAAUCCCUUAUAACUUACCCCUUAUAACUUUCCACUCAUUGUAGUCUCGGCGAAGUUACAUUAAGGGAAGACAUUGCAUUUGCUCUGCAUUCGCUUCAAUAGCUUUGAGAUUGCCAACGAAUUGUUCAACUUCUUUCUUCACGUUCAAAACAAAUUACCUCUUCUUCUAUGAAUUAGUUAUUGAAGGCAAGGUUAACGAUAUUAACGACUUUUCUAGCUUAAGAACACACACCAAAUCAAAGUUACUCAAGGCAAACAAAACACAUCUUCUAAAGGAACAGAAAAACUGGGAACUGAUACACAAUAAAAUAAGAGAAAGCCAAACCCAAAUUCACCAGUUCCUCAAGAGUACAUUUUACAAAUUAAUGACACAAAGGGAGUUUUGCAAAUGAUCAAUACACCAGUAGAUUAGUUAAAUAUAAGGUGCUUACAAAACAAAAAAAUCAGGGCAAUCAUCAAGCUCAGUGGACCUUCCAAAUUCACCAUGUCUCUGUCAAGGCAGUGAUGAAAAUAAUCAAAAUUUCUGUUAUUGGAACUUCCGUAGGCUGACACUUGAUGAUUUACAUCACUCUAAUUGCUUCAAUAGGGUCCCUGAAAUGAUGACACAUACAUAGUUGAUCAAUUAAUUUGCUUCUAGCAAUCAUUUCUCAAUUCGGGAAUUAAAUUUUUUGAGAAACAACUAAAACAUGCAGAUUAAACAAAACAACAAACCACGUGUAAAUUAAUUUAGGGAGAUUCACUAAAUUAGGCAGAUCAAAGUACCUUUCAUACUCAUUUGAAAAAUCCUCUUCAUAGAAAAAUCAUGAUAUCAUAAAUGCAAACAAUUACUUACAGUUUUAGCGAGUCACCAUCUCAAGAUCAUUGUUGGAGUUCAAUUACCCGGAGGAAAUGCGGAUGUUUGGGAUCUUAGCAGAAAUCUUGGCCCGCUCUCCACUGCCUUCUUCGUAAUGCUCUGCAAGUCUCCGACAUUUGGUGAUGUCAAGAGUCCGCAGUGGUGUUUUGAAGAUGAAGUCUGGCAGUGCUUUUAGCAAUUCGCAGUCGCCAAUUCUUAACUCAGAAAGGCAUGGCAUGAUUGUAAUUUCAGAAUCUUCUUUGGUCCACUCUUCCACGCCUUCCCACUCUUCCCAAUUCGACAUGUGGUAAAAGUGGAGUCGUUUCAAUUUUGGGAAUAAUCUGAUUCUGAAUGAGGUUUGAUGUUCUAAUCUCAAAAAUUCAACACCGACCUUUUUCAUUCCUUCGAUACCGAAUAUGGCCAGUCUUUCAAGGCAUUCCAAUUUCCCAAGAGGCCAAAAUUCACACAGUGUCCCCCAAGCAACAGUAAGGAAUCUCAAAUUGUGUAAAGACUGAAUCCAAUUGGGCCACGUGGUGCCAUUAUGUUCCAAAAUCUCUAAAGAUUCCAAAUCUGGGUGCGGUCGUAAGGCAUUCAGUAUUUCUACACUACUACUACUACUACUGUUUGUCCGCCCUGCAAAAUUAACACGGAGAUUAAAUAGCUUUUUGUCCCACAAUUGUGCUUUCUCAACCUCGCUCUUAUCUGUCGCAUCCCCCCCAAGUUGUAUUUCCAGACUUCCCUCAAGGUUCAAGUUUCUCAGAUCCCCAAUUUGGAAUGCUUCAUCUUUGUCGCCACCCCAUGAACACGCAUCUAGUGUUUGCAAACUUGUUAAUCUCCCUAUCACUUUGGGGAACGACUCCAGAAGACCACAAUACUUAACAUAAAGAUGCUUUAAGUUAAUCAAGUUUCCCAUGUUUUCAGGCAGUUUUGUAAGGCCAGAGCAGUACAUAAGGCGCAAGGUUGACAAAUUGUACAAACCACAAAUAGUGUCUGGUAAUUUCUUCAGUAUAGGAUUGGAAGACAAAUCAAUAUGCCUCAAAUGUAUCAAUUCACCAAUCUCCUUCGGGAGUUCUUCGAUGGGAUUAAAACUCAAAUUUAAUGUCCUAAGACAUUUCAAUUGUAAAAUUAAAUUUGGGUCUAUGGUAGUAAUUCUUGAAUUAAAAGUUGCGAGCGUACGGAGAUUUUUGCAAUCGUAAGAUGAGAUAAAAAGUGGAAGUGGACCUUCAGGAACAUAUCUCAAGGUCAAAUGACGAACCUUAUCACCAAAUACCUUUGGUUCGCUGGUAGUUUCCUCACCAUGAUCGAUAAUCAAACACUCAUUCUUGGUGAAAAAUUGUACAAAGUCAUGCACAAUAUCAUGCAUUUUGCAACUGGUAAUGGUACCGGUGUCAAAAUCUUUCUCAAAAUCUUGGAAAAAUGACCGUGCCACUAAAUUGUCAAAAACUGCAUAACCCGUUGUUUCCUUUUCUUUAUUCCCUUUCGAAAUAACAUAGUCUUGUGCCAUCCAAAGUUUAAUCAAAUCAUCUCGUUCAAACUGGUAAUCUUUUGGAAAAGUAGCACAAUAUAAAAGGCAACAUUUAAUUGUUGGGGCCAAAUCAUUAUAACUUAGGAAUAGGGGUUGGAAAACUUCUUGCUCGACCUUCUCUAGAUCCCAUAUCUUACUAUGCAAAACUUCUUUCCAUUCUCCCAUUUUUGUCUUAUUCUGCAUGAGACUACCCAAAGUCUUUGCAGCAAGAGGCAAACCUUUACACUUCUUUACAAUUUCCUUACUAAUAUCUCCAAACUCAUGUACAUCCCUAUCCAAAAAGGCCAUGUGAUUGAAGAUUGACAAACAACAUUCAUCAUUCAACUCUCCCAGAUUGAUCUUGUUUCUUGUUGCUCUCAUCAUGUCAGCAACCUCAUGUUUUCUUGUGGUCACCAAUAUUCUGUUGCCUUUAGCACCAUUUUGGAUUAAUGGUACCUUUAAUUGUUCCCACUUUUUAGGAUCAUCGGUCCAUACAUCAUCCAGGACAAGGAGAAACCUUUUGCCCUGGAUGGAUGUACACAUACAUUGCAAGACCUCAUCCAACUCAUUUGAAUUUGGGGCGUUUUUACCAAUAAUGGCUUUGGCAAUCUUAAUCUCAUCAAAAGGGUCUGAAACACAAACCCAUUUCCUCAAAUCAAAAUGGGUUUUGACUCGGUCAUCAUUAUAGGCUAGUUGGGUUAAAGUUGUUUUUCCCAUGCCUCCCAUCCCGACAAUAGGGAUGAUAAGGAACCCCUUCCCUUCCGCACUACUAUCACUCAACAAGUUUGUUAUCAAAACCUUUUUUUCAUUUUCUCGACCAAAUAUCUCAGAUAUAUCGACAAAAGAUGCAGUUUGAGGUCGUUGAGGUUGUUGAGGUUGUUGAAUGCCUAAUUCUUUGCUUAGAAACUGGUACUUUUUUCUUUCCUCAUAAAUCUCAGUUAACUUAUCAUUCAGAUCUUUUAUUUUCAGAGCAAUGUCAUGGCGAAGAAUCACCCGACUGACUUUGCCAAGACGAAAGUAACGGGUGAAACUAGAGAAACGUACCUUCUUCUUUGUAACAAGAGCAUUUGGAUCACCUUCUCUUUCUUGCUUCUCAACUUGUUGUCUGAGAAUGUUUGUGUUCCACUCAUCCAGCACAUCCACCAUCUGGUAGGAUACAUCUUUCAGCUCAUCCAACCAGAUUUUGACAGCUUGAUCCGUCACUUGGCGUUGCUCUGCAUCCUCAAGCACAGCUUGAAUAACUCGGAGAGUCCGAGUGAAUUUCUUAACAUCUUCCUUAACGUUCAAAACAAGUUUCACCCCUCCUUCUAUGUAUUCAUAGGUUGUCGAGGCCAACCGUUCUAGCAGCACGUAAAUGAGCGCAUCAGCCAUUAUUUUGAGCUUCAGAAAAUGGUUGACAGCAGUGUUUAUGAACAAGAACUGAUUUGGGGAUAAUUGUUUGUGUUGUGGUGUUCCCUUUCUUCUGCCCAGUUUAUAUGCUGAGUAAGUCUUCAAGGCAAACUCCGAGUCAAUUUUUAAGAUGCAUAACAGGGACACUAUAUUUUAAAGUGACAUGUUGACAUAUUAUAAAAGAAAUAUCUAAUCUGGGGCUGGUGAAUGUGCCAGACUGUCUUUCUUGACCUUACCAUACAAGACAAGAUUAACGCCUUGUUAAGGCGUGGAUGACAUCUGGCUUAAUAAUUGAUCGAGUUUUUAUACAUAUAAACUUUUUCCUUAUACUGUUACAUGAAGCAUUACCUGAACUCUACCUACUUGAAUAAAGAAAUGUAUCAAAGAUUGGUUGGACAAUUGAUUUACUUGUCACACACACCUUGUGACAUAUACUGUGAUCUGAACAAGAAGAAGAGGAUGAGAUUUAGGGAUUUCAAGAGAAGAAGGAAGAGAGAAAGCAAGAAGGAAGAGAGCCCUGUAAACCUGUAUAUCUGAUUAGAUUGUAAGUGAAAAAUGGUAAAAGCACAGCUUUAGUACAGUGCACAUCUCCUAAUAUUACGCUAACAAACUUAACAAAUACAGCUCUCUCACUAACAGACUUAACAGAGAGCACGUGAGCUGCACAUGAUGACUUAACAAUUUCUUAACUAAAACACAUGGUUAACAUUUUCCCUACCCAGCUGAACUCCUCAGUCUAAGAUGAAGACAGUGUUGUAAGAAAAUGGGACUGUGUAACCCCUUUGUAAAAACAUCUGCUAUUUGUUCUUCAGUAGGUAUAUACUGCACAAUAAGAUCCUUUCUUUGUACCUUCUCUCUCACAAAGUGGAAGUCUAUAUCCAAAUGCUUAAUUCGAGAAUGGUAUACUGGGUUUGAGCUUAAAGCUAGUGCUGAUAAGUUGUCACAGUACAUAGUAGGAGCAUCUGGCAAAAACAUCUUUAGAUCCAAGAGAACCUGUCGAAUCCAUGACAAGUCAGCAGCUGUGUUUGCUAGGGCCCUGUAUUCUGCCUCUGUUGAACUCCUAGACACAGAACCUUGCUUCUUGGACUGCCAGGAGAUAGGAUUACAACCCAAGAAUACUACACAUCCGGUUGUAGACCUUCUAGUAUUGAUAUUCCCUGCCCAGUUUGCAUCACUGUAUGCAUUAAGCUGCCAAGGACCCUUUGUAAAACUGAUUCCAUACUCUAAUGUACCCUGUACAUAUCUGAGAAUACGCUUCACCAAAAGAUAGUGAACCUCAGUUGGAUUAUUCAUAUAUUGACACACAUGAUUCACAGCAUAAGCCAGAUCAGGUCAUGUAAAUGUUAGAUACUGUAGAGCACCUACGAGACUGCGAAACACAGUAGGAUCAGCCAAGGGCUCACCGUCAGUCUGUAACACUUGAGUGUGUGGCUUACAUGGUGUUGCACAGGCUCUACAUGAACUCAUGCCUGCUUUAUGUAGUAGAUCCUUGGCAUACUUAGUUUGACUCACGAAUAUGUCACCAGAGGAAUUAUAGGAAAUCUGCAGACCUAAGAAAAAGGUGAGUUGCCCCAUAUCUUUCAUUUCAAACACCUCACUUAAGUCUGUAACCACUCUUUGAAUCAACUGAUCACUCGAACCUGUUAUAAUGAUAUCAUCAAAAUAUAAGAGUAGAAUGAUAAUAUCAUUCCCAGUAUGCUGCACAAACAGACUUGGAUCUGAAUGUGAAGAUUUAAAGCCAAGAGUAGGUAAGUAACCUGUGAAUUUAGCAUUCCAUGCCCUUGGAGCCUGUUUAAGACCAUACAAAGAUUUUUUCAGUUUACAUACAAACUGUGGAUGAGUAGAAUCUUCAAAACCAGGAGGCUGUUUCAUAAAAACUUCUUCUUCAAGAUCGCCAUGUAGGAAAGCGUUCUUGACAUCAAGUUGUCAUAGUUUCCAUUGGUUCAUAGCAGCUAUGCUUAAUACUAACCUCACUGUUGUGUGUCUAACAACAGGAUUGAAGGUUUCCCCAAAGUCAAAACUAGGCUCUUGACUGAACCCCUGAGCAACAAGUCUGGCCUUAUAUCUACCCACUGAACCAUCUGGAUUUCUCUUUAUUUUAUAAACCCACUUACUACCAAUAAUAUUUUUUAUCACCUGGACUAGGAACUAAGAUCCAUGUGCCUUGCAUAUGAAGAGCAUCAAUCUCCUCUUUCAUAGCUUGCCUCCACUCAGAAGAAAACGAAGCCACCUUAAAACUAGAAGGCUCAUCUAAUUCCGGAAUAGCAUGAAGACAGGUAAAAUAACCUUGAUAAUCUGGGAACUCUUUGUUUUGAACUAUACCACUUUUGGCCCGAGUAAUCAUAGGAUGAUCAUUGAUAGGAAAUAAAGAAACCGAUGAGUCCACAGUACUAACAGAAGAAGAGGAAACAUUAGAGACCUCAAACUGAAACAUAACCUGUAAUUGUUGUUCAUUCAACACAGGUACAGAACCUGCAGAAGCCACUGGAAUAUCAUCCAACGAAGCUUGAUGUUGGAUAGGAGAUAAAGACCCAGGAGUAGAUGAGAUGGACUGAGAUUGAGAAGUAGAUACUUGUGUAUCAGAGGCUAGAGACGAUGGAUCCUGAGAAUUAAGAGAAGCUUGAGAAGGCCUUGAAGCCAAAGAAACAAUGACAGAAGCUACUGAUGCAGUAGAAGAAAACUGAGAAGACUGCCUACAUAUGCUAGGGUUAAUGUGCUUAAAAGGAAAUACAGCUUCAUCAUGAGGAACAUGCCUUGAGAUUACACAUUUUGCAGUAAUUCGAUUGUAGCAAAUAACUCCUUUGUAACCAGGUGAAUAUCCCAAGAACACGCACUGAGUGGUUCACGGUUGUAACUUAUGCACAUUAUAAUGUCUUAGAUACGGAUAUACCGCAGUACCAAAUAUUCUCAAAGAAGCAAGAUCAGGAUGAUGACCAAAUAAACGAAAAUAAGGAGAUUGAUGAUGUAAAACAGAGCUGGGCAUUCGAUUUAUAAGAUACACAGCAUGAGCAGUAGCAUGAAACCAAAAUUGACCUGGCAAGGCUGCUAUAGUUAACAGGGUAAUGGCUGUUUCAAUAAUAUGCCUAUUCUUCCGCUCUGCCAGUCCAUUUUGCUGCGGAGUAUACGGGUAAGACAAACGACACACAAUUCCCUUGGAAGCCAAAAAAUCUGUAAAAACCUUGCUAAGAAACUCACCACCACCAUCACUCUGAAAACACUUAAUAGCAGCACUGAAUUGAUUUUGUAUCAAAGCAUGAAACUGUAGGAAUUUGGAGAAAACUUUUGAUUUAUUGAAAAUGGGAUAAACCCACAAAUAUCCAGUACAUUCAUCAAGGAAGAAAACAAAAUAUCUGUAACCUUCAACAGAUUUGUAAUGGGAAGGACCCCAUACGUCACUAUGAACGGUAUGAAAGGAAUUUCAGACCUACAAUGUCUAACAGGAAAUGGAAGCCGAUGCAUCUUCCCUUGAAGACAAGCUGAACACAAGGGAUUCAAAUUGGAAGAAUCAUUUGCACAUUGCAAACCAGAGGCUUUAAGCAUUGAUUGCACCACUUCAUUCGUUGGAUGGCCAAGUCUGUGAUGCCAAAUGGACGACUUAACAUGUUGACCAAGCAAAGCCACUUUCUUGGAUAGGUAAUGAGACCUAACCAAGCGUCACGAGCAGUCGUGGUGCCAAUAACAUACUCAAUGGCCUCAUCAGAGAGAGUGGCAAUGAGCAAACUGAGUAAAGCCUUAUUAGCGAGAAUCCAUUCCUUGUAAGCAGCAGUAACUUCAGAUGUAACACCCUCCUCAUCAACAAUAGCAAAGCGAGGAACAACUUCAGUUCCGUCAAAAUGCCCAAACAGAUCAUAACCCUGAAGAACAGAUUCCAAUUGAAAACUCCACUUGAGAAAAUUAUCGUCCCUGAGACGACGAGUAAUCAUCCCAAGCAAACCGUCAACUUUGACCGAAGAGGAAGAAGAAGAAGUCGCCAUUGAUGAACAGAAAUUAGAGAAAAGACAGAAAAAAAGAAGGAACAAUAGAGACAGAGCAAGAGAAGAGCACAGCGAGGAGACAGUUCAGAAAAAUCAGAAGCGGAUCGAAAGUGUCAAGCCACGAUGGGCUCUGAUACCAUCUUAACAAGAAGAAGAGGAUGAGAUUCAGGGAUUUCAAGAGAAGAAGGAAGAGAGCCAUGUAAACCUGUAUUUCUGAUUAGAUUGUAAAUGAAAAUUGGUAAAAGCACAGCUUUAGUACAGUGCACAUCUCCUAAUAUUACGCUAACAAACUUAACAAAUACAGCUCUCUCACUAACAGACUUAACAGAGAGCACGUGAGUUGCACAUGAUGACUUAACAAUUUCUUAACUAAAACACAUGGUUAACAUGUGAGUGUAGUUUAGUCAGUUCGUGCAUGUUCCCAGUAAAGAUCAUGUAAAUGAUGUAAGUCAUAUACUUAGAUAUUUGAAGUUAGCAACAAGAAAAUGACUUAUGUUCUCUAAGCAUGGGCAUUUAAAUGUGGAAAAGGUACACCGAUGUUGAUUGGGCAGGUAGUAUCAUUGCCAUGAGCUCUACAUCAAGUACAUUGGUUGGAGGUAAUUUCUCACUUGGCAUAGCAAUAAGCAAAAGAUGGUGGAAUACAGAAUAAUGGUACAAGGAAUCUAUGAACUAUUGUGAUUGAUAAUGUACAAAAUAAUGAUCGUACAUGUUGAAGCGGUAGACAUUUCAUUAAAAAAAUGAAGACAAUUAAUAUUCCAUUUGUGAAGACUAAAGACCAAUUAGUCCAUAUUCUGUCCAAGACAAUUAAAAAAAAAUAAGGUGUGCUACAACUCAUUGGUCAAGUUGAGGAUUGGAGGUAUGUGUUCACCAAUUUGAGCGUGAGUGUUAGUGUGAAUUCUAAAUAUAACCUAAUUUGUAGUCUCCUAUUUGGACUUUAUUAGGUUUAAUUACUUUACUUAAGGUCCACUUCUCGUAAAUCCUAUUUGUAACUAGGAGAAGAAUACAUAUUUGAGAGUUUUAUCGUAUUUGUUUCGACACCGAAAUUUUUUCUUAACGUAUGCACCUAAGUGAAACUCAUUCAGUUUUGCUCCAAAAGGAUUCCGUUGUGGACAUAAACCUUCUUGAUGAUUAUUAAACCUAAGUAAAGAUGAAGAUUAAAAGUAUAUUAAAUCAAUCCCAUUCAAAAUUUAAUCAACAAUGUUGUUUGUGCAAAUAAUCUCACGGGAGAAUAUUCGCUUCUAGAUCCCUCAACCUUCGACCUUCCUUCUCUCUCUUCCUCGUUUCCUGUAAAAAAGAUUGGAGUAAAUAGACCACACCUGGGGUGUGUUGGCCAAAGACCCUCCGAUGCCUAAGUUAGUUCGAGUGUUUGUAGGAAAACAAUAGCUAAGCAAAGGGUACGGAGUUGUAUGUAUGGUGUGAACCGGGAAGCCGAAGCCAUGUGUGGUGGCCGGAGCCGUGUGGAGAAAAUAUGGAGAGUGGAGAGGGAGAGAGAGCUUCAGGUAUUUUUCUCGGGUAUUAGGAGUAGGUUUAGAUGUACCUUGAAUGAUGAAUGAGGUCGUCUAUUUAUAGGAGCCUCGGGGGUAGGGUUUCGUAGAGAUCGAGUCGGACUUGAUAAUAUCCGAAUUAAUGAUAUUAUCUCUUAAGAAGAUAAUAUCUGAAUUAAAUGAUGUUAUCUUCUCUUUAUUAGGAUAAUAUCUGAAUUAAUGAUAUUAUCUCUUUAAAUAAAGAUAAUAUCAUAUUAAUUAAGAUAUUUAUCCCAAUUAAUUAAUUAGCCAGAUAAACUGGUUUAAUUAAUUAAUUUAAGAGAUAAUCUUCUUUUCCACGUGGUGUGCCCUAAUUGGAGACGAAAAUAUAUGCUCCCACAAAUGCCCCCCAGCUUCUGCGUAGCGCUUGUGCGGUAGGUAGGAGAUGAAAUUAUUUUUUUCGAACUCUCCAACUUUGUUUGGGCUUUCUUCUGUGAGUUGGACUCCUUUUGCAGAUCGGAUUCUCAAUUGGUGUAGGCUUCUGACUGUAGUUGGAGUUGGAUUCCCAGUAGGAAUGAGCUUGCGAUUCCUUCUUGACCCGGGUUGUCCAACUUGUAUAAAUACAUGGCUUCUCUUCACUCUUUCUCACAUCGCAAACUUAAUUUCUCUACUUUCUAGCUUGAGAAAGAUAUUGGAAAAUUUUGUACUGCUUGUCGAAGAGAGGAGUUGCCGUGCAUUCCAAGAUAAGUCGAGCACGUAUAUAUUUUCUUCAUCUUCUCUUUUUUGGGGUGAGGACCAGCUGGGUAGGACUAGGCUGGUUGACGUUGUGACUGGCGGUCAAAGACGGUUGGAGCGGCGGUGGCCGCUGGUUGCUGCUGAGCGAGUAUCGAAAAAAGUUGGUGGUCUGCCCCCUGCCCAAGGUGUUGAGAGAUGGAAGCAGAAUGGUCUAGUCUCUAAUGAUCUGCCGGCUGGGUAGGAGGAGUGUUCUGCCGGACCCCCAUAAAAAAGGAAGGCUGAUGUCAAGUCUUCAAUAAAUGAAGCUGCGACUUCGCGGGCGAAGGAUGUGUCACCGUUAAGAAGAAGCCAAGGAUUCCUUCUGUUGAGAAGAGUCAAGUAGGAGUUGUUCCCCCGUCGUCAGCUAGGGUUAAACAUCUCGUUGGUGCAGAUAGUAAGCAGAUUGGUGAUAUGCGCAAUAUUCGGGAUGUUCCACUCAAGCCUCCUGCAGACAAGCUUGGAGACCAUGAUCUGCUUCGUAAAGUAGUCCGUGCGCGAUCUAGUUCACCUGCUGUGAGGCAAUGAGAUGCAGAUAUUCUUCUUCGAAGUUCGGUCUUUUGCACCAGUUAAAGGAUGAAGGUCGAACUGGGAGGUCUUCUCAUCUACCCAACCGUCAUGAUCCAGUAGUUGAGUCACGAGCAGUCAAGUGUGGAGUAGAUUCAGCGUCGUUGGCUCAUUUGGAAGUGAGGACAGCGGCGACCAAGAAGAUGAAAGAGUCAUCUGCCCGGGUCGAGGGCUCUUCUGCAACGUCAGCGACUAAUCCGGAAGUGGACAAAUCCGCCCUUGCAGGGGAUGCAUGCAUGCCUGAUCUGCUUAAGACGAACUUUCUGUCAAGUCCAUCCACUUGUGCUGAGCUGGUUAAUCAAAUCUGUCAGCUGGCGAUCUUGGUCUUUUCUCAAGUCUUUUCUUGGAAAAACAAAGGGAAACAACAUUUCACAUGCUUCAAAAAAAAGGUGGUGGAAGAUGUCGCGAAUCAGGCAGGUGGAGCUGCUGAGAACGUGGCUGAUCAGACGGAUGUGGAAGAGACUGCAGAUCAAGGAUCUCUUGCUAGCGUCUCGGAGUAGAUGAAGACUCAUUUAUUUCUUUUCAGCUUUUGUAGUCUGCUCUCUGUUUAGAAUAAUCGGUCUUGUUUGACCAUCUUCUUUUUGUUGAACUUGGCCGGUUGAUCACUUUGCUAUGGAAAUUUCAGUUUUUUUUUGUUGAAUAACUUCAAUUCGCAUAAUGUCUUGUGAAUUGCUUGAGUGUUUCUGAGUUGUGGCAUGUUUAGCCUACGUCUAGAGACGUGUCGAUGAGAGUGGCCUGUUUGACUUACAUCAGGAGACGUGUCGAUAAUAGUGGCAUGUUUGGCCUACGUCCGGAGACGUGUCAAUGUGUAUAACUCGUUUACGUCUAGAGACGUGUCGAUGUGUAUGACCCGUUUGGCCUACGUCCGGAGACGUGUCGAUGAUAGUGGCCCGUUUGGCCUACGUCAGGAAACGUGUCGGUGAGAGUGGCCCGUUUGGCCUACGCCCAGAGACGUGUCGAUGAGUGUGGCCUGUUUGGCCUACGUCCGGAGACGUUCGAUGAGUGUGGCCUGUUUGGCCUACGUCUCGUCAGUAGACGUGUUGAUGAGUGUGGCCCGUUUGGCUUACGUCCAGAGACGUGUCGAUAAGUGUGGCCCGUUUGGCCUACGUCAGGAGACGUGUCGAUGAGAGUAGCCCGUUUGGCCUACGUCAGGAGACGUGUUGAUGAGUGUGGCCUGUUUGGCCUACGUCAGGAGACGUAUCGAUGAGACAGUGGCCCGUUUGGCCUACGUUUGGAAACGUGUCGAUGAGUAUGACUCGUUUGGCCUACAUCCGGAGACGUGUCGUUGAGAGUGGCCCGUGUGGCCUACGUCCUGAGACGUGUCGUUGAGUGGCCCGUUUGGCCUACGUCAGGAGACGUGUCAAUGAGAGUGGCCCGUUUGGCCUACGCCCGGAGACGUGUCGAUGAGUGUGACCCGUUUGGCCUACGUCCAGAGACAUGUCGUUGAGUGUGGCCUGUUUGGCCAACGUCCGGAGACGUGUCGGUGAGGGAGGCUUGGGUGCCUGCUUAGAGCCCAGCUGAUAGGUGAAGAGUUUUAUGGAUAGUCCCCUUGGAGGUGAUGGGCAUUACAUUGCCUUGGAACUUCCUUCCCAUUGAAAGAUGAUGAAAGGUUUUUCUUCCAUAAUUUGGUAGCUAGUGACCGCUUGGAAGACGAAAGUUGCCUGCUUGAUCUUUCUCUUCUGCCCCCUGGUGGUCAGCCCGGGCUCUUGGAGUCAGCUAGGAUCGUGUUGAUCCAUAUGGCUUUUUUCGUGGAGGCUCAUUGUUAGUUGCGUCACAAUCCUUGAUUUGCUGGAUAGCCCCCCUUGAGAUGAAUUCCAUGCAAUGGCCGUCUCUGACUAGAUCUUCGAGGUGCCUUUUUCGAGCGAAGCAGUCGUUUGUGUAAUGACCGUACCCUUCAUGGAAUCUGCAAUAUCUACUAGUAUCCUUCUCGGUUAGGUUUCCCUUUAAAGGUGAUGGUUUCUUCAACCAAGGCAUGUCCUUUACUUGGGCUAGGAUCUGGUGUAUCGGGAUAGUGAACUUGGUGUAGCUCUCUGUUGCUAGAGCACAUUCCUGAGGCUGUGAUCUGUGCUUGCCGUUCUCUUUGCUUGCCUGCUUAUUUGCUUGAUCAGCCUUCUUCGCGACAAUCUGGUCGUCGUCCCAUAGUGUGUAGCGCUCUGCUGUAGCAAAGACUUCUAUCAAUGUUUGGCGGGGAGAGAUGGUCAGCUCGCGAUACAGCUCACAUUCAAUUGGCAACCCCCUCUUGAAGGCGGAGGACGCAAUUUGGCCAUCACAUCCUACAAUGUUUGCCCUCUCCGCUUUGAACCUCUUGAUGUAGUCUCGGAGGGAUUCAUCGGACUUCUUGUGCAUGUUAGAUGGUCAGGGUUCUUCUUGAUCGUCCGAUAAGAAGUGUACUCUUUGGUGAAGACAUAUGCAAGCUCCUUGAAGCUGCUGAUCGACUCGGAUAGCAGGGUGUGAAACUAGUCCUGAGCUGCUCCUCGCAAAGUCAUUGCAAAAACCUUGCUCAUUAGCGCAUCUUUAGUUUUUUGUAGGAUCAUAAGGCUCUUGAAAUGCUUCAGAUGGCUUUCGGGAUCGGAAUCCCCUUCGAAGCAUGUGAAAGAGGGCGUUGAGAAUCGUUUCGGGGGAGCAGCUUGCUCGAUUUCGGUGGUGAAAGGUGAGGAGUUUGCUUGGUCUACCUCCAUGCGUAGUGCAUCUUCGAAAUUUUCUCCAAUCUUUAAGUCUUGAAGUCGGUUAUUCACAAGCUUCUCAACGUCUUCUGCACACAUGGCUGGUCGGCCACGUUGAUGACCUUUACGAUUUGGGCGAGGCUGAUUAACUUCCUCGUUGGUUUGCAAGGGUCGACUUUCUCGGUUGCGCUGCCUAGACGGCGUGUUGGUGGACUACGUUUGUGAGGAAUUUUCUGUAACUUGGCGACGAGAAGUGGUUCUUCGAGAGAAAGUAGUAAAGCGCAUUUCUUCACUGUUCUCAUUGUGAUGAUUAUCAGUUUGACCUCCUUGGGGGCCUAGGUGGGCAUGGAUGCCAAGUUGUGGGCCUAACAUAUUGUGCACGUUGGUCCUUAAAUUCAAUCUGGAUGGCAGACUUCGUCUGCUCUGAGUGUGGCUUGCGGAUGCUUGCGACAUGUUGGCGAGCUGAUUGCGUUGUUUUGCAUUUCCUUGUCUGCUUACUCUUGCUCGACCUGCUUGGUUCCCACCGAACUGCCUAUCGGUGCGUUCGUUCAUCCUUCUCUCUUCGCCCUGUUGUCCAACGCCAAGGUUUUGAGCCAAGUUUAUUUGAUUGAGGAAUUGCCUCAUUAAAUUGUUUUGGUCGUCCAUUCUCUGAGUUAGCUGGUCAACUCUCAGAUUAAGGUCUACUUGACUUCGUGGAUCGGGAGGAAAGAAAUGUGUGGAGCCUAAUUGCACACGGGCUAGGGUUUCAUUACAUGUGUACGUGGGUGCGCGUGUCGAGCGUGGAGGCAAUGGAGGGAAUGCUUGAAGUUGCUCCAAGAUUGGGCCAAAGUCGGCGGUGGUAGUGAGCCCACCUUGAUGCGAGGUUCCACCAUGCUCAACGGCGGUGCUAUGAAGGUGGCUAGAUCCGGCCACGGGGCCUUGAGAUGGUACGACGGCGGCAGAGGCCGGUGCGGUGGCCCUCGCUGCGAGUCUGGCAGGUGGCACGAUGAUUCCAGUCACACGGGGUGGCUGCUGAGGGUUCAUGGUGGCGAGAGGUGGUGGAGCCGCCAUGUCGAUUGUGCGAUCGUGGGAAGAGUAGCUUUGGGCCGUCACGGAUUGAGCCAUCGCGGCGGUCUUACUCUUCAUGCACUUGCUUCCAACCAUGGUUGUUUGGAAGGCUUCGGUGGAUUGGAAAAUAGGAGGAACGGAUUCCUUGAGCACGUGUUGAGUAUAACUCGUGCUCUCAACGAGAGCACCAAAUGUUUGUGCAAAUAAUCUCACGGGAGAAUAUUCGCUUCUAGAUCCCUCCACCUUCGACCUUCCUUCUCUCUCUUCCUCGUUUCCUGUAAAAAAGAUUGGAGUAAAUAGACCACACCCGGGGGUGUUGGCCAAAGGCCCUCCGAUGCCUAAGUUAGUUCGAGUGUUUGUAGGAAAACAAUAGCUAAGCAAAGGGUACGGAGUUGUAUGUAUAGUGUGAACCGGGCGGCCGGAGCCAUGUGUGGUGGCCGGAGCCGUGUGGAGAAAAUAUGGAGAGUGGAGAGGGAGAGAGAGCUUCAGGUAUUUUUCUCGGGUAUUAGGAGUAGGUUUAGAUGUACCUUGAAUGAUGAAUGAGGUCGUCUAUUUAUAGGAGCCUCGGGGGUAGGUUUCGUAGGGAUCGAGUCGGACUUGAUAAUAUCCAAAUUAAUGAUAUUAUCUCUUAAGAAGAUAAUAUCUGAAUUAAAUGAUGUUAUCUUCUCUUUAUUAGGAUAAUAUCUGAAUUAAUGAUAUUAUCUCUUUAAAUAAAGAUAAUAUCAUAUUAAUUAAGAUAUUUAUCCCAAUUAAUUAAUUAGCCAGAUAAACUGGUUUAAUUAAUUAAUUUAAGAGAUAAUCUUCUUUUCCACGUGGCGUGCCCUGAUUGGAGACGAAAAUAUAUGCUCCCACAAAUGUCUCAUAGACCACAUACAUAUCCACCCACGCAAACGUAGUGGUUAUAUGAAAUGAAAACUUAUCUUUGGCUAUAUGAUAUCCCACAACUUUCUUUUCCUCUCUUCUCUUAUCUUUUCACACACAUAUACAUUUAUACUAUAUAUGGUACAAUAAUUAGUAAUAUUUGGGUUAAUUCUAAAUUAGGGAAUGUAGGAAACAACUACUAUCUUGCCUUGGACAAUUGUAUAGCUUCUUGAUCAUGUGUAGACUCUUCAGCCCAGGCAAACUGGUGAUGAGACAGGAGUGAGAAUUCGCGAUUCCUUACAUCCUCAAGCUGCUCCCACUCUGCCCAUCUCUCUGCUAGAUCCACUCCCUGCAGCAAUCUAAUGACCAUAGCACCAUUUCAUGAUAAAGACAUUAUCAUACAGCUUUAGUGCUGGAACUCUCUCAAACCUCUUAGUUAGAAUUCUAAAUUUUUAAUGGGCUGGUCAGCCCAGUCCUACACCAACAGUAGGGGUGGGCGAAACCAGAUUGAACCAGACCGAACCGGCUAGUUUGAUUAGGAUUUUGACAAAAAUUAAGGUCAUACGGUUCAAAACCCAGCUCAGUUCAGCUGGUGGUUUCAAUUCCCUCAGGAACGAGAGAACAUAACCGAAUCAUUUCCCACUCUUUUUAUUAAUUCCGCCCGUAUCCCUCCUAUAAAAUCAUCUUUUUCCCCUAGCUCUAGCCACAUAAACCUAUCUCUCCAGUGAAGGAAGUAAACAAAGACAUCCUUCGCAUAACUCCUUUAGCAUGCAGACAAACACAAAACAAGGAUGUAUUUAAAAAUAAUAUAUAUUAUAUGAGUAUGAUAUAUAUAUAUAUAUAUAUUUUAGUAUGAUAUAUAUAUAUCCAAUUUUCUAUAACAGGUUAACCGUACUUGAGGAUAAUCAAGGUCGCCCGGCCAGUGCAUGUUGGUAAACUGGCCGUGCAAAAUCUGAUUAUCCACUAGUGUGGUUAACCAUAUUAUAGAAACACGGAUAUAUAUAAGUAAUCCCCAUUAACUCUCUUACAAUAAGAAUUCGUACUUAUUGCUGAUGCCAAUACAUCAAUACAAGGGAAUAUAAAAGGAAAUGAGAAUCAGAGUUUAAUGGGAUUUACUUGAAUUUUGGAAUUGUAAAGAAUUGCAUUGGAACUCUUCCGGUUAACUCAUUCGAUGAAAGAUCCCUGCCCAAAAAAAAAAGGAAUUUAUAAAUGGUAAAGAAUAUCACACAGUGUGCAAGCUCAGAUGGGCAUGCAAUUAUAUUUAGGCAAUAAGUCAAACAGCAGGAUUUCGAAAAAAAGGAAUUGCUUACAGUUCAGUCAACCCGCUAAUGUUUGAAAGUGAAUCCGGAAUAUGUCCAGAUAUGUGGUUACUGUUGAGAUUUGGAUUGUCAAGGGAGCUAGAGAGCAAAAGACUAAGAGAGGGAGAGAGAGCCUGAGCAAGAAGGAAUCAAUAUGGUUAUGACCACUACUCCUCUGCUUAUCCGUUGCAGCAGAGCAGACUAUAUUCAUACCCAAAAUGUGUUCUUACAUCAGCAAAUACAAUCUAACCGUUGUGAAGGAUAAACCAAUGUGAAUAUGACACAUGGCUUUACAAGCUUUACAACCGCUGAAAUAAGAGAGACAAUCCUAAGCCUUACACUUGGCAUAUGAGCUCAAGGUGCUCAGCUCACAGAUGACUUAAAUGGACUGAAUAUAAACUGACUAAGUACUUACUAACUAAUCAGAAAUAGCUAGGCAGUUUACAUUUUAACACUCCCUUUCUAAAGUGCUAGCUGAUUUCACUCCAAGCAUAUUCCUCAAAUAGCUGAACCUGUCUUUGGGAAGUGCCUUGGUGAAGAUGUCAGCAAUUUGCUCUUCUCCUUUGCAGUAGAGCAGCUCAAUCACUCCUUCUUGGAUUGCUUCUCUAAUAAAAUGGAACUUCCUCUUAAUAUGCUUGCUCCUUUGAUGAAAUACAGGAUUUUUAGCCAUUGCUAUUGCUGAAGUGUUGUCACGGAACACAGUUUUUGCAGCAGUCUGUUCUUCCCCAAAGUCUUCAAGAACAAACCUAAGCCAAAUGGCUUGUGAUGUAGCUUCUGCUGCACUCACAUACUCUGCUUCUGCUGUUGAAAGGGCCACACUAUGUUGUUUGACUGAUGCCCACGAAAAUGCACCACUUCUAAAUGAAAAUGCAUAUCCGGAAGUGCUUUUCAUAUCUUCCUCUGAUCCACUCCAGUCACUAUCACAAUAUCCUACUAGAAGUGCAGACUUUCCAGUCACAUACUCAAUUCCAUAAUCAAUUGUGCCUUGUAUGUACCUUAGAACUCUUUUGGCUGCCCCAUAGUGCAUCUUAGAGGGAGUGUGCAUGAAUCUUGCAAGCAGGCUAGCUGAAAACAUGAUAUCAGGUUUGGUUGCAGUUAGAUAUAGCAAGCUUCCUACAAUUUUUCUGUACAAGCUUUCAUCUGCUGCUUCACUUCCAUCUUCUCUUUGCAAUUUAUCAGUGGCAACUAAUGGAGUGCUCACUAAUUUGCAAUCCUUGAGUCCAAACUUAUCUAGGAGAGUGAGUGCAUACUUCUUUUGAUGGAUGAAAAUGCUCCCUUCAGUUUGUGUUACUCCCAUACCAAGAAAAUGAUGGAGUAAACCCAAGUCAGACAUUUCAUACUUGCACAUCAUCUCAACCUUGAAUUCUUUCACCAUUUCAUCACUGCUUCCAGUAUAUACUAUGUCAUCUACAUAGAUUGAUAUAAUUAAUGUUCCCACACCUUCCUUGGUUCUCACAUAGAGAGUUGCUUCACUUGGACUUCUGUGAAAACCACACUGAUAUAAGUAAGUGUCGAUUUCACUGUACCAGGCCCUUGGAGCCUGAUUUAGUCCAUAGAGAGCUUUUCUUAGUCUGUACACCUUAUCCUCAGCUCCUUUAAUCACAAAGCCUUCAGGUUGAUCCACAUAGACUUCCUCUUCAAGAACACCAUUUAAGAAAGCUGAUUUGACAUCCAAUUGCCAUAAUUUCCAGCUUUCUGUGCAGCUAGUGCAAUGAGAGUUCUAAUAGUGUCUAACCUUGCUACUGGAGCAAAGGUUUCAUUGAAAUCAAUCCCUGGUUUUUGUGUGUAACCCUUGGCUACAAGUCUUGCCUUGUGUUUUUGAAUGGAGCCAUCAAGGUUUAGUUUAGUUUUAUAUAUCCACUUCACUCCCACAAUUGGUUUGCUGCCUGGUCUAUCAACCAAUUUCCAAGUGGAAUUCUUCUCUAUCAUUGAUAUCUCUUCAGUCAUAGCCUUAUUCCAAGCUUCAUCUUUGGCUGCUUCAUGGAAACUCUCUGGUUCAAUAAUGCUCAGUUUACAUUGAGCAUAGACCUCACUUAAGUUCUUCCAUUUUUGUGAAGUAUGAUCAAAAGUUUCAGAGAUUGAAACUAAUGAAUCAUGUGUAGCUGAUUCUAGAGUGGUUUGCAGAUCAUUAGCCACUUGUGGUCUCUGAGGAGAUUGACUAGACUGAAGUGAUUCAUUUGAAUAUGAAUCAAUUUCUGAUAUUCUUGAACUUUCUUCUUCAUGCCAUGGAAUAGUCACUUGUACUUCUUCAUUCAACUCCUAAUUCCACAUUGCUAUCUCAUCAAAGAUAAUGCUCCUUGAGAGUUCAAUCUUUUUAGUUUCUAGAUUAAAGACUCUAUACCCUUUCUCACAAAUCCCAUAUCUGAGAAAUACUCCCUUCAUUCCAGUUUCUUCCAGCUUGUGUCUUUUCUGAGAAGGAAUAUGGAUAUAGCACAGUGAACCAAAUAUUCUCAAGUGCUUGACACCUGGUUUUCUCCCACUGAACUUCUCGAAUGGAGUUGUAUUAUCCUAAGCACUUGUUGGACUUCUAUUUUGCAGGUAUACAGCUGUAUUGAUAGCUUCUACCCAAAAUUUCAAAAGGAUUUUCUUCUCAUGCAUCAUUGUUCUUGCCAUUUCCAUCACAGUACGAUUCUUUCUCUCUGCAACUCCAUUCUGUUGCGGAGAGUAGGCUAUAGUUAGUUGCCUUUCUAAUCCCAUCUCUUCACAAAACUUUGAAAAUUCCAAAGAUGUAUAUUCUCCACCUCUAUCACUUCUUAGCUUCUUAAUUUGAUAACCACUUUGCAACUCAACCAUGUUUUUGAACCUUUUGAAUAUGUUGAAUGCUUGAGACUUAUGCUGCAAGAAAAACACCCAACACAUUCUAGUGUGAUCAUCAAUGAAGGUGAGAAAGUAUCUAUUCCUUCCAAGAGUGAUAGACUGCAUUGGACCAUAGAUAUCUGAGUGAAUCAGUUCUAGUGGUUGUGAGGCUCUCCAAGCUAUUUCCUUAUCAAAUGAACUUCUGUGACUCUUGCCUAUAGCACAACCCGAGCAAAUCUUCUCAGAUUCUUGUAACUUAGGUAGACCCUGAACCAUGUCUUUCUCUUGUAAGAGUCUCAAACUACAGUAGUUUAGAUGCCCAAAUCUUCUGUGCCACAAGCAAGAUGGUUCUCCAAAUGUUGCUCUAUUUGCCACAGGAGGAUUGACAUAUUUGAGAUCUAAGGGAAAACAUCUGUUCCCUUUCAUUUGAACUCUUGCAAUCAGCUCUUGCAAUUGCUUAUCUUCAUAAAUGUCAACCUCAUUAUCACCAAACACCAACCAAUGCCCAUGCUCUAUCAUCUGUCCUACGCUCAACAGAUUCUCAUCCAAACCAGGUACAAUCAUGACUUCUCUAAUAAAUCUAGUAACCCCUUGCACAUCUAUAGCCAAAGUACCUUUGCCUAUUGAUUGUACUAAAUCACCAGUGCCCAUCUUAACUUUACAAUUCACAUUUCUAUCUAUAUCAAUAAGUAAGGACUCAUAAGCAGUCAUAUGAUUACUACAAGCACUGUCCACAUACCAAACAUUCAUAUUUUUUUCAAUAGAAGCUGAAUGACAAGCAUAGAACAUAGUAGCAGGUUCUGUUACCUUGCUAGCCAAGUUCGCAAGUUUCUCAGUCUUAUUUGAUUGUUCAUAGUCUUUAAUGGGAUGCCCAAAACGAUUGUACCCAUAGCACUUUGGCUUUCCUUUAAACCAGCAUUCUCCAUAGUGAAGCUUAUCACAGUGCUUGCAUUUCCCUUUUGCUUGAUCUGAUUUUUCCCCUGGUUCAUGCUUUCCUCCUUGGUUGCCACUAUUUUGAGGUUUUGAAUCCCAUUUCUUACCCUUCGAUUUCCAGCUCUUCUUUGAUUUAUUAUUACCAAAACCAGAAUUGGACUGAGAUCCCUUUUGAUUUAUGCUCAUGCUGCUGAAGGCUUUCUCAGUGGUGUUCUCAGCAUGCCUAUCAAGGCGCUGAGCAAAACCCCUCAAUGCAGCAAUCACCUCUUGCACCUCAAUCAUUUCAAUAUCCUUAGUUUGUUCAAUUACAUAACAGGCAGGAUCAAACUCCUUAGUCAGGCUUAUAAGUAGUUUUUGAACUAACCUUCCUUUGGAUAGGUCUUCCCCAUAUCCCUUCAUCUGAUUCACAAGCUCAAGUAGGCGAGUGAGGUAUCCAGACAAGGUCUCAUCAUCCCUCAUCCUUGUGUACUCAAAAUCACGACGCAAACCCUGCAAUUUGAUGGAUCUGACCUGCUUAUCACCAUGAAAUUCCUGAUGUAAAAUAUCCCAUGCACCCUUUGAGGUUUCUUCAUUCGAAAUCCUAGGGAAAAUGUCUUCUGAGACAGCCUCUUGGAUAAUCCCAAGUGCCUUAGCAUCCUUCAUUAAUAGAGCUUCCUUCUCAGAAUCCGAUGACCCAGCAUCAUCCACCUUCUUCCCCUUUGAAUCUGGAAUUUGAAGCCCAUUUUCAACUAAAUCCCAGAUUCCAUGAGAUUUGAAAAUCGUUCUCAUUCGAAUCUUCCAAAAUCAUAGUUGUCCCCAUUGAAUAUUGGAGCUCUGAGAUCACUCCCACCUGACCCAGCCAUCUAAGACAGAAUCAAUGAACUGAGUCGGAAAUUUCUCCUCGGAUUUCCAAGCUCAGCCCACACACAGCUUCAACGCCCACUAUCCAGAUCCAACCUUCACUGUUGAUACCAUGUUGAGAUUUGGAUUGUCAAAGGGAGCUAGAGAGCAAAAGACUGAGAGAGGGAGAGAGAGCCUGAGCAAGAAGGAAUCAAUAUGGUUGUGACCACUACUCCUCUGCUUAUCCGUUGCAGCAGAGCAGACUAUAUUCAUACCCAAAAUGUGUUCUUACAUCAGCAAAUACAAUCUAACCGUUGUGAAGGAUAAACCAAUGUGAAUAUGACACAUGGCUUUACAAAGCUUUACAACCGUUGAAAUAAGAGAGACAAUCCUAAGCCUUACACUUGGCAUAUGAGCUCAAGGUGCUCAGCUCACAGAUGACUUAAAUGGACUGAAUAUAAACUGACUAAGUACUUACUAACUAAUCAGAAAUUAGCUAGGCAGUUUACAUUUUAACACCCCUCAAUACCCUGCAGCACAGGUGAGAUGAUUAAUUUUUCUUUUCUAGAGAACAGGAAAGUGUUCACAAGAUAGUACUUUCCAAUAUAAACAGUUGUAGAACACUCAGAUAAGACAACAGCAUAAGUAACUGCUACAUAUCAAGGCAAUUCCCCAAUAAAUACAAGAACAUUUUACAUUUAUAGACAAAAAAGAAAGUUGGAAUAUUUUAGGAAGGGAAAUGCAGCCUUACAAAUGCUUUAAAUUGGACAGUUGACCCCAGGUAUUGGGUAUAGGACCUCUGAAAUUAUUGUUUGCAAGAUUUAGAUUCUGUAGAUGUGUCAUGUUGGCAAGAUAAAUGGGUAACAGGCCUGUUAGACUAUUAUCCUGGAAGUCCCUGCAUAAAUAAAGUUAUUUUAUCAAAAUUCAUGACUGGAUGCAAAAAAAUAUAUUCUUCAGAAUUAAACAAACAAGUACAAUAAUGAAGGCGUUGGUAUUAUAUUCCACUUUUUUCUAUGACUCAGUUGACAGUAUGUAAAGUUACAAUGAUAAAGGGAAAACUUAAAUUCUCCCUCUCUCUCUCUCUCUCUCUCUCUCUCUCUCUCUCUCUCUGUAACACCCCGACUCCAAAUUAAAUGUCUAUUUUAACCUAUUUAUAUUAAAUUACGAAUUUACCCUUGGGGUAGGGGUAAAUUGGUCACUUUCUUAAUCAGAAGGAUUUUGGGACCACGGAUAGUAUUUCUGAGUAGGUAGUACUGAGACGAAUUCGUAGACACGCGGUAGGCUUGAAUCGGAAUUGUAACGAAAAAGUUACGGGAAAAACACUAUCAGUGGCAAAACUGUAAACAUUUCAAAAAGUUUGGUAAAAAUCAGAUUUUUCACCUCAGCUCUCUCUCUCUCUCUCCUCGCGCGCGCUCGACACUCUCUUUCUCCUCAGUCUCUCUCUCUCCCCGACACCGACUCUCUCUCUCCUCGGUUCUCUCAGCUCCGGCGACGGCAGGACACGAGACCGGUCCCGAUUGAUCCACCUUGACGUCCCGAUCAACACCUGCCCGUUUUCCCCGUCGAAAACCACGAACUCAAACCGCGAGCUCGACUGUUUUGAACCGGAGCUUUCCCGCCGUCGCGCCGCCUCCUCCGCCCCCCAAACCCGGUGAGUGAGGUAUGGUUUCUCAUCCAUUUUUCGAGUCCUAGCUGACUGUUGUAUAGGUUUGGACCGAUUCAUUGUCUAGGAAAUCGAUUAGAAAAUCUAGGUUUUGGCCGGAUUUCAAAAUGAAAUUUCGGCCAGUUGCCGCCCGAAUUGGACCUUCCCGUAGUUGAAUGAAGUGAUCUUGACCUUGAGUAGAAGCUAGGGUAGGAAAGGUGAGCUCGGCUGUGGAGUUUUUUCGUUCCCGGAAUUACUCUACACACCCACGCGCUACCGGCGCUUGUGGCGGCGCGUGGGCGAGGCUGGUGCGGUUGUAAAUUAAUCCAAUGAGAUCCUCAGGUUGUCACGAGCGCAUAGGAAUUCGCGGAUCUCAAUUCGGAUGUAGUUUGGCUAUCGAACGGAUUUUCGCAUAUUGUGCGUUAUCCGGGUUCGAUAGGUUCCGACCGUUAGAUCUUUCCCGAAUUAAAAUAUGUUGUUCUAGGUAUUUCUAGGACCAUAUGGGACUUUACGAAUUAUGAAUCGGAGCCCCGGAUGUUCCGAUUCAAUAAUGCAAAGUUUGCGGGUUAGCGAUAACUGUAAAAUCGCGAACGAUUCCUAAACCUGUAAUCGGACCUUAGGAUACCUUCUUCAACGUGCACGUAUGGGGAAUUUGGGAUUUAAGCAUUCAAUUUGUGAUUUCCGCUUCGACGUAAUUUUAUAUUAAGUAACGGUUCGUAUCUCGAAAUAGGUGUUUCGACUACACGUACUCAGCAGGCAGGACCCUCACGUGGUCAGGCAGCGUGGGAAUACUUGUGAGUGGACUUUGUUUUCAAUCAUAUGCAUGGUUUUAAUUGAUGAAAGAUUUUUGCAUAAUGUUUUAAUGGCUUAUUGAAUAUAUAUUAUAUUCAUGAGUUGAUUAUGUUGGUUGUAUAGCGCUUGGCAAUAUAUUGUGAGUUUGGCAUUGUGGGUUUUGAGAGUGCAUUUUAUAUGGUUGUGGGGAAGUAUAUUUAUAUAUUAUCUAUAGACGAAAUACUUGGGUUGUUGAAGGGUGUUGUGGAAGAAUUUGAUUUUUGAGAGAAGUUGUAUGAUUACACUAUGUAAGUACCUUCCCCAGUUAUCAGUAUCACUCGCGGCGUUGGAUGUUCCGGCAUGUGAGACACUUUCCAUAUGCGGCGUUGGAUAUUCCGGCGUAUGGAAAGACUUUGUGUAGUGUUUUGGGUCAUCACCAUGGCGUUGGAUGUUCCGGUGUGUGAUGAUCCAGUCUGCGCGCGUAAGACAUAGUUUGGGAGCUACACAUGGCGUUAGAUGUUCCGGUGUGGGAGCUUUGGAGUUUCGUCCCCUAGUUGGACCGCUCAUCCCUAGACGUAGGAUAGCACCUGGAAAUCCUGCGGACUAGUCAAACGAUCCCCCAGUUGGAUUGUUUCCCCGGUACCUAGGUGAUGUGAUGAGUAUAUCGUAUAGCUAUUUAUAGUUAUAUAUAUAUGUAUAUUUUUAUGUAUACGUAUAGUUGAGUGAGUGAAGAAUUAGAGUUUUUCGGUGGUUUGACAGGAGUUGUAAGAUUGAGAGAAUGGGAUUCUUUUUGAAGGAGAUAACUGGUGUUUUAGAAGAGUUUUAAUGAAUGUUGUUUUGAGUAAUUAUUUAUUGAAUUGUGAACCUGCAUGACUUGAGCAUUAUUUUUACAUGGUGGGGUUACUAUAUAUUUUUUAACUGCAAAUCUGGUUUUUGUCCACUCACAUAUUUUCUGUUUUGCGCCCCCAGCUAGUAGUCGCUCCAGGAAGCGUGCAAGUGGUGUACGAGGCUCGAACUGUGAAUCUUUCUAGUUAGGAACUGAGUAAUUUCUUCUACUCAACUGUUCUUAUAAUUUAAAUUCAGUAGAUGCUCUGUAUUGCCCAUGGUAGAUUUUACUUGUGAGGCCGGAGGCCACUCUAGUAUGACUUGUAGAAUUAAGAAAGCAUGCUGCUGGUUGGGAUUUUUAUUUUAUGUAUGUUGCAGGUUGAAUAGUUUUUGUUGGGAUUGCUUAAUUACAGGGGAGACUCUGCCAAAUUUUUAGUAGAAAGUCUCGGUUUCUUAGUAAGUGGGCCCGGCAUCGGAAAGAUGUCAGAAUAAAGACGGGGUCCACUUCGGUUUUCGGAAAAUUCCGGGGCGGGUCCUGUCACUCUCUCUCUCUCUUGGUACCAGAGCACAGACUAGUGAUCCAAAUCAGGUUUCAGCCAAUGGAUUAUGUUACAUUUUCUGACACCAUCAGCCACAGAAUACUAAUGCAUCAAGAAGUUGACUUACAGGCUAGCCAAACAUUUCAGUUUAGUAAUCGAAGGAGAAAGCGUUCCAGAAAAUCCAUUUGAUGCCAGGCUCCUGCAAAGUAGUACAUUCACAAACUAAAUGUACUGCAAUGAUAAAUGAUUUUCAAAGAUGGCGAUAUUAAUAAAAUAUAUAUUUUUCAUGAUCAUAAAAUUUAGUUUAACUUACAGGGAUAUGACAUUUCCAUUUCUACAAGUGACAUGAGACCAGCUAAAAUAGGGGCUAACGAGAUUAUUAUUCCAAUCUGUUAUUCGGCCACUGGAAUCAUUCAGUGCCCUAAGCAAAUCGAUCAAUGCUUCACCUGCACAUUAUCGUAAGUGAAGAACAAAAUUGUAUGUAGAACCAUAAAUGGCUGGUGAAAAGAACUUUUGUUUAUAUUACAAUUCUGAUAAAUGAAAAAUGAAAAAUUCUUGGACUUAGGUAAGGCAGAACACACAAACCAUGUGAGCACGGCAGUAGAUAAGGUAGAACACAUAAAGCCUGUGAGUACGACAGUAAAUAAGGCAGAAGCAAAGACAAGGGGCAAGGCCACAGCAACAACAACGACAAUGACCACAUCAAUGGAAAGCAAAGCAAGCAAAGACAACAUCAACGGCGGCAACAUCGACCACAACAGAAACACACCAGCAAAGGCAUGAGCAACAAUACUGGCACCAUAACAUGCAUGAGCAACAAUACUGGUACCGAACAACAGCAAUAUAAGGCACUGGCACCAGCAAGAGCAUUAAGGCCGGGACAUAAUAGGCAUCAUCAACAGUAAUCAACAUUGUCCCCAACAAGAGUCAUAAUAGGCAGGAGCAAUAAUAUUGUCCCCAACAAGAGACAUAACAGGGAUGAGCAACGGUACUGGCACCAGCAAAGGACAUAGUAGUUAGCAGCAAUAACAAUGACAAAUACUUCCAUUAUCGCACAAACAACUUAUCUUCACUCCCCCUCUUCCCCUGAAGAGAACGGGUCAUCAGAACCAUAAGAGAAGUGGCACUUAAGAAACAGAAGCUGACUUACGCUCAAAUGUAGAAGAAUCAGUCAUGGCAGAUAGGUAGCUAAAUUGCAGUGGAAUAGAUAAGCAGCGAUGUCACUCCCCCUCAAAUCCGACGAUGUAUGAGAGUCGAGAUUUGGAGAAAGCAACACCGAAAAAUAAAGUUGCAGCACCCAAAUAAAGUUGCAUCUAUUUCCCCAUCAAAUCUGACACUGGUAAAAGGUCGAGAUUUGGAAGAUGAUAAAUUGAAAUAAUAGUAAAGAGACUCAAACAUGCCAGUCUCGUGGCAGAAACAAAUGCAAGAGGGGAAGGUGGUAGCAUAAAGCUGUCCCAUGUAGAAAAAACUUUAGAAAAAGAGAAUAGUAAGGGAGGAAACCCAACAAAUCAUGAACAGAGACAAAGACAAAGAUAAGGUGCUCAAACAGGAAUUAGAGCAAAGGACACCGAAAAAAGGAAACCUUUCAUGUGUGGAAUAGGAAUAGAUAGAGUGCCCAUCAAAGGGAAGCAAUAUUAUAUAAGGGAGUUGUGAAAGCGAGAGAUAAUGCAGUGAGAAAACAACAAAAUGAAAGAGGUUGGUAAAAGAGAGAUGAGAAAUAGAGAGGACCUGAAAAGAGUUUGGUUGCAUAGCAGGGGAAACCACAUCGAUAGAUCAAAGAGGAAGAAACUAAAGAUAUUUAAAAAGUAAAGCAUGGGAAAUUGCAUGUGACAAUUUUUAAAAAGAAACUAGUGGAAGAAAGUGAGGUGCUAGAACCGAAAAAAGGAUAGAAUAAUGCUGUGAUUGAAGGAAAAUAAUGACAAAGGAAGGUAUCUGUGAGGAAAUAGACAAACAGAGAAAGGGAUGAAUAUUGGAAAGAGGCCAAAGGUAGAAAGAAAUAAGCAUAAGGGUAAAAGGGAAGGAGAUAGAAAAAUAAAUAAUAAACACCCAACGGGAAAGGCUAGAGUGACAAAGCUGGAGAGAUGGCGUGGGGAAAGAACACAACAAACACCAGCCAUUGGGCAUAGACAAACAAAAGAGAUAAACAUAAACAAAAGAGAGCUAAAUAGAGCAAAAAGAGAAACAAAGAAAGGGUGCUCAAAACUGAGAAGCGGAAAGGCAACUCAGGAGAACAGCCGAAGAUGACAGAGAUCGGCAGAACAAUCAAAGGAAAGGCUCGGUGAGUGGUGACAAGGCUCGCGGAGGAAAGCAACGGCUCGGUGAGCGGUGACGAGGCUCACGGAGUAAAAAGACCUGUUAUGAAGUUUCAAAGAUAAAGAAGCUGGGACAUCAAGAAAGACCAUCAGGCAUACAAAGAUUAAAAAUUAAAAAAUUUGGAACAAUAGCAAAGAAGCAUGUGAAGGCUAGGUGUGGUGAAAACACAUAUGAGAGGAUUGAUCAAAAGAAGAUGACUAUACAAGAUGAAGACCCAUGAUGGGUUAGGAAUGAGGAGUGCCAACGACUCUCAAUUUGACAGAGGUGAUCACAUGUUAGAAACUAGGCUCUGAUACUAUGUCAAACAAAGUAGGGUAAAUAUUCAAUUAUGCUCAGAUACGCUCAUAUUUUUAUUCUUCUCCAAUAUGGAGGUAUUUAUACAAGUACAAAGCUGUGUUAACCCUAAAUAAAAUAGGAAAUAUAUCUAAAUUACAAUAGGAAGUAAAUCUCUAUUACAAUAGGACUAAAUAAUAAUUGGUAAGUAACCAAAAUUCUAAUAAAAUAAGAAACCAAAAUCCUAACUAAGGAAGGAACCAAAAUCCUAACUAAAUAAGGACUUGCCAACAGCACGACCUUGAUGCACUAUGAGAAUCGAGGCGCUGGCCACAAUGUUGGACGAUGCCAAUGCAUCUCCCAAGGGUCCGAGCUCCGGGCAGUCACCCCACUCGGAUAGCCCGAACGUGAGUGGUGAGGAACCUGUUUGCCCUAUUCCCACGAUAUAAAGAUCAUAGUCAUUUCCCAUGGCGCUUAUCAAUUUGAGAGUUUCUUCUCCAUUGUUCAACACCUCGUGAAUUAAUUUUAUGGAAGGUUGGUUCCUAGCAUUGAGCACAAAGCUCUCUAUAUAUUGGUCGUCUAGUUGUUUCUCCUUCUCAUUUUCCUCUAUCAUCUCUAAAAUAUUCUUCUUUUCGUCCUCAUCAUGAUCGUGAUCAUUAUUAUUAGGAUUGUUGGGAGGGAGAUCUGAAUGAACUGCCGCAUCUUUACUGACAAUGAAACGAACCACAGUUAAGCUGAUAUUAGGUUUAGGGUUAGGAUUGCUGGCCAUCCUCCAUGCAUAUGCCAAUGCCUCGCGGUCAUCUGACCCACUAAUGAAGAGCAUGGCACAGCGGCAGCAGCCAUGGCCAUCUUCAUUUUUAAUGUUAGAUGAAUCGGUGAGUCCACGAUCCACGAAGAUGGCCACCGAACAAGAAGAGUUCUCUAGAAGGUUCUUGUUAAUGCCUCUAAAAGAGGGGUUUCCGUUGUCCAUUCCCCCGUCAAUGGUGGAUUGCUUGUGGAAAGGAAUGAUUAUGAGGUCUGCACUCUUGUCGUCCGCAAGGUUGCAAAUGUCCUCAUGCAUGGAGGCGUAAGAGGACACAACAGUUAGUGCGUCCACGAACAAGCUGCUUUCUUCACUUUCGGUCUCAAGUUUUUCAAAGGCAGCGACAAUUUGGUCAGAAGGCGAAGAAUGCUUUUGAUUUUUGGCUGUAAUUUUACUUGUCUUACGAAUAUUGCUGCAUGUGUCGUGGACUAUGAGCAUGGCAGAAGCAUGGCCACUGAGCUCCACCAGAUGGACCGCAAAGACGAACAUCGGGGAUUGUUUGGUGGGAUUGGAAAUCUCCAACAGAUUGAUGACGCUUGAAACAUUGCUUGUUCAAUGGAAGCAAGUAAGGAUUCGAAACUCUGAGUUGGCUUGUAUGCUUCUUAUGCUUCUGUGCGUGUGCUGCUUAGAUGGCACAUUCGACUUGUAAAUCAAAGCCAAAAUGGGUCCAACCGCUGCCGUCAUUAUCAAAAUUGCAAGCAUCAUUACUGAAAAAGUAUUGUGGUCCAAAACCUGCAUUUAUAUAUAUAUAUAUAUAUAUUUGCCAAUUAAAACAAUAUAAAAUCAGGAAUUUAACACAUGGUUUUAAGAUAUAUAUUUCUUAGAUGUAAUCUAUGUGUACUAUUAUUUAGGAGAACACUUGGUAUCAUUGUGUUAAAUUUCGGAGAGACGGGCCAGCGGUCCAUUACCAGCAACACCAAUAUUAUCCCCAACUUGAUUAAUUAAUCAUGGAAUAUUGUGUGUAUGUGGGUGUGGAAGAGGCAACUGCACAUGCAAUAAUGAAAUAGUUGUACAUAAUAGUAUAUACAUACAUGUAAGUCCCGCCCAGAAUUGAGGAUUAUUAUAGCCAGCAGGCCUUUGGUGUUCAUGACUAGUCCGAAAGCCAAACUGUCCCUCACCGACAUUUUGUUGAUGAUGGCAGCGACAAAAGUCGCAACAAAUUUAGCGAGGAAAGCCAGGGCAACAAUUGACAUGACAAUUAGAAGGCUUGUACUGCGAAAGACAACAACGACAUGCGUUCUCAUCCCAAGAAUCAAAAAGAAGAAGGCGACGUAGCACAAGCAACAAAGGUUUCAAGCGAAACCUUAAGUAACAAGAUAUCUGGAUUCCACCAAAAAUUAAGAGGAAUUUUAUUGGGAUAAUUGUAUUAAAAUCUGAGAUAAUGAAAAACGACAGACAAACCAGUCUAAAUACACAAUUCUCAACCCUUGAACUGCCAGGGGAGUUAUUACAUUAAAACUAAAAAAACAGAAUUAAUUCGGAGGCUUAACUACGUAACUCCGAAACUGAAAACAGAAUUUAUUCGGAUAAUUAACUACGAAAUUUGAAAGCAGUUUUGGAAGGCCAAACGACCUCAGAAUGCCAAAAUCCAUCAUACAUCACAGCUAGGCUGUGAGUUUGACUCGUGGCGUCGUUCCCUUUUCGAAAUGGUAUUUUGCGUCCUAAUCUGAGCUCGGACGACAAAUCUGCAAAUUCCCGCUACGUCCUUUUUUUAGCUCAACCGCGAUAAAAUCUGCCAUCUGUUCUACAUCAGUCCCCUCCACCGCUGAAGAACUCGACCCCGAGUUAUGAUCUGGAUAAAGGACCUCAUCUUCACAGAACUCAUAUAAAUCUGCAACAUUAAAAAUAUUGGAAAUUCCCAUGGAAUCUGGUAACUCAAUAACAUAGGCAUUAUCAUUGAUCCGUUUGAGCACUUUGUAAGGACCAUAUUUUUUUGGUUUAAGCUUGCUAUAUGUGCCAACUGGAAACCUCUCCUUCCUCAGAAAUAUCAUCACAGAAUCGCCUUCCCGAAACACUUUAACUCACCUAUGCCUAUCUGCAGCAGCUUUGUACUUUGCAUUAGUUUGCUCAAGUUUCUGCUUGACUUCAUCUCGAACGGCAACUACUUCCUCUGCCAAAUUUUUUGUUGCCACACUGGUUUGCUGGCCCCUAGGCAGUUUCACCAAAUCUACAACAUGAUUAGGUAUAGCAGUAUAAACAAUGGAAAAUGGAGACUUCCCAGUGGCACUAUGGACUGCACUGUUAUAUGCAAACUCCACCUGCGGUAGUGCAUAAUCCCAUUGUUUUGGCUUCUCUCCACAGACGCUGCGUACCAUAUUGCCCAAUGUCCGGUUUGUAACCUCAGUCUGGCCAUCGGUUUGGGGAUGGGCAGUGCUGCUACGAUUCAAAGUAGUCCCAAACAGCCUCCACAAGGUGAUCCAAAAAUGGCUCAAGAACUUGGUGUCACGAUCGGAUGUAAUGGAUGUAGGAACCCCAUGCAAGCGAACAACCUCCCUGAAAAACAGUUUGGCUAUAUUUGAUGCAUCAGCAGUCUUUUUGCAGGCUAUGAAAUGCGCCAUUUUUGAGAACCGAUCAACCACCACAAAUACAGAGUCCACUCCCCUUUGUGUUCGGGGCAAUCCGAGGACAAAAUCCAUAGCAAGAUCCUGCCAAAUAUCGUUAGGAACUGGUAAUGGCAUAUAUAAUCCAGUGUUUUGUACCUGCACCUUCGAAGUUUGACAAGUGUAGCACUUGCGCACAAUAGUUCCAACAUCUCGUUUGAGCUGUGGCCAGUAAAAUCUCUCCUCCAUCCCUGCAAUUGUUUUAUCAUGGCCUAGGUGGCCACUCAACCCUCCACCAUGCAAGUCCCGAAUGAGCUUCUCCCUUAAGGAGGAAACUGGAAUACAUAACUGGUUGCCUUUGAACAAAUAACCUUCAUUAAGGAAGUAAUCUGCCAUCGGCUCUUGAUUGGUGCACUUAGUCCAAAUUUCCCGAAAAUCAUCAUCACCUUCAUAUAAUUCCUUCAGACAUUCAAACCCCACAACUUCUUGAGUCAGCGUGACUAACAAUGAAGCUCUUCGACUCAGCGCAUCCGCCACACGAUUUGUCUUGCCGGAAUUAUGCUUGAUAACGAACGAAAAUUUCUGCAAAAAAGUCACCCAUCUAGCAUGCAUCUUAUCAAUAUUUUUCUGGCUGUUAAUAUACUUCAACGCUUGAUGAUCUGUAAACAGAACAAAUUCCUUCUGGAUAAGAUAGUGCUCCCAUUGCUUCAAAGCUCGAACAACCGCAUAGAACUCUUGGUCAUAAGUACUCCACUUUUGACAUGCAUCCCUCAACUUUUCAGAGAAGAACGCAACUGGCCGCUUGUCUUGUGAAAGCACAGCUCCGACUCCCACACCGCUGGCAUCACAUUCAACUUCGAAAACUUUCUCAAAGUUUGGAAGGGCUAGAACCGGCGCGGUGCAAAGCUUUUCUUUUAUAUUUGCAAAGCUUUUCUCUUGCUCCUCUCCCCAGCUGAACCGGCCCUUCUUCAAACACUAUGUGAUAGGUGCAGCGAUGGAGCUGAAAUGUCUCACAAAUCUUCUGUAAAAGGUGGCCAAACCAUGGAAACUUUGAACUUCAGAAACUGUUUUUGGAGCUGGCCAGUCAAGGAUUGCCUUGAUCUUCUCGUCAUCUACCUGGAUACCAUUCUCACCAACAACAAAACCCAAGAACAGUAGCUUAUUUGUGCAGAAAGUACAUUUUUUUAGGUUCACAUACAGUUUAUUUUCUCUCAAAACAUCUAAAACUUGUCUCAAAUGCACAAGAUGUUCCUCUUUUGUGGUACUGUAAAUUAAGAUGUCAUCGAAAUAAACUACGACAAAAGAGCCAAUAAAUGGUCGAAGAACCUGAUUCAUGAGUCUCAUGAAAGUGCUAGGCGCAUUUGACAAUCCGAAUGGCAUCACCAACCAUUCAAAUAAUCCGUCUUUGCUCUUGAACGUUGUUUUCCAUUCGUCGCCAGGUCUGAUGCGAAUCUGGUGGUAACCGCUUUGCAAAUCUAUCUUGGAAAACACCCUUGAGCCGCUAAGAACAUCCAGCAUAUCCUCCAACCGUGGAAUGGGAAACCUGUACUUGACUGUUAUCUUGUUGAUUGCUCGGCUAUCAACACACAUUCGCCAAGUCUUGUCUUUCUUCGGAACCAGCAAAACAGGAACUGCGCAGGGACUCAAACUCUCCCUGAUAAAUCCCUUCUGCAGUAAUUCUUCAAUCUGCUCUCUUAAGAUGUCAUUCUCCUUGGGGCUCAUCCGAUAAUGGGGCAGAUUCAGAAGGCUAGCUCCAGGCACCAAGUCAAUUCGGUGUUGUAUGUCCCGCAUAGGUGGCAGCUCGUUUGGCAAUUUUUCAGAAAGUAAUUCCUGAAACUGUGACAAAAUCUGCUGCACUGAUGUAGAACAGAUGGCAGAUUUUAUCGCGGUUGAGCUAGAAAAAGGACGUAGCGGGAUCUGGAUAAAGGAACUUGAUUUGCUUGUGCUGCGUCACUAUUGCUCGUUUUCUUUCUCUCCAUUAGUCAACGUCUACUGGCCUGGUAAUUAUUGACUAAAUAGUGCAUUAAUUCCUUGUAAUUAUAAAAUAGUGGCUUUAAGUUCUUUCGUUUUUUUCUUUGGAUUUAACAGUGGCUAAACUCAAAACCACCGUUACACUAGAAUCAAUAGGAUCAGAAUCUUUCCAAAUCACCGUUACACUAGAAUCAAUAGGAUCGAAUAUAUAUAUAUAUAUUCUUUAAAGAAUUAAUAGGAUCAAAUUGUUGAGAUUCAAUUACAAGAUCCCCUGAAAAGGUGGAAGAAGAAACAAAAAGUCCUCCCUUAGGUUACUUGAAUUAAAACUGGCUUCUUAAUUAUUCAAAAGUAUCUGUGGAUGAAUCAAUGCAGACUACUUAGACUUCACAUUUCAUGCCUUAAGACUUCGUGCAUAGUGAUCACAUAUUUUCUAUUCGCAAACUAUCUUUUAGAGUAAAGUCUACUAGGUUGGAAUAUUAUUAUUUUAAUUGGGUUACAAAGUUAUAAUAUUAACGAUGAUGACCUACAAAUAGUUUUAUUUUAUAUGUAUAUGGAUCACAAUAUUUAUCAAUAUGUAUAGUUCAGGUUAGGAAACGACAAAAUGUUGAUAUGACUAGGAGCUUAAAGAAUUAAUGAAGCGUGGAUGCAUUGACAAGGGUGGACCAUAUAUAGAUGUGGACAUCAAAAAUAAAAACAAAAACAAAUAUAUGAAAUGUGACGGACGUGGUGUUUCAUUUUCAGUUUUUCUAAUAGCAUCUUACGGAAAUCAUAGUCUAAAUUAUUUUAAGUUAUUUUAACAUACGAAAAGGUUAAUGGGUCUAGUCUAGUGGAAAAGAGUAUUAACUUACAGAUCAGUGGUCUCAGAGUCAAAUCCUCAUAACACCUUGAUGGUGUGUGUGAAAAACUCCCUCUCUUUUGUAGUUUAUAUUAUCGCUUAUAUUGCAAAAUUAUAUAUAUACAAAAGAGAGUAUUAAUUAGUUAUUAUUGCUUGUUAAUUCAUGAAAAUGAAAUGGUGAUGAUGAAUAGGUAGGACCAAGGGUGAAGAAGGACAGGGAGAGAUUUCCACCAAACAACGUACUUCUGGUGUUAGCAGGAGCCGGGUUGCUGUGGAUGGGAUGGGCAGGUUUCAACGGGGGAGACCCGUACGUGGCAAACACGGACUCAUCCAUGGCCGUCCUCAACACCAACAUCUGCGCCGCCACGAGCUUCUUGGUUUGGACUUGGCUCGAUGUCAUCUUCUUUGAGAAGCCUUCCGUCAUUGGAGCUGUCCAAGGAAUGAUCACUGGCCUCGUCUGCAUUACUCCUGCUGCAGGUACGUAUUACGUAAGUUCUCAAGUUGACUUUUUUCCAGAGUUGAGUAAAGUUGAAUUAUAUGCCUAUGGGUUUAAUCUAGUGAAAAAGGAACUUGAUUUGCAAAACAAUAAGAGUAUAUGUGAGAAAACUCCCCUCCUUUUCAAACCUUGACCCAAAAAAAAACAAAGCAAAGUUGACUUAUAUUUAUCAUCCCAAUUAAUAAAAACAAAAUUAAUAUACUUACUUACUCGUCACAAAACGCAUUGCCUUCCAUUAAUUAAUCCAGAAAAAAUAAGUUUAUUUGACUUUUGACUAUUCAUAUUUACGUUCCCUCACAGACCACGUUCUAGUUCUAUUUGGUAUCCUACUUGGAUUCAAUUUUAUAAACUCAAAAACAAAUUUUGAAGUUUAAAACCACAAAAACUCGUUUGAUAUGCCCCUUUUUAAAAACUCAAACUCAAGAAAAAUUCAAAAGCACCCCUUUAUUAAAAAAAAAAAGAAGAAGAGGUUUUAUAGUUUUUUUCUCUCUCCUCCCUCUCCCUGUCUCUUUCUCUCUCCUUCCACUUCUCUCUCUCUCUCUCUCUCUCUCUCUCUCUCCUUUUAUUUUGGAGGUUUCAAUUUGAGAAUUUAGGGUUUCUGAUUUUAAUUUCAAUUUUUUUAGAUCUUAAAAAUAGUUUGGAGUUCAAUACCAAAAAAGUUUUUGAAUCUUAAAAUCACCAUUUGAAAACUCAUAUUUUAAAAAAGAAUCAUAGUUUUUGAAUUUUUUUUUUUUUUUUUUUUUUGAGUAGGAUACCAAACAAGGCCAAUUUCCUUUAAAAAAAUUCUCAUAUGGUUCUCUAACGUUUUCUCUAAAUAUAUUUGCAUCUCUUUAUAUAUAUUAUUUAGCCAGUUUUUAACAGGAGAGGUGACUCAUGGCAUGUUGUGUUGACCAUGCACAGUCAUUUAAUUAACCAUAUUAACUAGCUAGCUUUUAUUUUACUUUUGUUUGUUCAUAGACUGAUACAAUAUUAUUGUUUAAAUAUGUAAAUUAUUUAGGUCUGGUUCAAGGAUGGGCCGCUAUAGUGAUGGGAGUUAUGUCAGGCAGUGUGCCAUGGUUCACCAUGAUGAUAGUGGACAAGAGGUGGAAACUGCUAUCUGCAGUUGACGACACCCUUGGUGUAGUUCACACCCACGCCGUGGCCGGGUUUCUUGGCGGCGUUUUAACGGGGCUUUUCGCUGAGCCUGAACUAUGUGCACUCUUUUUGCCCGUCACAAACUCGCGCGGAGGCGUGUACGGAGGCUCAGGAUUAAUGCAAAUCCUCAAACAAAUUGUGGGAGCCCUAUUUAUCAUUGGAUGGAAUAUUGUGGUCACCUCCAUUAUUUGCCUAGUCUUACGGUGUAUAGUUCCGUUGCGCAUGCCGGAGGAACAGUUACUGAUUGGGGAUGACGCAGUGCAUGGAGAAGAGGCAUAUGCAUUGUGGGGUGAUGGGGAGAAGUAUGAUGUUACUAGGCAUGAGCUUUACUCCGACGAUACGUCACACGCUCAAAAAUAUCCAUCCAGUGGUGCCACUCAGGUGGUCUAACUCAAAGUUAUAUAUUAUUUAUGUUAAUAAUCUGUUCCAAAAAGAAAAAAGAAAAAAAAGGCCAAAAAUGAAAAGAGGAAAAAACGAAGUACGAAAAAUAGGUGUUAUUGUCAAUUAUUAUCUUAUUUUCUGGUGAUCUUUUCAAUGUUUUAUGUAAACUGCCUAUUGCCUCCGGUACUUAUUCAGGGAAAUUUGGAACACCAAACCAUUUUUAACAUGUUUAAGAUUAUUAGCCCCUUUUUUUAAUUUACAAAAUAUAAUCACUAGAGCCCUCUCGAAUAGUGUUACCUUUACUUGAACCCUAGCAUUAGUACUUGGAUCUUUAUUAGUAACUACAAAGGCUCCAUUUGGUGGAGAGAGACUUUCAUGCAACAGAAAUAACACUUUUUGUUAUCUUCGAUCAAUAGAGCAAUAACAUGCGGGAUAAUUCUUCCACGUGUCAUUGCAUUAUUGACCGAGAAUAGCUAAACAAUGAUAUCCUCGUUACAAGAAAUUUGUUUUUUGCAUUUGGUGGAUGGAUAAAAACACUGGAUUGGAUCCAUAAUCAUACUCCUGUGUUUAGUGGCCCAAGUCCACUUGGAUUGGAUUAGUUCUAAAUUCUAUUCCUGUCAAACUCAAUUUUAGUAGGAUUAGGAAUCCCCCCAAAACUAGGGAUGGACAUUCAAACUGGAAAACCGAAAAAUUGCGCCGACAAAAAACCGCAAUUUUGUACAGUUUUAGUUAUGAUUCUUGUAGUGAAAAAGCUUGACUGGGUCAAACCAGACCAACCAUGUAUUUUUUAAAAUUUUAAUAAAUAUUUAACCCCAUUACUAAAUUUGUAAGCCUAUAACUAAUCUUUCUCUAAAUCACCUAUAUUUUUUAGGCCCAAUCACCUCCCUUUGCAUUAAAUUAGGUCACUUGUGAAUUUUUAAAAUUCAAAAUUCAAAAAAAAAAUAUUUAAAAAACAAGGGUAUACUAGUGAUUUGCCCCUGAACUUGUACCUAAUUUUCGAUUAACCCCCUAUCCUUUUUUUUUCGAAAAUUAAGGAUAUGAACUUUUUUUUUCCGCCAAUUUCCCCCCUAUCGUCUAAAUUCUCAACAUUUCAUCCAAUUUUCAGUUAAAUCAUUUUUAAAAAAUUACUUUUUUUGAAAAAAUUGAAGAAAAAGAGUAAACCUAAUGCCAACCCCUUCCAUCUCCUCCCUUUCUCCUCCCAUUCUCCCAUGACCACCAUCCUUUACUCCCAGACCAAUCCCCCACCCCCACACCCUUCAAUCCACAGACCCCUCCCUCCUCCUCUCCCUUUUUGUUCUUUCAACCACAGACUCAUCACCAUCAUCCCCAACAGACCUUCCUCCCUUUCCGCCGUCGCCGCCUCCUCUCUCUCUCUCUUUCUCUCUCUCUCUCUCUCUCUCUCUCUCUCUCUCUCUCUCUCUCUCUCUCUCUCUCUCUCUCUCUCCCCACACACACACUCCCUCAAUUUCCCACCCCAUCUGUCAAUUUCAAUACCUCCACACUCGAAAAGAUUUCUGUCGAUCCAUCCUUUUCAAUACCCUCCCACCUCAAGCUUUUUUCAGAUACGCACAUGGCCCAUCAAUCACUAUAUCAAAAAAUUCAAUCUUAACCACUUGGAUUUGGAAAAUGAAGAUCAAAAUCAGAUAAAAUCUAAUAGAGUGUAAGUCCAUGCCACCGGAUAGCAUUUGGGGUGGGAGGUUGUGAGGAAGAAGAAAAAACAGAAGGGAGGGUUGGGGUGGGGUGGAAGGGCCAUUCGAAGUCAUAUGGAGAGAGGGAGAGUAGAGGGGCCAGAAAAAAUAGAUGGAGAGGGUGGGGGUGAGGGAGAGAGUGAUUGGUUGGAUGUGCCUCUCUCUUAUUAAAAUAUGUUUUCUUUCAUUUUAGAUUUCAUAUUAAUGUAUUUGUGUAUUUAAUUAUUUUAACAUAUAAAAUGACCAUUUUGCCCUCAUAUUUAAGGCAAAUUGGAUGAAAUAUUGCAGAUUUAGAUGGCAGGGGGGAAAUUGGCGAAAAAAAGAAGUUCAUAUUCUUAAUUUUCUAUAUAAAAAAAACAGGAUAGGGGGUCAAUUGAAACCAAAGUACAAGUUCUGGGGGCAAAUCACUAGUAUACCCAAAAAACAAAAAUUUCAGUCCAAAACCAACUUAUGGGCAAAUCAGACCGCACUGGAAUGAAUAAUUUUUUUAUUUUUUUUAAUCAAAAUCAAACCAAACCAAACCAAAUAAAUAGUGCUAGUUCCGGUUUGGGGUGAGUACCAGAUCGUGCUCACCCCUAACAAAAACAAAGGGAUAAACUCGGAUAUGCUACAAUCGAGUGCAACCCAACCCUGACAGAUUAGGUUGCAGUCGUCUCCUCCAAUCUUCAUCCCCAAUGUUGAGCCUCCAUCACCUCGACGAUAACUCAACCAUCUCCGACAAACUUGAGCAAUUUCCAGCAAAACCCACCCAUCUCUUGCCCAAACCAUUUCAUCACUGAUCAUAUUUCUCCUAUGAACUUCUUCAUCAUAAGUGAUCAUUUCAUCAUUGAGAUUCUCAACAUCUUGUGUUUUUGUUAGAUUGUAUGUGAGUUUUGAUUAUUUGACAAUAUUUGAGUAGUUUAUAGGUUAGGAUAAAGCUUGAAUUCAGCGGAAAAUUUUCAUUUUUUCUAUAAAUAUUUGACAUACAAUAUUGGAUUUUUUUUCAUUUUCUCUUUUACAUUUCCUGGGUUUUUGUAAUGUUUGAAAUCUGUGUGUGUCUGGGACUGCAAUUGGGUAUAUUCUUUGAAGGCCCAAUUUUGUCUUUUACAAAUUUACAACUGCUAUUAAAUUUCUAAUAUCAAUUUAAGCAAUUAACGGAGUGGAGAUGAUUAAAUUUGUUUAAAUUUAUAUUGAUUAUGAUUAUUUAUAAAUUUAUAUACAUUAUGGUUAUUUAUAGUUUAUUUUUUGGAUUUAUAAUUGGGAUAUUUGUAGAAAUGUCACAUGAACUUAUACCUUAGUUUCAAUUUGUCACCUGAAAAAAAAAUUUAAGAGAAAUGUCACCUGAAUUUUUCAAAAUCUAUCAUUUGUCACUUGACUUUAACAUCAUCCAAUUUUCCAUCUAUUUUGAAGGGUAAUUUAGUCUUUUUAUUUUCAAUGGUAUUUUAAAAAUAGAAAAUUCAUUAUAAAAAAAUUAUAUAUCUUGUAAAUAAUUAAAAAUAAAAAUAAAAAAUUAUGAAAAAAAAACUUCUCUCUUCCCCCUGGGUGCGGUCGUAAGGCAUUCAGUAUUUCUACACUACUACUACUACUACUGUUCGUCCGCCCUGCAAAAUUAACAGUGAGAUUAAAUAGCUUUUUGUCCCACAAUUGUGCUUUCUCAACCUCGCUCUUAUCUGUCGCAUCCCCCCCAAGUUGUAUUUCCAGACUUCCCUCAAGGUUCAAGUUUCUCAGAUCCCCAAUUUGGAAUGCUUCAUCUUUGUCGCCAUUACACGAACACACAUCUAGUGUUUGCAAACUUGUUAAUCUCCCUAUCACUUUGGGGAACGACUCCAGAAGACCACAAUACUCAACAUAAAGAUGCUUUAAGUUAAUCAAGUUUCCCAUGUUUUCAGGCAGUUUUGUAAGGUUAGAGCAGAGCACAAGGCGCAAGGUUGACAAAUUGUACAAACCACAAAUAGUGUCUGGUAAUUUCUUCAGUAUAUGAUUGGAAGACAAAUCAAUAUGCCUCAAAUGUAUCAAUUCACCAAUCUGCUUCGGGAGUUCUUCGAUGGAAUUACGAUUCAAAUUUAAUGUCCUAAGACAUUUCAAUUGUAAAAUUAAAUUUGGGUCUAUGGUAGUAAUUCUUGAAUCAAAAGUUGCGAGCGUGCGAAGAUUUUUGCAAUUGUAAGAUGAGAUAAAAAGUGGAAGUGGACCUUCAGGAAUAUAUCUCAAGGUUAAAUGACGAACCUUAUCACCAAAUACCUUUGAUUCACUGGUAAUUUCCUCACCAUGAUCGAUAAUCAAACACUCAUUCUUGGUGAGAAAUUGUACAAAGUCAUGCACAAUAUCAUGCAUUUUGCAACCUAUAAUGGUACCGGUGUCAGGAUCUUUCUCAAAAUCUUGGAAAAAUGACCGUGCCACUAAGUUGUCAAAAACUGCAUCACCCGUUGUUCCCUUUUCUUUAUUCCCUUUCGAAAUAACGUAGUCUUGUGCCAUCCAAAGUUUAAUCAAAUCAUCUCGUUCAAACUUGUGAUCUUUUAGAAAAGUAGCACAAUAUAAAAGGCAACAUUUAAUUGUUGGGGCCAAAUCAUUAUAACUUAGGAAUAGGGGUUGGAAAACUUCUUGCUCGACCUUCUCUAGAUCCCAUAUCUUACUAUGCAAAACUUCUUUCCAUUCUCCAAUUUUUGUCUUAUUC